This 96184-nucleotide long non-coding RNA is filed under the name Gossypium raimondii (Peruvian cotton). RNAcentral describes it as "long non-coding RNA (GRAI_LNC010938)". The stretch from base 80041 to 80184 matches the Rfam family "MIR7502 microRNA precursor family". The record is from RNAcentral. Lineage: Eukaryota; Viridiplantae; Streptophyta; Magnoliopsida; Malvales; Malvaceae.
UUUUCUCUCCUAUCCGGCCACUGAGUUCCCCGGACCUCCGUCGCGCCACCACCGUGACCGACGACUGACGCAGCGCAAAAGAGGCUUUUUAGCCUCACUUCGAAGCACCCACGGAGGCCGAGCCCUCUCUGCCCAAAAAAACCCAAAAUGAGAGACCUUUCUCCCCCCUUUCAACCCGAUUUCAACGACGAAAGGGAAGAUUCUGGUGCCGGGGCUCGCGGCGAUUCAGGUGACUGUUCUUCUCCCCCUUUUUCUUUUUUAUUUUCGUAGAUAAAAAAAAGGAAAAUAAAUAAACAAAAUAACUAAAAAAGAUCUAAAACGAAAAGAAUAAAAACGAAAUAUCACCUUUGAAUCCAAGUUCAAAUUUUUUUCUUUUUUAUUUAAAAAAAAAUCCCCCUAUUACAUCGUUUUUCUGGGCUUUUAAAGCCGAAAUAUCAAAUUUUUUUAUAUUUUUUCACUGUUUUUGCUCUUGAUGCUGCUUCUAUUUCUUUUUUCAUGUUGCUUGCAAGUUCUGGCGAGGUCAACGGAGAUGGAAAGCUUCUAUUUUGGUGUAAGGGUGGCUAGCGGUGGCAGACCUCGGGCGGUGUGCGCGCCGAGGGCGCACAUGGGCAGGUUGCGACGCGAGAGAGGGAAGGGAACCCUAGGGUUUUCUGAAAACCCUUAAGUCUUUGGGCCUCUGAGCCUUUCUUGUAUUUGGGCUCAAAUUUUAAUACUUGUAAAUUGGCCUGUAGCAUUUGGACUUUGAAAAUUUUUUUGACUGUUUAUUUUUGGUUUUAUUUCGGGUCCUGGCAAAAUAUGGGCUUUACAGGUAGAACAUAAAAUCAUGAUUUUAUGAUUCAAAACUCCUCAUUUACCAAUCGAAAAUAUGCCUCAAAGAUUCCAAAAAAUAUAUCAUAUUUUUCCAACAAUAUAAAAACCCUAAUUUUUUUUCUCCAAGCCAUUUACUUAUUAUCUUUUGUUUUGCUCAACGGCGGUGCCAACCUUUGGGUUGGUUAUCACCCGCCUUUUUCCUCUCCCAUCAACCCUUUCUUUCUUUAUUCUUCUCAUUCACUACACAUGUCUUUUCCCUUUUCAGUUUGCAGACUUAUUUUGUGGGUAUCUUUGUUGUCUUCACAAGUUGCGAUGGAUAGAUGACAGUGCCUGUCAUUUACUAAAAAUCCACCAGCCACCAGUAGUUUUUCUUGGAAAGUCGGUGACUUUUUGUCAACUUCUUAAUAUGUUUUUGUUUUGAGAGUAUUUUGGAAUAAUAAAUGAUUUCACAUGUUGAUUUAGACCUGUGUUGUCUUAAGUUAUAUAUGUUUUUUGUUUGUUUUUUCAUUGUUUAAUAAGCCUUCAGUUUUAGAAGUUUUUGCUUGCUCUUGUAGCACUUUUUUUUGUCUUGCUUAUUCAUGUAAUAGUAGUUUUACAAGUGAUUUUAGGGAUAAUUUUAUUGUCGUUCUCUCUAGUUUGGUGAAUGCUCAAUUCUUUUGUCGAUUUUUGUUCGCCGCUUUGGACCAUCCGGAGCUGAUUUCCUUAUGGUAUUAAGUGCUUGCAAUCACUCCAGAUAUGUCAUGCUUGAGUUGUGACAAAGCCAAUUGUCAACGUAUCACAAUGUUCUAUUGAUGCUGAGACUAAAGCCCUUAUUAUGUUGAUGGAGCUUGUCAUUCACCUUUGUUUUUUAGUCACUCCUUUCAUUGAAUGAAUUAAUUUAUCUUUUAAAUAUAUAUAUAUAACAUUUAUAAUAUUUUGAACACAAAUUAAAAAACACACAAUUUGUUUUUAUUUUUUUUCUUUAAUUCAUUCUUUGUUAAAUAAAAUAAAUUUCCUAAAUAAUCCCUUCAACCCUUUAAUAUCCAACCUUAGUUGUUCAAAGCAAGUGCAGCUAAAAUUGAGAGUGAGUCUUCUCCUUGUUGGGAGAACACAACUUUUAGUGUAGGUUACAUAUAUUUAUAUUUAAAUAAAAUAAUUUUAUUAUUAAAUAAAUUUUGAGUCAACUCGACUUAAAAUUCAAUAUUUUUUUUCUAAAAUGGGACAUUUAAAUAAGUUAAAUAUAAACAAUUAAAUACGUGAAAAUUUAAAAUAAAAAUAGAAUACGUAUAUCAAACAUGUUGUGUUAAUUAUGGUAAUAACAGUAUUGAUUAUUUUGUUUUCAUAUUUGCUAAUCAUAUUCUAAUUUAGGGUGGGUUUGGAUGGGCGAUUGGGUACGGUGCGGUGCGUUUAGCUUACUUUUUGUCUCACGCUACAGUAUCGCUACAGUAUCGCUACAGUAUCUAAUCUCACCGCCACCGCUACCGCUAUUUUUACACUAACCGCAGGUAAGCCCACCACCCAUCAAAACUCACCCUUAAUAAUAAGAUAUGUUGUUAAAUUUUGGGAGGAAGAAAAUGCAAUGCUUGACAUAAAGUAGACGACAAUUUCAAAUUAAAUUAUUUUAACAAAUAUUAUAUUUUUGGCCCUAUUCUAAAAGUCUAAUGAGCCCUGCUGCUGCCUAAAAAUUGAAGAAAACUGCAAAUCAAAAUAACCGGCGGAAGUCAACUUCUAGAUAAUUUGGACUUAUCAUGAUAAUAAAAUAAAUUAUAUUAGAUGUUAGGAUAAAAAACAUGCAAUAUUAGAUGCGAAGAAUCGCUAAAUUAGAAGUGAUCCGCGUCGUAGAUAGUGUGGAAAGCUAUUGAGUGUGAAGCAAAUCAUGAGAGGACAGCGAGGGAAAUUCGCGGACCCAACUCGCAAAGAGAGUUUGCACAAACUAAGGGAAAGUUGCGGUCUCAAUUUGCAUAUACUCAAAGAGCUCGCAGAAGAGAGACCGCGUGGUCUGGCAGACAACCCAAAGUGAAACAUGUGUCCAGCAUACCUGAAGUCCGCUCAGAAUGUCAAUCCUAGAAAUAGUGGAGUCAAGUCAUGAUCAGUGAAGUCGUGCUGUAAACAGUAACAGUGUGUAUAAAUACACAAAUAUUCCCAUUAAUAAGAUGCGAGAUAAAAUUACUUAACAAAUAUUUAUCUUCAUUAGUGCAAAUAGUAGAGUGGUAAAUGUCAAUUAAAGACAUUGAUAAAAUUUGACUUGAAGAGACUAGAGGCAUUCAUCAUGUUGGGGAUGCAAUGAAUUGAAGGAUGUUGCUAAGAAUUCUUGGCAUGUGACCAUGUCAAACUCGUGGGAUGUUCAAGCAAGACACUCUUGAAAUUGGAAUUAUUGUUGUUAAAAUUGCUAGGGUGGUUUAGGUCAAUAUAUCAUCAUCAACCUUAUUUUAUGGGCUUUUACUUUUCCCUAGAAUUUUAUUCUAUACUAUCGAUUUCCUUGCUCCCCACACUUCUUUUAUAUAUAUAUAUCAAAAGUAUUCUAAACCAUUUUAGUCCUAACUUUUGAAGAGAAUGUCAACAAAAGAGAUCCACUAUCCUUUUUUUUUCUUUUAAAUUAAAAUGAAAAUCAUGGCAUUCGCAUUAAAUUUGAUCGGGAUAAAUCUCAAAAUUAUAUGUGUAUUAUGAUUUAGUAUGCAAUUGUAUUCGUGAACUUUAAUUUUGUGUAAUUUUAUACAUGAAAUUUUAAUUUGAUCUAAUUCUUGUAAAUUAUUAACACAGUUAUAACAUCAUUUUAUGUUUGUAUAUUGCAUACAUAAAUAAUUAUAUUUAUCCAACAUAAAAGUAAAUUGAUGUAUUUAUUUCUUUAAAUGUGCAUGAUUAAAUCAAAAUUAAAGUUUCAAGUAAACAUUUGAAUCACAAUUAGAGUUUCACGUGUUUAAUUGCAUCAAAUUAAAGUUCAUGCACACAAUUGCACAUUAAAUUAAAGUUCAUGUAUAGUUUUAAUAUUUAUCCCGAUUAGAUCUCUUAAAAGAAAAUAAUAGUUUUUUAAGCUUAUAUUUAUUAUUAUUUUAGUAUACUCGAAAGAAAAAGACAUCAUAUUAAAUCUGUUUGUGACGAAACUACCAACCCCUUAAAAUGAAAUUUUUUUCAUAUGAUCCCUUUAAAUUUUUUAAAAUUUUAAAUUAAUAAAAAUAAAAUGACACUUUUAACCCCUAAAAAUAUAUAAAACUGUGAGAAUUUUGAAUCAGUGUGGCACCCAACACCGCAUAAUUCAGACAAUUAUGCUUUACACACACUCCAAGGGGGAAACCAACAUCCCAAGACGCGUGUUGAACCACUAAUUGAUUUUACAAAAUUGUAAAGAAAAUUCUAUAUACCAUGUGAUUUUUUAAUAUUAUUCAAACAUUAGUAUUUCAAGAGUUGAUUUUAAUAGUACCAAUUAUUACAAGUAUUAAACUUAAUUAGAAUAAGUUUAAAUUGCAUGUAUACAAUGAGACCUGAAUUUAAUAUCUUAAAAAUUUUAAGACCUUAAUCUUAUAAUUAAACCAAUAUCUCAUUAGUGCUUAUUAAACUCCGAGAAAAGAUUGUAUGAAAUCAAUUAUUUCAUAUCAUUUCAGCAUUUUUUCUACGUCAUUGACAUAAUUUUGAUAAAAAUUUUACAUUGGAUCUUAGACCUCAGAUUCUAAACCCUAAAGCCUAGAUCCAAGGUUUAAGAUCUAAGGUUCAGGACCUAGAGUUCAAGAUCCAGUGUGCAAGGUGUAGAGUUUAGGGCUUAGAGUUUUAAGAUUUAGGGUCUAAGGUCGAGGAUUCAAGGUCUAAGAUCCAGAGUCUGAGGUUUAGGGUUCAAAAUUCAGGACCCAAGGUCUAGGGUCCAGGUUAAAAAAAUUACCAAAAUGAUAUGUUAAUGACAUGGAUUGAUAAGAAAUACAAUAAAAUGUAGCGUCUUAAUUUCACACCAUCCUUUCCAUUAAACUCUAUUAUUCUAUUUGCAUGUUUGAUUAAUCAUGAAUUUAUGCCAAAAGAAAAAAAAUCUCCUCUCUGAAUGCUUUUCUAUAAUAAUCAUGAUUAAAACUUUAGAAAGCUUUUUUCCUUGAAAGAAUUUCUUCAGUUUUCUAUCUUAUUAGUGCAUAUGUUUUCUACAUUCUAAAAGAUAAAAUAAUAACAUUUUUUCCUGAAGAAGAAUAAUUAAGAGAAUUACGUCAGGGUAAUAUAUAUAUAUAUAUAUAGAUGCACACUUCAGUACUCGUUUCGUUUAGAAAAUUUUGAUUAAAAUAUUAAAUAUAACGUUUUUUUAUGGUUUUUAAUCAAGUUUUAAAUAUAAUAUUAAUAAGCUAGGAAUCUUUUAGUUUAACGACAAUGUUGGGAUAAAAACAAGGAACAAAAAUAAAAAGAGAAAAGAAAAUUUGGGCACACAAAUGUUGUACGUGAAAAACUCAUUCAAAGACGAUAAAAACCACAGGCAAAAGAGGCAUCGGCUUAACGUUAAUGGAGCAAACAAAACGAGAGAACAAUGAGAAUAUAAUAAACUCAAACCCCGAAUACAAAGAUCACGCCCAAAGUUCUCACAAAACUCCAUAUGCGGCUACAUAUUGUCGCCUUCAAAGAAAGUCAUUACUAAUUGGCGUAUCAAAACAGAGAAUUCGAAUCAUAGUAAAAUAUCCCUGCAAUAAAUAGAGUCCAACUAAGAGUAAUCUUGCUUGAAGUCUAAAACACAGCUGCCAAAUAGGAGAACACGUUGUGACGUAGCAAUGUCGUCUCUGCUUUGCCUUUUCAACGCUGUUGCGUCGUCUCGACUUCCCGAUGCUCCUCGUUGUGACGUCGAGCUUAUUUUGGGCCUUCUUCGGUUGCUCGUCAAAACAUCUUUCUAAGUGCCUGCAAAACGUAUGAUAAAUACGAGGCACACCCCACAAAUCUCCACCUUAACUCCUAUUUAUCACACCUCCUUUUCCAUGCCCAAUCAAAUUCUAAUUUUACAGAAGGUCAACCAAGUCUAAAAAAAAUAAUGUUAAUACAGUUUUGUAUUAAAGUAAUGCAUUGUAUGAAAUUUUUUAAAAUUUUAUUUUGAUUUAUGGAAUAUGGAUAUGGAUAAUUGAGAAGAAUCUUGGAGCAAUUAAUUUAAUUUAUUUAAUAUAAACAUGUCAGCUGCUUCUAGAAAAGUUGAAUGACCAUGAAAAACCAAGAACAUCAAAGGAUUGAAUUGACCAUUUUGUUUAUGCAAAUUGAGCACGUUUACAUGGAGGUCAAAAUUAUAUACCAAAAAUAUGUAUUUGAUCUACUUACGUCAAUAAUAAUUUUUUUUUUGGUGAAUUACAAAAAUAUGCAGGGUUAGUAGGGACUUUACUAUUCUCAACAACAUAAAGGUGUUGUAUGCCUAUAAUAGACAAGCCAAACAACAUCAAGACUAAUGCAGGUAUAUUUACGUGGAAGACCAAUUGGAUGUCUUCCCCUUUUUAAUGUGUGGAAAGAAUAGAGAACUCGAAAGUUGAUCGAAAGGCCUAAUCUAGAAGAUGAAGUUGCUAUGAGCCAAUUCAACCGUUACAAAUAGGGCUUAUGCUUCUCCAUCGCCAAGUUAUUAAAGUUAAACCUUAUUCGAGUCUAUUGAUUAGAGGGGAAGAGUCCUAACAGUGUAGCUUCUACUGAUGCUGUGAAUUUUAGGGAUCUACUAAUGAGUUGGGUUGGAUGAUAACAUGCCUAGUAGAGGAGACUGAAGGUCCGCAAAAGAUGGAUUCUAGAAAGUAAAAAAGGGGUUGUGGAUGCCCCUACGCAAGCGCUCUAUAAACCUAAGGAUUUAAGUUAUCUAAUAUACUUUGUUGUAGUUGGUAGAUAAAAAUGGAACUAACACUCCCAUUGAGGUUGCUAAUCAUAAUCUCCUCGGUUACCCUUCUAGCCAUGUUGGUUGUAACCUACGUAAUCUCAGUACACUACUUCUAGUUGCUGCUAACAAUAUUGUUCUUAAUCAUAGUCAUAUUGGUAAUAAUCACUUUGACCAUACUGGUUGUAGUAUUGGUCCUAUUAAUACCUAUCAUCCUACUCAUAGUUGACUAAUUGACUUGUAAUCCCGGGAUAUUUCAAGCUAGUUGAGCCAUAAAUUUUCAGCCAAUCCUUACAAACUAUGCCAAUUGUUAUAGCAAUUAAGUUAUAUAAGAUGUAAAACAAUAUAAUGGUUGUGGUUCACACCAUAAAGGGUGAGGAGAAUCACUAAAAAUGGUUGCGAUGCGCACUAUAGAUAAUGCGAAAAACUGUUAGAAAUGAUGAUGAUUCACACUACAAAUGGUGUGUAGAGUUGCUAGAAAUUGGUGGUGGUUCAUACCAUAGAUAGUGCGAAAAGCCACUAGAAAAGGUGGUUUGAGGAUGACGAGGUUGUACUUUAAUAGAGUGUGGACAUUAUAUCUAGACUUAUCCUUUCUUUUAGAGGGGGUAUUUAUAGGUAGAGUAAGGAUUGGAGUGGGCCCAUUAUCUCAUGAUUACCUCUUUGGUAAAGUCCAAUUUCAACUAGAUUAGAAGAUGACUUUGAUAGUAACACCUUCAGAGUUAGUGAGCUUAAGAACUUAGAAACAUUAAUAAGAUCAUACAUGGUAUAAUGGCUAACUUUGGUAGUGUUUUGGUGAUUGUUUUGGUGAUUCUCUUUCCAUAAAUGCAUUCAUAAUGGUGUGGGAUGCUCAGGUGCAAGAGACAUAGGAGGUAAUCAGACGUAGGUAUAUAACAAUUAUAUAAAGGUGCGUUUGGUUUGUUGAAUCUUAAAUUACAUUUCGUAAUUUCAUAAAAGAAAAUUAUUAAUUAAAUAAACCCAAGUUCGUAAUUUGACCUAACAUUAAAACUCAAAAUUUACAUAUAAGAAAAACUCCGCUCAAUAGAUAAUUUUUUUUAUAAAAAUAAAAUACUCUUAAUAAUUAAUACAAUAAACCACAAAGUAGUAUGAAGAUAAAGUAUAAUUUUAUUUAAAAUUUUAGAUUUCGCAUAUACUCACGUCACGCACACAUAGAGAGCAAGUAGUAUGAAGUCAAAGAAUAAUUUUAUUUAAAAUUUUAGAUUUCGAACAUACUCACAUCACAUAAACACAAAAAGUUACUCAAAAAAAAAGUUUAUUAUUGUUGUUUUAAAAGUUCAUAUCUGAUUAAAGGAAUUGAUUGGCAAGUAAUUAAUUGUACUUUUGAGUAAAUAGGGUGAAAGUGGAACUAGUUGAAGUAAACAGUAACAAGUAUAUUUUAGAGAUAAGGUGGGGUUCAUGGGUUUGUCAUAGGUUCAAUUGAUGGAGUUGAUUCAUGAGUACAGUUUAUGGGAGCGAAGUUCAUGAAUCUGAAUUUAAGAAUGAGUUUAAAUGAUGAUGUAUUUAUUUAUGUUUAAUAUAAAAAUAAUAAUAACAAAAUAUUAAAUAUUAUAAUAAUAUUUUAACAUGAGAUAAAAAAUAAACUAAAUACAAUACCGCUAAGCAAACUUUACCAUAUAUGCCCACCUCCACUUCCUUACAUAUAUUCUAUUGCCCUAACUUCUACAAUUUCUUUGUGCCUUCUUCAGAUCUAAUCUAUAUAUUAUUUCCAAAAUUGUAGAUUAAUAGGCUACUCUACCUAGCGUCGAGCAGUCAAUGUGUCAAUGGGCAUGAUUAAAACAGUGGACACGUUUUUAGAGGGUUAUUUAUUUAUUAGGAAAUAUAAAAAAUCCUUAUUGCAUAAAUUAAUGAAUCAUCACUCAGCAGCCCUAAUUUAGAUAAUAUUUUUUCUUAUUCUUUUAUCAAUUAUAUAUAAUACUCUAGAGCUGGAUUCCUCCUUCGCACCUUCUUCCCUUUUUUUUUGUUCUUUUCUUUCAUUUGAAAGUUUAAAACCCCUUACGCUUCUUCAUUUCCUCUCAUCUCGCCAUGUCGUACACCGCCCACCAUGGAGUUAUCUCCUUCCAUUUCUUCGUCCUCUUGCUCCUCAUCUCUCCGCCACCUUCCACUGCCCAAGUCCAACCCACCAGCCCAAACGACGAACAAUACUCUUACGCGCGUUUCAGCCCUUCCUUGGCCAUAAUCGUCGUCGUUCUAAUUGCUGCUUUGUUCUUUUUGGGUAUUUUCUCGAUUUACAUCCGCAACUGCUCCGAAUCCAACGCCAAUGGAAGCAGCGUCAAUCCUGUUAACGGCGAAGCCGGCCGUUCGCGGCGUGGGACGCGUGGACUUGAAGCGUCGGUGAUCGAGACUUUCCCCACCAUGAUUUACUCUGAAGUUAAGGUUCAUAAGAUCGGUAAAGGAGCUCUGGAGUGCGCAGUUUGUUUGAAUGAAUUCGAAGACGACGAAACGCUGCGUUUAAUACCGAAAUGCGAUCACGUUUUUCACCCUGAAUGUAUUGAUGCUUGGUUGGCUUCUCAUACGACCUGCCCCGUUUGUAGAGCUAAUCUCGCUUCUCAACCAGGUGAUUCUGGAGUGAGUCAACCCACUGAGUUGAAUGAGAUCGCCACCGAGAUAGACCUCGAGGCUCCGAACGACAGCAGUGACUCGGAAAUGGAAGGAGAAGAAAGGAGAAUAAACAAUAAUAAUGUCAGCAGUGACGUAGAAGGUGGUGUUGCUCUGGAGGUUGAAGUAGUUGACUUGAACAAAACUUUAAAUAGGAAUCGUACACGUGGAUCAAUAUCUAGCCGUACACGUAAAUUCUUUUUUCCGCGCUCCCACUCAACUGGCCACUCUUUGGUCCAGCCCGGUGAAAACACCGACCGAUUCACCUUACGAUUGCCGGCUGAUGUUCGAAACCAGUUAAUAAACCGGAAAUUGAACCGGGCAACGAGCUUGGUUUUGCCUAAGGAAAAGGGUUCCCGACCCGGGGAAGAUGGUGGAAGUAGUAGAGGGAAGUCUUCUAUUCGGCUCAAUAAGAUGGACCGGGGAGUUAAGUCAGACCGGUGGCUUUUUAGUAUGUCACGAUCAUUUUUUAGUAGAGCAUCUUCCGUAAGGUCACCAAAGGUGACCAAUGAUUGUGAAGGAACAUCAAGUUUGCCGGCUGGACCCACGGCUGGCUCAAGCCGUCCUCAGGUCUAAUGGCUCUUAUUUUUCCCCACCAAAUUUAAUAAUAUGUACAUUAUCUAUGCUAUGUUUAUUUUUUCCUAAAAAAAUAUUUUUUUGUUUAUUAAUUUAAUUUGAUUUUCUGGAGCAAUGCAUGUAAGAUCACAUUCACGAUUGACCAUUUCAAUUGGAAAAAAAAAUGCCUGACGUUUGAGUUUGAAUAUUCUUUUCAUUCAAUGGGGGUGAUGUAUCUGUUUUAUUAUUGUUAUUAUUAUUUUUUAAAAAAAUAGAUUAUUAAUAAGAAUUAUUAACAAUAGUAAUACAAAACAUGACAUAUAAUAUAAACUAUAAAGAAAUGUACAAAUAUUAUGUCUGCAUAAUAAUCUCAAAAAAGAGGACAAUUUGACCAUAACUACAACACUGAAACAACUCAAAAAACAAAUCAGAUAUGAUCAAUUUAAUUCAAGAAAAAAUUGACAAAAACCUUAAGAGGCGCAUUGCAUCAAUGAUACAUAAAAAGCUUAAGUCUUAGAUAAUUUAUACUCCUCCUCAUCUUAAAUCUAUCAUUAUCACUAUGAUCCAGCAUGAUAAAACCCUUCGAAAAUGGUUCCUAAUAGAUCUGACCACAUUCUUAUAUUGACAAAUCUCGCAUAUAUACCAGAACAUAACUAAAAACUAAAAGCAAACUAAAAUAAUAUUUGCUUUAAAGAAAAUAAACUGGACAAAACAAAAACUACAAAAAAAAUGUGGGAAACCAUAAAAUUAUGGAUAAAAUAAAACCAUAAAAAUGUAAACUAAAAUUUAAAAAAAAAAGUUAAAUGUUAAAAAGACCGCAAUUACGAAGCAAAGAUUUAGUUUGAAAAAAUUAAUCGUUAAAAAGCUUUUAUGUAAAAAAAAAAAAAAAAAAAGAAAGGAAGAAGAGCGUUAAAUAUUUGUUUUUGACUGCCACCUUAUUUCUUUUUCUUUAGAAAAUAAACAUAUUUCCCAGAAGCUACAUGGCACUUUGAUAGGAUAAGAAAUGAAUAAGAAUAAAAGAGUUAGGAAAAAAAAUCAUGAAAAUGGUGGACAUCAACUGAACUGGUGUUGUUACCUAUAUAUUUUUGGAUUUUUGAGUUAUAAAGUAAACUGAUUUAUAACUAAAUAAUGAUUUUAUUUAAAUAUAAUUAGAUAAUAAUUAAUUAUAAAUAAAUUUUAAAAUUUUGAAAUUAAAUUUAAAAUCCUAAACCAUAAAUCUAAUAUAUUAAAUUCUGAGUUAUUAAUAUUUAUUUAUAACCGUUAUGAUAAAUGUUUAAUUAUGUUUCGAUAAAACUAUUAGUAUUUAUUUAUAUGUCUUUGAUAUUUUUUUGUUAAUUUAAUGAUGAUGUGUCAUAUUAUUAUUCACUGAUGGUGCAUGAGACUUAAGCACUUAUGGUGCAUCGAUUAUUAUUCCUAUUUGAUAUGGUUAUUUAAAUUUGAUAUUAUUGUGUUUUUGUUUUGUUUGGUGUACAUAUCUAACAACACGAAAAAUUUUGCUAAGGGUAAACUACACUUAGUGCCAUUAAACUAUUAGUAAAUUUACGUUUUGGUCACUCGAAUUUAAAAAGUUACAAAAUGGUCACUGAACUAUUCAGAAGCUCUCAUUUCAGUCACUAAACUAUUCAAAAGUUUUUUAUUUAAGUCAUUGGGCUAUUAGGUUUUUUUAUUUAGUUCGGCUAGUGAGCUCCAAGUGACAAUUCAACGAUUGGUAAGGUGGAUCCAUCGAUGAGUAGAGGAACAUACCUUAAAUCCAAGUUGAUCUGACUGUUAGUGUAGGAGAUCGAAGAAAAAAACUAUUUAGAUUUUGGUUUGUGGAUUCAUGACAUUCAAAGUUGUUUCUUUAAAAAACUGAACUAUAGAAGAGAAAAGGAAUGAAAACCUUCGAUUAGUUAAGUCGAUCUGACGGUUAGUGCAAGCGGUGCGAACAAAGAAGGUCAUACCACAAUAAUUUUAACAGCUCGGUGACUUAAAUGAAAACUUUUAAAUAAUUUGGUGAUCAUUUUAUACUUUUUUGAAGUUAAGUGACAAAACAUAAACUUACUAAUAGUUUAACGGCGUUAGAUAUGAAUUUAUCCUUCUAAUAAAAACUUUUUAAUAUGAGGUUUCAAUGGGUUAGAUAAAAAAUUAUCAUUAUGAGAAAUUAAGUAAUUUGUACAACAUGGAAACAUUUGUUAGGUUCAAAAUAGGUAAUUGCAAGAAGAAACUGAGCAAUGUCAACUACUUCAAGUACUAGUGAAAAACAGGGAAAGAAAAACAAUGAAUACUCGAUAUAUUCACGUAAAUUUUUGUUCCUACGUCUGGAGGACCUUACCCAGAGAAAUAGUCCACCAUGGUAGCACCUUUUACAACAAAUAAUAACAAGUACUAACACUCGCUAAAUUAGCAAUCUCACUUUUGCAACUAAGAUCUAAAUCAUUCUCAUCUAAGUUUUCCUCGUAAAAACUUAGGAUAUCAACCAAGUGACUCACCUUUGUGUUAUUAUUAAUUAGUUUCAAACCAUACAUUUCAUUACUUAUUAUAUGUUUUUUUUAAACACAUCUUUGUGUUUUAAGUACGUAUACAUAUGUGAUAAAAUUCUUAUUUUUUAAUAAUUAAAUUGGUUUUACUAGUUACCUAAGGGAAGUGAGGUCAUAUAGUUAACACUAAUGCAGUUUUUUGAAAGCAGCCUAAUUGGAUUUUGGUGUAAUUGCUUGUAAUUAUAUAAGGGUGACAUGUUUGAAUAACCAUUGUAAUUAGUGGGUCUUAUCGAAUUCAGUGUAAUUAGAGCACCCCAAGUAUACUUUCCAAUUCUUAAGGGGGAGGGUGAGAAUUGGAGUAAUUACACCCAAAUCCAAUUUUAAUUUUUUUUAUAUAAGUUAUACAAAUUAUAUUAUAAGCAUGAACACGUAUGAUUGUUUGGGAUGCUUAUGGCCAAAAAUUUAUUAUAUUAUAAGUUCUAAAAUUUUAUAUUAUAAAAAUAAUUUGUGUAUUUUAUAAAGUUAUAACAAAAAUAUAUAUUAUUUAAAUUCUAAAAAAUUCUAAAAUUAUGGCCAAAAUAUUUAUUAUAAAAAAUAAUUUACAUGCUAUAAAAAUGUUAUAAUAUGUUUAUUUAUAAAAAAUUUAUGGCCAAUAAAUAUAAAGAUAACAUGUUUAUGUGUCAACGCUAUAUAUUAUAAAUAUAAUAUACUUAUUUAUAAAAAAAAAUUGGAGUUUUUUUUUUAUCACAACUUAUUCAGAAAAGAAACUUUCUAAAGUUAUGACAAAAAAUGGGUUUUUUAUAAGUAGCGCUAUAAAAGUUUUGGACAAUUUAUAGAAAUUUUCUUUUAUAAAUGUUACAUAUUAUAAAUUUUAUAUUAUUUUUGACUUAAUUUACGUAUUCUAAGAAUAUAUAUAACUUAACAUAAGUUUUUCUCCAAAUUAAGUUUAUAUAAGUUUUUUGUAAUUAAAGUUACAGCUUAUUUGAAUUGUGAACUCAAAUAUUAUAAGGUCAAUAUUAGUUAUGUAAAUUGAAAAGAUUUUCUUGUACCAUAUAAUGGGGGUAUGAUACCAUUUGAGAGAAUGGUGCCAGACACAAGCAUCAUAAACAACUUGUAAAUUCUUUAACACGAGAUAUUCAAGGUUUCAAAAUAUAGUUGAGAAGACAUUUAUUGUUCUAAAAAGAUAUUUCUCAUAUUAACAACAUCAUUGUAGUAUAGUAUAAAAAAAAAGGGUUAGAUCGUACUAGUAUGUUGCAUAUUUCAUAACUUCAAUCAUAAGUAGAAUUGAGAUAAUCCAGACUUCGAAAAGUACACAAAAGAAGGGUAUCUUGAUAAUCUUAUUGAUAUAGAUUCAAAUCCAGAUGAUGAUAAGAAACAUAUGUUAAAUAUUAAAAGGGAAUAACCCAACAAAUAUGUACUAGAACAAUUAGAUAAAAUUGCAUAUGAUGUUUACUGUUCUUACUAUUUUUAUUAAUAAUCGUAUUAUCAACUACUUUUUUAGACUAACAUAAUAUAUAUGAUGAUUUGAUUUUAAUUUUUGUUACUUGUUCAUACUAAUAUUUUUUUAUAAUAAUUAAUAAUUUUAAAACUAUAAAUGAUAUAAAUAUGUAAUUAUAAUUUUAACAAUCAAACCUGACACAAAGAUUUAUAAUAUAAUUAAGCUCUGUCAGUCAAACACGUCUAAUACAAUAGAGUUGAUUUCAUUUACCUCUCUACAUGGAAAGAGUUUUGGAAGUACCCAAUCACUAAAAAGCCUUUAUUAUUGGGCCUAGGAACCACAUAAAUGGGCCUCAAAACGAAAACCUUAACCUAUGGUUUUUCACUUCAUCCUAAACCAAAAUUCAGCAGGAGAAAAAGGAGGAAGAAGAAGAGAAAGAAGAAAAAAGAUGGAGAAAGAUGAAGAAAAUCAAAACAAGAAAAAAACACAAAUUGUUAUAGGAAUUCCAUCUUAUAAGGAAGUAAUUGAGAGCUCACAAACAAAGUCAACCCCGCCCUCUCUUUUUACUCCUUCUCAAUCUUUUUCUCAAGCCUUCAAUUUCAUUAAAUCCUCUGAGUUCUACUCUCCUCCUCCUCCUCCUCCUCCUCCUGCGCCCAGCUCCCCUCUUUUCACCCCAAGGUGAUGUCUUCUUCUUGAUUUUAACUUACCCCUUUUUUUAAUUUUCACAAUUCAGUUCAAUUUUACCGUAAAGUUUUCUUCUUUCUAUUGAAAUUGGCUCUAUCUUUUCUGGGUAUCUUUUUCUCUUUAGUUUGGUUUGAACCCUUUUGGUCAAUUUUAAUUUUUUUUUCAUUUAUUGGUCUAACUUGCUUGAGUCUCCCAUUACUAAGUGCGUUCUUUUUCCUUUUUCUUUUUUCCUAAUUGAAAUGGUUUGUAGAUAAUUUUCUGUUUCUUCAUUUUAGUUGGACUUUUGGUUUAGCUUGUUGAGUUUGAUAUGAUCAGGAAACUAGAAUUCAUAAAAAAAAUUUCUGUUCAAUUGGAAUAGCUUGUAAUUUUUGUUUGAAACUUUUGGUUUAUUUUAGGCCAACUGGUGAAGCCAAUGUGCCUUCUUCUUCUUCAGCUGCCUCUACCUCAGCUUCCCCUGCUGUAUCAUCGAGUUCGUCUCAGAGUCGCAAUGCUAUCCUUGUCAGCCAUAGGCAGGUGAUGUUCUUGAAUUUUGGCGGCAUUAAUUGUUACAUCGUCUUUACUGGUAUAUUUUUCAUUUUCUAAGAGUAAAUUGUCUGCUAAUUCUCUGCCAUCUCUUGUUUUAACCUGACUACCUUUGAUAGGCAAUACAGUUCACUUUACAAAUGUUUAACCUUAUCUGAUACGGGUAUAUUUAAAACAGUCGUCUUGAAAUUUUAGAUGUCAUGCGUCAUCUCUUGAUUUUUUCUCACUUGGUUUUGAUAUUAUCAUGCUCCCUUGAUCUAUUUCAGUUCAUUAUCAAUGUUAAAAAUAACCUUAUAAUCCUAAACCUCCUGAGGAAGAACCUAGCUUCACCAAAAAUUGUUAUUAGAACAGAAAUUGCCAGACUUCAAUAAAUAUAACUUCGAUUCUUCUACUUUUACUGCAUUAGCCUAAAUAUAGAUGUACUUUCACCUCAUGCAGAAGGGUAAUCCCUUGCUCAAACAUAUCAGGAAUGUGAGAUGGGCUUUUGCAGAUGUUGCUUGUGACUACUUGCUUGGUCAGAACACGUGUGCCCUCUAUUUAAGGUUUGAACUAUUACCAUAUGGCUUGGUGGCACAAUAGUGCUGUUUGUGUGAGUUCAACAAGAAAUGUCUUAAGCCUUUAUUUGAAUAUGGUUAAUUCUUAUUAUGUGCCUCAUAAGAUAUAGGGUAAGUCUUACUUGCAUCCUAGUUUUUGUUAUCUUUCAUAAGAUUUCUAUAUGUACACAACCUUCUAGAAGGAGCAAUUUAAUAAAUUGAAAAUGGUUUGGGUUUUUGAUAAGAUUACAUGCUCUUUCAAGUUUUUAGUAUAUUUAAGUGGGAAAAAGGUAACUUCGUUUUCUAGCAAAAGGGAUUUUGGGCUAUCUUUUAUAUUCAAUGUUUUCUUUCGUAGAUCUAUUACAUUUUGUGCUUCUGUUGAAAUUUUCUCUAAUGCAUUCAGCUCAUUGAGUUGACUACUUGAUGCAGUCUUCGGUAUCAUUUGCUGCAUCCGGACUACCUAUACUACCGUAUAAGGGAACUACAAAAGAACUUCAAGCUUCGUGUUGUGUUAUGCCAUGUUGAUGUGGUAACCUUCCUUCAUUUUGAGGAUAUUCUUAUAUGCCUUGUUUAUGGUUUCCUAUAAUUCAGGAUUUCAAACAAUGAUUAGGUGCAUUCUGGACAUUAUAAAUAUGGAAUUUUGGUCCUGUCUUGCUUUGUGUGAUAAAUGAACAUCUACACAUUGUUACUUGCUUGUUCGCAUCUCAUGCCAACAAGUAAAAAAGUGAAACCUGGUUGCUCAUUGUUUAGAGCUCUCUUUACACAGGAGGAUGUUGUUAAGCCUUUGCUUGAAGUUACUAAAACAGCUCUGCUUCAUGAUUGCACUCUAUUAUGUGGUUGGAGGUAUGAUUAAGAAUUAUGGAUGCAUUGUAGAGUAAAUGCAAAAUAUUCUUUUAUGAAUCUGUGAAUGUUUCCAUUUGCUACAGUAGUAUUCUCUAAUCAUUUAAAGUUCUAACCUAGUUAGGUCUUAUCUAUUUUGUGAAUUUUAUGUUAAAAGAUAAGUUGUGCUAUUUAUAAACUGUUUUCUUGAUAAAUUUUCUUGCUAUUAUUUGGUGUAGCUUAGAGGAAUGUGGUCGCUACUUGGAGACCAUAAAAGUAUAUGAAAACAAGCCUGCAGACCUCAUUCAAGGCCAAAUGGAUACAGACUACUUAUCAAGGGUAUCAAUUUUCCUUCUUUUGAAGCUUCAGUGUAUGAAUAAAUAUACUCACUAUGUCAUGCCAGACCAUUAUAGUUUUUUAUUAACUAAUUUGCAAAACCCAAAUUUAAUGUGCAAUCAUUUAUUUCCAUUGUAUUUGGUACAAUUGAUCUGAAACUAGUUUUCUUGUAAUUGUAGCUAAAUCAUGCUCUUACAACUGUUCGGCGUGUUAACAAGACUGAUGUGGUCACUCUUGGUUCUACUUUUGGGGUGCGUAUGCUGUUUUACGUCUAAAAUGCAGUGUUUUAUUUGUUGAUUUAUGUGACCUGGUUAUCAUGUUUUUGCAGUCUCUGUCUAGUAUCAUGGAUGCAUCCAUGGAAGAUCUUGCUCGAUGUCCUGGAAUAGGAGAACGGAAGGUAAUAUAUAUGUCUGUGUGUAUACAUAUGUAUGUAUUUGGACGAGCCAUCGUAUGCCUGUUGAUCCAAGUUAUUGACUACAAGACUAUACAGUCUCUAGUUUCAGCUUAACAUACCCUUUUUUAUUGUUUUCAUGAUCUUAAUGAAUCAGGUAAAACGUUUGCACGAUACUUUUCAUGAACCCUUCAAGCGCAUAGUUUCCAGUAACCCUUCUGUUCCGGAAACUCCUGUAUGCAAAGAUGCUGAACCAAGCUCAGCAAGUGAAGUCAUAGAAGCAGACAAGGAUACUGAAGAUACGAGCAAACGUAGGAAAAAAGAAAAUGAAAUUAACAUUAAAUCAGCUCUAACUGCUGCAUUUGCCAAGUAUGCUGGUAAAAAUAGUAAAAUGAACAAUAAAUCCGAGGGUAAUAAGGGAGGAGGAACCCUUGCUGCUGCAGUACCAGAACCAGCAACUAAAAAUUCUGGGGAAGGGGUCGAAACAUGAGCUCCAUUUGCUACUUCAAUCUAUCUCCAACGGGUAAGCAUUGACUGACGCAAAUACUCAAUGAUACGUUGCGCUUAUGCUUAGGCAUUGAAUUUUUGGUGAUCUCUUACAUAGGUUUGAAAUUCAUUACUUUCUAGCAUGUAUUUUUAUUUGGAACAGAAUCUGUCAAUAUUUGUCUCAAGUAAUACAAGGAUUUUAGAUAGUUGCAGAAUGAAGUGAUCAUUUCCCUGGUAUUUAAAGUUUAAGUUGCACAAUUUCAUGCUUCAUCUCUUUCAGCAAUCAUAAUUCUUAUAGUUGGUAUGUUUGAAAGGAUCUAAUUAUGGAACUUCAUUGUGAUUAGCUGACUAAUUCAUAGGAGGACAAAUAUAUUUGUCAAGCGUAACUCUUAUAGAAUAGUUCAAAAUUAUGCUGAAUUCUCUGAAAUUUCAGUAUCGUGAUUGUUCAUCAGGUUUGGGUUGAAAUGGACAACUACACAAGGCUUUCGGGGUUUCUCUACUUGCCUCGUAGCAUCUGAUGUAACAUAGCCAAUAUUCUCUUUUACCAAGCUGACAGUCUCAAGUUGUUUAAGGAAACCAAGAAAUUUGUGCCGAGACUCGCUCUCAAUUUUCGAGGUAUUGUUCAUUAGUUACACGACAUCGGACAAAUUGUCCUAGUUGAAAAUUAUGGGUUUUAUCAUUUAUGUGGAGCCAACAAGGCAUUGGUGAACCUAGUUUUUUUAGCCCUACUCGGAUUUUGUUAUCUUGUAAUAAUAUUGAAGCUAGGUUCUGAAGUCUGCAUUGUUUCAUUGCAAAAUUUUGGUACUCUUUGAAUACUACAAAUUUUCCUUUCAUAUUUUUUGGCAUCUUACGAAAUUAUACAAAAAAAUGUUUUACGUGAAAAAUGAAAGGCAUUGAACUCGAGUUCAUCCAUGCCCAAUACCAGGGCUCGAUCCGCAAGUUCGUCUGUGAGGUAGUGUAGUGUUUGCGCGUGGGUGGGUAAGUGAGUUUUUACUUUGUAUAUAUAUAAAAAAGAAAAACAUUACUAUUUUCUGAUCUCCAAGACUAACUUAUGGUUUCUAAAAAGAGAAUAAUAUUGUCUUCAUUAAUCAUUUUACAACGAAUUCAUACAAUAAUAUGAAUGUAAAGAAGCUUAUUUUUGGCUAAGGGAAAAUCCACUUAUAUUCCAGAUAUGAGUACAUCACUUCCUUAACCGAUUGGAGUCGGAAGCUUAUUUUUUCUCGAAGUACCAAUGGCCGACACUUUCAAAAAAGAGUACAAGGAUCCGAACUUCUAAGCAUAUUAAAAAAAAAAAAAACCCAUGUACGAUAUAUGCUUGUAUUUAACAUUUACUUUACCCUUGAAUCCGGAUAAUAUGGAUUGAUUAGGCUGUUUUGUCAUUCUGGCAAUGUAGAUUCUUUUCCUAUUUUAUGCAACAAGAAGAAAAGGGAAAGGAAUAUGUGGCUCUGCAAUUCUCAAAGGUAUUAAUAAUUCUUGUGACUGGAGCUUUGUCAAUGAAACCUAGUGGAAGCAGAAGAGUUAAAAUUUUUAGCUAAAGGGAUCAGUGACUGCACAACUUCCACCAUUAGAGGUCUGUAAUCAGCUUCUGGUUGCACACACAUAGCAGCAAUGGCAGCCACCUGUGGAAAUAUUAUAAGUUUCGUCAGCAGCUUGGUGAAGGCAUUCAUUUGAUGGUAUAUUGAUUUAAAACAUUAAUAAAUAUCAUAGAAGCAAACUUUACCUGAAUUAGAUCCUUCUUUGAAUACUGUCCUUGUAUAGCUGGAUCAACCAUUUCGUCUAUUUUCUCUCUGUUUGUUAGCCUUGGAAGUGCCUGUUAAAUUAUCAACAAUAUCUAAGCUAUUCAUGGCAUUGAAAUUAGAGACUUAUUUUAAUUUCAAAAAGUUGAUCAUGUUCUAGUUGUCUUUUAAACCUUGCAGGUGCAAGUUUAAAUUGUAAAAAGCAAUACAUAUCCGACAUUUGUGUCCAAUACAUAUGAGAGAUUCCGUAUCUAACACUAACCCAUGAAACAAGGACAUGUUCUCCAGGAGGCCUCUUGAUGUCAACCGGUACGCGGCCUGUUAAAAGCUGUAAAAGCACCACGCCAUAGCUGUAGACAUCUGAUUUUGUGGUAAGUUUGCCUUUGGAAGCGUAUCUGUAGUGCCAAAAUUGAUGGAAUGAAAAUUCAAGACCAAGUUGUGCACAAAAUAUUUGCAUAUUCAUUCUGAUAAUGAAACAGAUGCAUGAUGGAGCACUCACUCGGGAGCUAGAUAUCCGGUGGUUCCCAACACGCGUGUCAAAAUCUGACCAUUGAUCUUGUCUGAGCCCAUUUUGGCCAAUCCAAAAUUGGAGACCUUGGCUCGGAGGUUUUCAUCGAGUAAUAUAUUGCUGCACUUAAAGUCACGGUGGAUAACAGUAGGGGAGGCAUGUUCAUGGAGGAACUCAAGGCCUCUAGCACAAUCCAGUGCUAUGAUCAACCGGUUUCCCCAAUCCAAUGGCCUAUGUUGAUUGCUGGGAUGAUGAAGAUGCUGUUGAAGAUUACCAUUGGGCAUGAAUUCAUAUAUUAGUAUUCUAUGUUGCUGGUCAGCACAGUAGCCUAAUAGCUUCAAUAAGUAAGGACAGCUCAAGCGGCUUAGUAGAUCCACCUGCAGCAUAAAAUGCAGUAAUUUGAGCGAGCUCGAUCGAGUUUCAUUUUUAAAGUUUUAACUCGACCAGAGAUAAAAAUCAGAAGAACACAAGUGGGAGACAAAUUAAUUCACCUCCAUCCUAAAACCACGCUCCCCUUGCUUUCCAUCUCUGUGAAGCCUCUUAAUGGCUGCCAUGGUUCCAUCUGCAAGAACUCCUUUAUACAUUACACCCAACCCUCCAUUGCUGAUCACGUUUGCCUCACUGAACUUAUCAGUUGCUAGCUCCAACUCUUUGUAAGUAAAAACUUGGACCCCACCAUAUCUACUUGGAGGUGUACGGAUGCUUCCUCCAUAUAGACACCUUGCCUUCACAUCUGCUCCAUUUUCAGUUGAAAUCAACGAACAAUGGUCAAUCUUAGUAAUUAAAUAAGCUUGGAAAAUGGACACUUACCAGGACUACAAUUCAAGCUUACAGUAGUAUGAGCAAUGAACCUGCUACUGGUACUAUUGUUAAUGCUACCACUUCCAUUGCAACUGUCAUCAUGUUUUCUGACAGAUUUAAGUCUACGAAACAUUACUAUAAGCAGAAAGAUUGCGAAAACAACGAGAAUCGAGAUGAUUGACGCGAUGAUUAUGACAAAGGAGUUGAAGGAAAGGUUGGGGUUAUGUUGAGGCAUGGAAUGGAAAUGAUGAUGAGUAUGGUUUUUUGGUGUUGACAUUGCAGGCGGUGUUGCAGUAGCACUAGUUAUGCUAUCUUCCAUUAAAACAGAAGCAAUAUAAGAAAAAUGAGUUUUAAAAAGGAAAGUGUUGGGAGAAAAAUAAUAUGAAAACAUAAAUAUACCAAAAUGUAUAUAAUCAAUCAUGACUACGAAUUAUCAGAUCAUCUGUAUGGCCAAAAACAGCUCUUUCUCUGUCUGUCUCUCCCCCGUGAUAAAACAAGAGUGCCUUACGUACUUCAUUCGUCCAUUCUAUUGUAAUCUUCUAAGGAAUUGUCAUUGUCUUUGUAUCAGUCACUGUCUUAUAUCCAAAUCGUAUGCAAAUGAUUUCAUAAACUCCACUCCAUCCAUGUUAACUUUUGGUGUUAAAAACCAUGGCUAUGUACAAGCCGUAAAAAGCUCAGUUGGACCUGACCUAUGGUGGAAUUUGUCAGACCCACCAAUCAAAUUGUAGCUUUGAGCCAUGUGUAGGAAAUUUAACUGAGCUUUCUUUUACAAAGACAAUGCUUACCUUCAAGUUUCUUACCAGGAAUCUGAAAUGGAAGUAUUUGGGUUUGUUUUGUCAUAGGAGUUUACUUUUUGUUUUCAUAGGGAAGUGUAGAAGCAAAAAUGGUACAAAAUACAAAGUUCCCAGAUUGUCACACGCUCACAUGUGACAUUAAAGUUUACUAAACAAUCACUGCCUAAUUCAAUCACGAGACUUCUUUAGGUUCCACAAUUUAAUAAUCAAACGUCACUAUCUCAAUUCCAUUCUGCAUAACUCAAUGAUUGGACUAGCAUAAACUACAUCGUUUUAGUCAUUUAAUUUAAAACACAUUACGUUAUCAUCACGGAAUUAUUCAAAAGUUUUCAUUUAAGUUAUCGAGUUGUUAAAAUUUAUGUUAUAUGCUUUUCUUUAUUCGCACUGUUUGUAUAAAUCGAAAGCACUAUUUCUUCUUCUCUUCUACAGUUUAGUUUUCUUUUCAUGAAAUAACUUUAGUUUUCUCUGAUCUCCAAAAUUGACCGCCAAAUUGACUUCGAUCUAAUAUAUGUUCUUCUACUCGUUGAUGGAUAUUGAUCCACCAUAAUGAUCGUCGAAUCAUCGCUUGAAGCUCACCUGUGUAACUUUAUUUUAAAAAAACACUUAACGACCUAGUGACUUAAAUAAAAACUUUCGAAUAGUUCAAUGAUCAAAUUGUAACAAAAAAAGUUAUCCAUAAUUUAGUGACUAAUAAUGUAAUUUAUUGACAUUAAAUUUUUUUUCGAAUAUUAAAAUUCGAUUAUUUCCUUUUUAAAAAUGAUUACCAUUCACCAGAUAAUCCUACUUGGUUGACUUUCAUGCCAAUUUUUAUUUGGCAAGUUGUUGUUACGAGGUCCCAAUUUCCAUCAUUAUCCGGAUAAUGACUGUAAAAUAUCCCUUAAGCAAAGAAGAAGAGAAGACUCAUUACAUAAUUAUAACCCACUUAGCAUUGAUUAAUUUCCAUAAUUAUUGUCACAAAAGGACAAAGCAGCAAAAAAAAAAAUAAUUUAAAUCCCGAAAUCAGCGGGUCAAGUGUGAAAUAAAUAUUAUUGAAAUAAUCCGAGACAGUUGAUUAAAGUCAUUGAAGACGGGCAAUUAGCUGUUUCUAUUUUAGUUUUGGUUAAAAGAAAUUUUAAGUAUAUUUUCAGGAAGGAUAAUCGAAUUAUUGAUGGGCUUGUUAAAUUGAUCACUGAUAAUAAGAAAAAUGUGUAGAUUUUCGAUGAGGCUCUUAGUGAAUUAUUAAUAAAUUUAUGUUCGGAUAAAAUGAGUAGUCUAUUUAUUUAGAGUAGUUUGAUGUAAUAAUUUUGAUUUUAUUUUUCACCAAAAAAAUAAUAAUUUGCAACAUUAAUUGUGUUGUAGAAUAGUCGUGCAUUCAAUCUGCUUCGAUUCAUAUGUAAACUUGUAACCCUAAGUCAAUAUGGCCAUUAUUAAGAAGAAUCAUCUAACAUGUUGGGAAUUUAAUCUCUAAAAUAUUAAAUUUUAAACUCAAAAUUCAUAUAUUUAAUUUAAUAUUUAUCCCUUAAUAUUAUAAUACAUGCCUAUAUCUAUUAGUACUAUUAUAUUGUUGUAAGUGAUUUUAGGGUAAAUUACUUAGUUGGUCACCUAAUUUUUAAUGUGUUCUCAUUUUAAUCACUAAGUAUUAAAUCUCUAAUGGCGGUUAAUUGUACACGUCAUAUUAUGUUUGCACUUUCAUUUUAAUCACCCAACUUUUUGAUCGCCCAAAAAAUAUACUUUUCAAGUAUUUAUGUGAGUAAUAAAAAAAUCAAUGGUUAAAGUGAAAAAGUGGUACAAACUAAAUUUGAUCUCAUUGUCGAAAAUUCUAAAUUUGGGUUUUGAAAUAUAAAUUUUUAAAUAUUAAGAUUCAAAAUUAUAUUAACAAAUUGAUUUACGUUAUCAAUGAAUAAAAAUGUUUCAACAACUUAUUUAAUUUAUUUCGAUAUUUUGAAAUUAUUUUAAAAAAUUAUCAAUAAAAAUUAUUAUCUUUAAUAGUUGUCUAUGAAACCCAAAUUUCUUUUGACUGUUUGAUCUUAAAUCUUCCAUACUAAGCUAAAAGUAUUAAAAAAAUCAUUCUAAUUAAUUUAAUUAAUUAAUUUUAUCUACUAUGCCAAACAAAACUCAUAAAAUUUUUCAUCACUUAUUUACCCAAACGAAGAAGAAGCAAAUAUUUUCCUUUACUUUUAGUUGUCUAUGAAACCCAAAUUUCUUUUGACUGUUUGAUCUUAAAUCUUCCAUACUAAGCUAAAAGUAUUAAAAAAAUCAUUCUAAUUAAUUUAAUUAAUUAAUUUUAUCUACUAUGCCAAACAAAACUCAUAAAAUUUUUCAUCACUUAUUUACCCAAACGAAGAAGAAGCAAAUAUUUUCCUUUACUUUUAGCAUGGAUUCGAAUUAUAUAAUCAAAAGGAAUUUAAGAUUCUUUUGAGUUGAUUUCCUCAAUUUUAAAAUUUGAGUUAUUAAAUAUAAGUUAUUUGAGUUGAUUUCGUUAAUUUUAAAAAUUAAAAGGAGAUUAAAUUAAUUAUUUUGAAUGCUAUAGUAACAAAUCGGUUAACAUUAUCAAUAGAUAAAAAAAUAUAAUACAACAAAUACACUAAAAAUAUUAAAAUAAGUGUUUCCCAACAAAUUAAAAAUACUUGUUCGGGUCGUGCCGAGCUAAAAAAUCAUACCCAAGGCUCGGUCUAUUUUAAAAAAAAAGAACUUUAUUUUUUGUCUCAAGUCUAUUUUUCAAACUUAUAUUUUUACCCAAAUUCUCUUAUUUUUUGAGUUGACUUUUGGACAUGGAUAGAAUGAUUAGGUCUAAAGGGCCCAAGUUGGUUUAAAUUCAAACAUAGUUAGAAAAUGCAUGCUAUGCUAGGCUUUUUGAACAAGAGUCUUCACCAUUGAAGUAUCAUGGUUUUUACACAUAUUAAACAAUUUUUAUGUCAAUGACAAGGUAAGGAGUUUUUAUCUUUCGAGAGAUGGAGUAAAAGAAUGAUGCUAUUCUGAUCUUACUUUACCUUUGCAAGUAGGUAUAAGGGUAACCAAAAUCUCUUUAACCCUUCUUUCGUAAUUGACAAAUCCAGCUCACAUCUCUUCCAAGCACUUCUCCCCAUGCUUACCAACAUCAUGUCAGAAGGUCAAAUGAGGAAUGAAUUCAUUGACCUCGAUGGAUGAGAAUGUAGUUACUAUUAUUUAACUACGUUUACUAAUUUAUUUAUUUACUAUAUAUAAAAAAUAUUACUAAUCUAAUAUAAAUGGUUUUUACCCUCUUAAAUUGUAACUAUCUUACUAAUUUAUUUAUUAAAGCACAACGCAGUCAACUGUAUCUAUAUUUCACAUAGCGUUACAAAUGAAUGAAUACAAGAUGUAAUUGUUGAUCAAGAAUAAUAGUUAAGCCAAAAAUCUUCGUAGCAAUUAAAAUGCUCUUUCUUUCUCAUCUACAAUGAUAAUGAGUUUGCUUCAUCAAAGGAAGUUUAAUCUUACACUGUAACGGUGAACAAAUAGAGUUUGAGCACAACAGCUAGAGCCAACUGCAACAGAAAGAUGCCAGUGACGAUCAAGAACCAUCUUUCUCCAGCUGAAUUAAUAUGAGCUUUGAGAUUAAGUGCCACAAAAGUUGCUGACAUGAACCCAGCUACACCGGCAAUUACCCAUCUGAAAAUUUCCAAGGGGACAACGGAUAGACACUGCAAUCAAGUACAAGCAACAAUAAGUUAUGUUGUUCGGAUAACAGGCCUCACUUUAAAGAAAUCUCUAAAAGUCCAGGCAUUUGCUUUAACAGUGUUUUUAUUCGGAUUGUUUUCUCAGCUUUUUCAAUGUUUGGAAUCUCUUUAAAAGUUGGGGGGCAAGGGAGUUGGGGCGGGGGAUCAACUUGGAACUUUAAGAAAUAAACUUCCAAUAAAGUUUAUUGAAAUCCAAAAAAUAAAAUGAUAGAGAGCCAAAUGAACUAUCUUCGCAUUCAGAGGGGAAAAAGAAGAGAAAAAAAAAACUAGAGAGCUUACCAGUGCUGGAAUAAAGACAAAUAAUGAAUAUCCAUACAGACAAAACAGUUGGACAAGGCCUGAUGGUGCUGAAAAGUACUUGAGAAUAACAUACAAGAUAAGAGGAACCACAGUGACAUAGCCAUAGAACACACCAGCGGACCAAGUUACUAGAUUUAUGUCAUAAUCCCAUUCUUUUUUCUUGAGCUUGUGUGCUAUAUAAGUCACAAAAGUUCCAAUAGACGCUGCUACAAAUAUAAGAGUGGUGCAUAUCCAGAAUGGUCCAUAUCUGCACAACAUAAAAUUUUCAAUCAUGCAUGAUCAACUCUGUUUUCUCUUCUUUUAGGGUUUUACACACCUAUUCUUAAAGCAAAUUUUUUUGACCAUGUGCAACAGAAAAGAAACUUUCUAGUCUCAAGCUUGAAAAUUUUACCAUAUAUCUAAGUUCGACAAAUAUUCAAUGCUUAGAACAUCAUUUAAAAAUAAAUGAGUUACAGGGAGAAAACUCACAAAUCAGGGUUGGUAGCCGUUUUCUCUGUAAAUGUUCCUCUAAAUGGAAAGAGUGACUCCUUAAGUCUAUCAAUGAUGUCAGAAGUGUCAACAUCAAAGUAUGGCUUGUAUGCGGCAAUGGUGAAUGUACGAAACCAGCCACUCCCUUGUGGUUCACCAGAUCCAGGUUGAGAUCCACCAGCAGGUUUUGAAAAUGUAUCUGCCUCAAUAGCAAAGUAAUCAUUUGCCACCAACAUAACACCAACCAUUGUUCAUGUGAAAAUCUAAUUAGAUUUUUCAUUGAACUACAACAUAGCAGAUACUACAUCUGAUUUAUUUGAUCUAUUAACUGUUGCUCAACUAUUUGUUUUAUGCAUAGCAGAUAUUUCAAACACGUGAUCAAUGACAUGGAUCAUCUUUCAUGCUAUAAAAACUUUAUAAACCUAAUCUUUAGAUCACUAAUGAAUUUAUGCAAAAUGCCACUGAGAUCAUGAAUCCAAGAUAUAUAAGCACCAGGAUAAACAAAUCAAAGCAUAAGCACCAUCACAAAAGGAAUUCAAAUCAAAUGGAAUCGGAAAUACCAUCAGCAUCAUGAGGAGGUUGAGUUCCACCAGAGAUCUUCCCUUGUGCACCCGAUGGAGGAAACGUUUGAAGGUUCGAAUCUAUAAAUUUAAGCAAAUUAAUUAAUAAAAGUAGAACUAAAUCCACAAAUUAGCUACCUUAAAGCACUAAACAACACUUGAUUGACUUUACAAUUUCAUUAUACAUUAAAACACACAUUCAAUUCAUUCAUUUUAAACUCCGAUUUCCUUCCCUUUCCUGCAUUUUCCAGCAAUCAAUCAACUAAUACUACCACAUAUAAAAUAAAAUGAAAAGAAAAAUUUAAAUUCAGAUUCAGAUUCGCAAUGACAACUGAAAAAAAAAAAUAGUUCACCUGUAAAUUUAACGGCGACAUGACUGGGAUCUGAAACCGCCUGUGAAAUUAAGGAUUUAAAAAGCAAUAGCAAAUGAGAUCUGGUUAAUUUUAGCUUGAAAAAAGAAAAUUAAAAGCAAAAAUUAAGAAUAAUUAGACAAGAUACGAUGAAUUAUGAAACAUAACUUACGGGAACAGAUCCAGAAACUUUCUGAUUAUCAAUGCUUGUAUAACCUCCGGACAUCAUUUUUUCUUCUCUUUGUUCAAACAGAUCUCUCUCUUGCGCGUGUUGAAGUCCAGAGGUUUUAGCUUUUUGUUUACUUCUUCUCUUUUAAGAAUUAAGACAGAAUUCCAAAUAAGGGUGGAAAUUUGUCUCGCAUUUGUUUUUAAGUUUUUUUUUUGUAUAUAUAUAUUUGGUAAACUACAGUAGAAAGAUUUGCCUUUAUUCAUUUGGUUUUAAAAAGUUAGUAUAUGGAUAUUAAAUUAUUUAAAAUUUUUUAUUUAAGUCGUUUAAAUCGUCAUUGUAUGAUUUUUUUUGUUUAUACCGUUUGUAACAAUUGAAAGUUUAUAUCCUCUUUCUCUAUAGUUAAAUUUCGUUUUAUAAAACAGUUUUGAACUUUACGAAUUUGCUAAUCAAAAUACAAAUAGCUUUGAAGAUCGCAAAUUCACGAACCAAAAUCCAGAACAACUUUUUUCUUUAAUCGUUUGGCACUGACUGUCAAAUCGACUUGGAUCUAAUGUAUGUUUUUCUACUCAUCAAUGAGUACUGAUCCAUUAUACUGAUUAUCGAAUCAUCGCUUAGAGCUCGCUAAUCUGACUUUAAAAAACCCUUAACAACUCAGCAACUUAAAAAAAAAACUUUCAAAUAACUCAGUGAUCAUUUCGUAACUUUUAGAAGUCGAGUUACCAAAAUGUAAACUUUCUAAUAAUUUACCAUUUUUUUGAUCAAAUUUUAUUUGUAUAUAGUUAACCAUGUAUUUUAAAAUUUUAAAUUAAAAAUCCAUACUAUUAUUUAAGUCUCUAACUGAGUUGAUGUCACGAGUCAAUCGGAUACUAAUUCGAUUAGAGAAAUUAUAAAAAUAUCCUUUCAUAUUUAAAAUAAGUUAUAUUGUCAAAUACAUUGGUUUAAUUUUAAACUUACCACUCAACCAAGCUUUAUUUUGAAGUUUUAUACAUUUUAAUUUUAUUAUGCAUACGUAUUACCUCCAUAUAUAUUGAAAAUAUUGUUGAUUGAAAUAGUGCCAUAAAUUAACUCAACACCAACUUAAGAUCGAUAAAAAUACCAUGAUAAAUAAUUAUACUCAUUUAAUAUUCUUAAUAUUAUAUAUUCAUGUAUUUAAAUUUUAUUUUACUUGCAGUUUAAUCUAAUUUUUUUAUUUUAACAUCAUACAUACUUCAAGCGUUAUAAUAUUAAGAAAUUCAUCAUCUUUAGUGUUCAAAAUUUUACAGAAGGCAUGAAUCUUAACAUCGUGUAAUAAGUAAACCCGGACACCUCAUUAUAAGAGCAAGGUGGCUGCAAUCCAAGAACAUCCAAAACUUUCGUAACUCCUUUCUCGAUCUCUUUAAGGAAUUGAAUUACCAAUAAUCUUUGUUGCUUUUGCUGCUUCUUCUGUCAAAUUACAAGAGAAAAUAUAUUGUUAUUGGCCUUGGCAUAGACAUAUAUGUGUGUGUGUAUCUAUAUAAAAGAGAGUUACUAGCAUUCUGAAAGAUAAACAAAUACCUUUAGCAUGGUCAACAAAUUGUUUACCAACUUCAACGCUUUUAGAAAGGCUCCAGUCAGUAUAAGUGAAGUGCUCAAAUCAUCUGACAUUUUCACCUGGAACUCAUUGCGGAGCUUGCUAAUGCAUUUCUUGGCGUCCGGAGUAGUCCGAGCUGGUUUGCCAUCAUUGGGAAUUUCUUCUUGUAGUUGCAAUAGAGCAUCUUGGCAAUCUUUCAAAGUCUGUACAACUGUAAUAGCCCGAUUUUAGGCUUAGUCGGAACAGUGGUUUCGGGACCACAAAUCCGACGAAAAAAAAUGUAAUGGCUUGAAUUUUCAGAGGUGUCGGAACGGGGAUUCGAGAUCACUAAAUUCGACAAAUGGGUAGAAAAUAUUAUUAAUUUAGUAAGUAUAAGUUAAAUAUGAAGUUAGGAAAAUUUUUGAAAUAGUGAAUAGUGCACUAGAAAUAAAUAUUAAAAUAAUUAGAAUCGAAAUGAGGUAUCAAGACCUCGGGGAUUUUAAACUGAGCCAUAAAUAUUUUUAUAAAUAUUUAUGGAGUGUUAAAAAGUUAGUAUUAAAGUUUCGUUAAGAAAUUUUAAAGUUCCGAUAAUUAAUUGAACAAAAAGGACUAAAUUGUAACAAAUGCAAAAUUUUGGGAAAUGAUUAAAUAGCUUAAAUGAUAAAAGGAAGAGGGCUUAAAAGGAAAAUAGACCCAAGGUCUAUUUGGGCUGGACGGCAGAGGCAUGAAAUCAGCAAGAAAGUAAGGAGAAUUAAGGGCAAAAUUGGAAAAUUGCAAAAUUUGCUUAAUAAAGUUAGGACCCAAGUGGAAUUAUCUAGAUUUCUCUUCAUUUUUCUGAAUUCUCAUCAGCUAAAACACCAUGGAAGGGCUUCUUCAAGCUGGUUCUUCAUAUUUUUAUUACAAUUAAGUUCAAUUCUUGACUAUUUCUUGAAAUUUUUGUAUUUUUAUGACUUUUACAACUAGGCCCACUUGUUAAAUUCAUUAGUUUUUGACUUUAUGAAAGAAGUUGAAAGUUGAUAUGAAAAUGUGCUGGAAGUAUAUGAUGAUUUAGCAUGAAAUUAGAGCUUUAAAUUGUUCAUAUGCUGAUUUUAUUGAAAGAAUUGAAUAGAAAGUGAAUGUUUGGGACCUAAUAGUAAAAGAGUUUGAAGAUAGAGUUAUAUGUGGAAAUUCUGAAUUUCAAUAGUUGUGUAACAACUUAUAAUGUCUAGUAAAGUACUAAUUGAGAAAAUUAGAUUAAUUGAGGGGUUAAUUGAGAAAGGACCGAAUUGUAUAAACUGUGAAAUUUGGGGCAAAAUGGAAAUCAACAUUUGCACUAAAGCAGUUNNNNNNNNNNNNNNNNNNNNNNNNNNNNNNNNNNNNNNNNNNNNNNNNNNNNNNNNNNNNNNNNNNNNNNNNNNNNNNNNNNNNNNNNNNNNNNNNNNNNNNNNNNNNNNNNNNNNNNNNNNNNNNNNNNNNNNNNNNNNNNNNNNNNNNNNNNNNNNNNNNNNNNNNNNNNNNNNNNNNNNNNNNNNNNNNNNNNNNNNNNNNNNNNNNNNNNNNNUAAUAUUUUGAGGAUAUAUUGUGAAAAGUUAUAGAAACAUGUUAAUUAUUUUGAAAGUUUUAAUUUUGAUGAAAUUUUAUAACUCGGUUAAAUACGUUUACAAGUGUAUGUGUUUUGGUAAUGCCUCGUACCCUAUUCCGGUGUUGGAUACGGGUAAUGGGUGUUACAAAGCAGGUAAGGAUACUUUUCCAAAUGACUUGAAUCUAAACUAACUCCAGGUACAGUUGCCUAUGUAAAUUUAAAAAAAAAAAACUCAGCAUCUCAGGUCAACUCAGAAAAUAAUUCGGUCACACUUUUGAGUAAUUUUUAACCUGAAGGAGAGGCAAAUCUAAUCAAUUAUAGAAGAAAUAUUAAGUGGUAAAAGGAAGCCAAUAUUAAAUAAAGCUGAACUCCAAGAAAUGGAAUGAGGCAUGCUCCUCAUCCAUGACACCUUACAAGUAUACAGGCCCUACACAAUUCAGACAAACAAAUUUUAAGCCUAAAAGGCCAGAUCACUGUCUGUACCAAGACAUCUGAAUUCUGACCAGCAUAUGCCUGGUGCAAAGUAAAAGCAGUGAAAUAAGCUUUAAACCUGAUAUAUGUAAAAAAUAGCAUCUGAUGCACCUUCCAACUGAACAACGGAGUAAUUGAGAGGAGAACGAUAGUGUGCAUUUAUCAAGAAGUACCGCAAAGCCAGUGGAUGAUAUCUCUGGGUAAUCUAGAAAAAAACACAUAAACACAAAAAAAAUGAAGCUCAUAUGAGAAAAUUUCUGCAACUAGAACUAGAGGGAAGGGAAAUCACAUAAAUAAUAAGCCCCAACUUUACCUGGCGAAUUGUGAAAAAGUUACCCAAAGAUUUUGACAUCUUCUCAUUGUUAUUAGUAACAUGCCCAUUGUGCAACCAAUUACAGGUAGAAAAAUUUGUUAAGGUUUUUCUAGUCAUAUGAAAAAAAAAACUAAAAAAAGAAUAACGGAAGAAAAAUUAAAAAGAGGAGAUGAACAGAUUUUUUAGUUAAGGUUUAGGUUAAAAAAUUUUAAUUAAUUAAAUUUAUUUAAUUAAAAAUCUAUUUUCAUCCCAUUUAGAAAUUCAAGUUGGCAUUUAAAAUCUAGUUAGACUGCCACAUAGGAUUACCGUUAGAGAGAUAACGGAACUUAACGGUAGAGUGAUCACUUCGUAACAAAAUAAUAACAUAAGUGACUAAAACGUAACAUUUAAAACAUAAGUGACUAAAAUGUAACUUGAAAUAAACAAAAGUGACUAUUUUUGUAGAUUACCCUAUUAUUAAUUAGUUACAAACCGUACAUUUCAUUAUUUAUUGUAUGUUAUUUUUAAACACAAAUUUCUGCUCUAAAUACGUGGUUUUCACACGUAUACAUAUGUGAUAGAUUUUCUUAUUAAUAAUGUUGCAAAUUAAGUUGGUAUCACAAUUUAAUCUAAUUCUUUUCAUUUUAACAUCGUACAUAUUUCAUGUAUUAUUAUUAAAUACCUUCAAACUAUACAUUUUUAUUAUUUAUUGUAUGUUAUUUUCAAACACACCUAUAUGUUUUAAAUAUGUGGUUGCCAUACACAUACGUGUGUGAUAAAAUUUAUGGUAUUUAUAUAUGCAUAUAUAUAUAUAUAUAUACACACACUAUAGUAAUAUAAAGGUUAACAAAUGGUCAUGUUCACAUUACAGUUUUUUGACACAUGACACUCUUCGUUUAAAGCACUUAUUUAUAAUUUAGAUAAUUACUCCUUUAUUCCUUAUUUUUUAAUAUUUUUAAAUUAUCCAAUGCCUUUUGUUUAAAUAUUUUCUUUAUAAUUUUUAUAGAUUAUAUAUAAAGUUGAUNNNNNNNNNNNNNNNNNNNNNNNNNNNNNNNNNNNNNNNNNNNNNNNNNNNNNNNNNNNNNNNNNNNNNNNNNNNNNNNNNNNNNNNNNNNNNNNNNNNNNNNNNNNNNNNNNNNNNNNNNNNNNNNNNNNNNNNNNNNNNNNNNNNNNNNNNNNNNNNNNNNNNNNNNNNNNNNNNNNNNNNNNNNNNNNNNNNNNNNNNNNNNNNNNNNNNNNNNNNNNNNNNNNNNNNNNNNNNNNNNNNNNNNNNNNNNNNNNNNNNNNNNNNNNNNNNNNNNNNNNNNNNNNNNNNNNNNNNNNNNNNNNNNNNNNNNNNNNNNNNNNNNNNNNNNNNNNNNNNNNNNNNNNNNNNNNNNNNNNNNNNNNNNNNNNNNNNNNNNNAUAUAUAUAAUAAAUAACUUGUAAGAAAUUAUUAAUAAUAUUAUUUAAAUUAUAAUAUAUUAAUAUUAAUAUUAAUAUUAAUAUUAAUAUUCAAACCAUGAUGAAUUUUUAUAUUAUUUUAAAAUUAAAUAUUUUUAAAAUUAAUUAACAUUAAUAUAACUAAUUCUAAAUUUGUUAAAUAUUUCGCGAUUACAUCACUUAUUCACUUUAUUAAUGAUUUUUCAUAAAUUUAUUAAAAAAAUUAAACAAAAACUAAUAUAUUUGUUUAAAAAAAUAAAAAAAGUAUGUUUGUCUAAAAAUUAUUUGUAUACAAUAAUAUUUAAUUUUAUGACAUAUUAUUUUACUAAUCUUGUUUAAAUAAAUAAUUAACUAAAUUAUAUAGUGUUUGCUAUAAAUUAUUUUUACUAAAGUUAAUUAAAUUGCGUAGUACUUUUUAUUAAUUAUUUUACUUGGUUAAAGACCAAAUGAUGAUAGCAAAGAGUAUAUAUUUAAUGCUAGAGAAAACAUAACCUAAUCAAUAUUGAAUGCUAGAGUAUAUGUCAGCAUGAUAGGUCACUUGAGAAACGCCCAUGACCAAUCCUUCGACUUUACAUAGACAGGUCGGUGACUAGCCCUCUUGAAUUCCUACCUUCUAUUUGGCUCUCAAUUUAAAUAAGGGACCUGGAUCACUCGUUUUUUUUGUUUUUUUGAAAAACUUGAACCUCUUGCUUUCAAGGAUAAUCCACCUGCUUAACAAACGUCCUUAACAAGAACCUGCUUUUUAGGUGUGAAGUGUAAACAUGGCCCUAAAGACUAUUAGGCCCCACCUUAACAUAACGACCUCGUAUUGUCAUAACUCAAUCAAUGACAUUAUUAAUGUAUAUAUAUACAAUCAAUAGAGGCAAUAAAAUGUGCAUAAUACAAUUUAAAUGAAAACAUUAGAUUAAAAUAUGGCUGAUAGUAACAUUUCAGAGCUGCAAUCGAUAUAUGAUUUAUGCAAAAAGGAUUGACAACUCAAUUUUCGACAUGUUCCACGUGACCAUAAUAGAUUGGCAGAUUGUAUGUUAAAGCUGUCAAUAGUGAGCUUAACAGGUUGUCGAUGUUUGAUGUUAUACCUGCUCAUGCUCGAUCCGCCUUUGAAGAUGAUUUACACCAAGUGUCGGAUGCUAUAGGUCUUUAACAGGCAUACUGUAACAAGUUUCUUUGAACUUAUCCCCUUUAUUUACCAAAUAAAAUAAAAUAAAAUUUUGGUUUAAUGGAAAAGUUAAAGAUUUAUUGAUGUAAAUGACAUGGGUUAAAAUCCUACUAUAUGUAUUUUUUUUAUAUAGGUUUUAUAUAAAGGCUAAAGUACCAUUAAAUAAUAUCACUUAUCUUAAAUACAAAAGAAUAGUUUCAUAAUUUCCCUAACCGAAUUGGUGUCCAAUUGACUCGUGUCAACAACUCAGUCAGGGGUUUAAAUAAUAGUAAAUAUCUUAGUUCUUUUAAUUACUUUUUCUAAAGAAAUUAAAUAACCUAAAGUAAUAGGGAUAAUAUUUGAUGCACUGUUGAUGUAUAAAUUUCUUAUAUCAUCGGUGAAUAAUAACAUGACAGCUCAUCAUUAAAUAAAAUAAAAAUCAGUAGAGGAUUUAUAAAUAAAUACUAAAACCCUAAACUCAAGACUCUAAACCCUUCAGCCCAAUAUCCUAAAUCCGAAAGUUAUUAAUAUUUAUUUAUAAUAGUUAUAAUUAAUGUUUAAUGAUAUUUAAAUAAAAUUAUUCGUAUUUAUUUACAAAUUUUUAUUUUCUUUUUGUUAAUUUAAUAAUGAUAUAUGAUGUUAUUAUUCACGGUGAGGGCUUGAUAGGACUGAAAUAAUUUAUCGAAAAAUAAGGCUAAAAUAUCAUUGUAACAGAAAAGGCAGAGUAUAUUAUACAAAUAUAUAACUACAGUGGGUAUCUUUGCAUUGCAUUCCUGCAUCAGAUACCAACUUAUUAUUUGGAAGAUAAAGCUUCAAAGAAUUCAGAACCUCACUCUAUGAAAUACAAAUGAUUUGUGUUCAAAUGAUGCAUUAUUCAUUUAUCUCCAAAUAACAGCUGAUAUUAUUCUUUUCACACGUUUUUUAAUCUCCCAUUUCUGAGCAAUAGAGACCUCCGGAUAGCAAGUAUAAGAACCCAAGUGGUGGCUGUGAUUUUCUCUUUGAUCAUCAGAAGCAAAGCUGAGCUUAACACGGUCUUCGUGAUCUGUGCAUCUAAUCCCUUGAAAAACCCGAGAAUCCCUUCUCUUCUCCAGAUAGCACUGACAACUCCUGGCACUGUUUUGCGGGAUUUCGAUUGAGCUCUCUUAGUUUUAUCGUCGUCGUCAUCAUCUUCUGGAUCUGCAGCUUGAAUCAUUACCUUACACCUGCAUGGAGUAUGCAUGCAUAAUGUUACUUCCAUCUAGUAAAAAAUGCAUCAUGCUUCUAUAAUGCGACAAUUCGAGAGAGGGGCUAUGCACCUGAUUGCUGGAUAAGUUAAAAAGGUUGCGAUACUCUUUGAUAUUGCACCUAACAAGAAAGCCGUGAAGGCAGAUAGAACUACUGGGGAUGAAUCAUGGUCCGCUUUCUUCAAUUUUUGCUUGAGUAGUCGUUGUUUCAGUUGAUCAAAAACUGUAUACUGCAGUUUAACAUAUUUCUAGCCUUAGUUAUGAUAAAGAUAACAAGAAAGAUUUAAAGGUGAAGGUUUGAGGCAAAACAAUGUAGAACCUGAAUUGCAGGGUUGGAGGUCAGCAAAAGCGAGAUGCCAAGGCCAUCAAAUGCAUCACUCAAAGUGCCUUCUGUGAGGGUUUUCCAGAGUCCUUUCGAUUUUCCAAAGGCACUUGUCUGCAUCCUUGAGGAGGCUGUAUCCAGGGGCUACAAAAUCGAUAAACCAAGUAUUCAACAUUGAACUCCACAUAAUAAAGAAAAAUAAUUGAAACUGUGAUUGCAACAACAUCAGUAUCUUUGCCACCUAUGGUCAUAAAACAAUAAUAUUAUUAUUGUUGUUUAUGAUUUCAUAUUUAGGUCACCUCUCUUAACUAAAGGAACAUUUGUUCUAACUCGUAAAAAGAGGUAAGUCAUACCCUUUGAUUUACUAAACUAAUAAAUUUCUCAGGAUCAAUAGUUGCAUUCUAAAAUGCUCAAUGGCGUAAAAAGUUUCACCUUCUAUUCCUUUCAACAUUUACAUGGAAAUAGUAAAAAAGAGCACAAUUUUACUUUGCAACAACCAAUGGAAGGAAAGGAGUCCAUAUUUUUAGACCACAUGGAAUUCUGCCAGGAGAGUAGAACUGUAGAUGGUACUAGGGCAGUCUCACAAUUGCACAUUGUAGGAGAGGAUUCCACAUUUUACAUCAUAAAAUUCAAUCUCAAUGUACUAUGCAAUAAACGGGUACAGCUUUUGCUUUGAUGGAUGGAAGUUGGAAGCAUUUAUAUAUUCAAAAUGGAAACAUAAGAAACUUGUCAAGCGAUGUCCCACCUGAGUGACAAUAGCAGUGCAAGCCCCUGCUCCAGCGGCAAGAAUCAAGUUUACUUUCGUUCCAAUAGACUUGGAACCACUGUUUUGUAGGUACAGUCUUUUGAAGUAGCUAUAUCCAUAGAAGUAGACAAAUUGUGCAAUGAAUGACUGCAGGUUUUUUGUGCCUAGGCCCUGGUAUAAGGAAAGAACUUGGCCGGUAGAUACCGCUUCCCAUAAUACAUCAGAGAGAUUCCUAUAUAAGAUGAGAAAUUGAGGUCCAAGAACUUCAUGAUGCACUGCCAAUGAGCCGAGCAGUGCAGAGGAUUCAUUGAUAUGCAGCACAUAACAAUAAAAUAGGAAUAAACAGUUUCAAUUUCUCAACUCCUCUGGAAAGAUCUUAGAUGACUUAAUACGGACAAUUAUACUAACAGGAAUGAUGAUAAUUCCAUUAGAUGUCUACUACAACGUUGAACUUAUUCCACUACUUCACCAUUUCCUUUCUCAGUGAUUGACUAGCUCCAAAGAGUUAGGCAGAGUCAACUCUGAACUCUCCUUACUCCAUUAGCAGGUCAUCAUCUGAAACCCACCAGGCCAAUUUUCCACAUCAAUAACUACAAAAAUGCAAAGACAAGUAUAUGACACGACAAACGGUAAGGUGAAAAUGAAAUUAAGGUCAUAUGAUCCGAUUCAAUUAACAUAUAUACCUCAUUAUGCUAGGAUUGUUAUAUUCUGUCUUAAUUAAUAAGAAAUCAAAUCAAAUCCACAUUAUGAGUAGAAAAUUUUAACUCAUUCAUAAACACAAAUACCAUGAAAAGUAACAGCUUUAAAUUAUAAAGAGAAGAGAUAACUUUGAUCCUUUGAAACCUCACCUAUCAAUCAACAUACCAAAUAUUAACAAAGAAAUUAACUCAUGAAUUCACACACCGACAAACAAAGAAGCCAAAUUUACAAUUUCCUGGAUCAUGAUCAGUGAUCACAACAAAGAAAAAUAAACCCAGAAUUACAAAACAUGUAAAAACAAACAAAGAAAAGAAUAAUAAGAAAUGGGUAACCUGUAUUUUCGUUGACCAUGGGCUUGAACCUCGGCUUGAUACUUGGUUUUGCAGGUAUCAAGAGGGUAGAAAAUCGUUGUGCUUAAUAGUGAUCCUAUGGCACCUGAAGUUGCCUCCGAUAUCGACUCUAAAUCAACACCCAUAUUAAAAAUAUUCUUUAUCUCUGUUCUCUGUUUUACUUGGAAUCGGAAACUGAAUCUAUGAAAUCAUUUUAGCUGGUCAUUAUGUAUAUAUAGGAAGAAGAAACUGGAAAAGGAAACAGUAAACCCGAGCCACCAAGAAUGAUAUAGACGCCGAUGGCGUUUCUCAUUGGGAUUUGAGAAAACGUGGAGCUCUCCGUCCAUUUUAACGGCCAGACUUAACGUCGUUUAUUUGGUUCUUCUAGGCUUAAUGCUGAUUGAGCUGUAUUUUUUCCACAUUGAUGCUUAAAUUUUGUGUGGAAAUUUUUUUAUAAUUUUUUUAAAAAAUUUAUAAAUGAUAAAUAGUUUAAAUAAAAAGUAAUUAAUAUUAAUAAUAAUUUUAAUUACUUUUUUAUUACUUGUAUGGUAUAUACAAAUAUAAUUUUUUUAAUAAAUAUUUGUCUGUUAUCUCGAUUUAUUUCUGGUAAAUAUAUAAUAGUUUAUACCAAUUGAAUUAAAAAUAAUUUAUUACUCUUUUAUUAAAUAAAAUAACGAAUAAUUGUAUUAGGGAUAGAUUGCUUAAGGUCAAAUUAUUACUUUAAUUAAGUGAUAAAGAAUUCUUUAUAUAAAAUUAUAUCUUUGAUUUUAUUUUUUAUCACGGAUUAUUAAAUAUGUUUUAAAAAUUAAAUUAUUGAAAAUAUUAAUUUUAAUUGAUUUUAUACUUUCAAUGAAUUAUCAAACAAGUCCUUAGUUGAUGUCAUUUUUUUUUUCAUUAAAACUUGUUAAAUAAUGAUAAUUAAAUAAUUUUACAUAAAAUUAAUUCAAUGAAUAUAUAUAACUAAAUUAAUCAUAAAUUUAAAAUACUUAAUUUUAAUUAAAGUCAAAUGUAUACUUUUUAUUUAAAAAGUCAAAUAUUUUAUAAAACUUCAAAAAUUGUUUUAUAAUGAGGAAAACUUAUCUGGGUUUUAUUUUAACCAGAUAGGAUAAAUGGAUAUUAUGAUAUUUUUUAGACCAGUGUUCUUUGAAUUGGAUUCAACCAGUCAAUCGUAUCAGAAAUUGGUAGGAGAUCAAUUUGGAAAGUAAUUUUAGACUAGUUAAAUCGAAAAUCGAUAUGAAUUAGUUGAACUGACUAAAAAAUUAGUUAAACCGAUAGUUAAAUCGAUUAUUCUUUUAAUCGAACGAAUCAAACUAAUAAACCAAUGAUCUGAUGGGUUUAACCGUUGAUCCAAUUUAAAAAACAUUAGCGUAGAGAGAAAAUAAAUGUAUUCUUGCAAUAAAUCUUAAAAGAGAGUAAGUUUGUAAGAUACGAAGUGUUGAAGGAAUCAAAAAAUUGACGAAUUAGUGAGAAAGUAGUGGUCAAAAUUUUCAAAUAGUCCCAAGAUGGACCAAUCUUCAAAUUCAAUUUUGUUUGUUAAGGAAACCAAUGACUACGACCUUUACACAUCGUAUGAAAGGACCUCAACAUCCCUGCGUUUGUCAUGUAGCAUUUCAUUAUUCAUCUGUUUUUUUUUGGGUAAACUACACUAUAAGUCAUCUAAAUAUGGACCAUUUUCUUUUUUGGUCACUCAGUUCAUUUCAUAUUAUGUGUUCGCCAAUUUGUUUUUGGGUUAACUACACCAUAAGUCAUCUAAUUAUGGGUCAUUUUCUUUGUUAGUCAUUCAAUUAUGAAUCUUUUUAAAUUGGUCACCCAGAUUUUUUUUAAAAAUUUCUAUUAAUUGCACUAAUGAGAGGGUGAUGCGGUAGUUGAAAAAUCAGUAUAAUAAUAAAUUUAGCCCUUGACUUUUGCAUAUUAUAUUGAUUCAAUCAUAAUCUAAAAAAAUUUACAAAUGAUCUCAAUUUAAUCUUAAUUCUAAAAAAUUCAAAAAAUAUAUAUAAAUACAUAAAUAUUUUCAAAAAAUAUAUAAUAAUAAAUUUAAAUUUUAUAUUAAUAUAAAAAUAAAAAUCCCUCCCUCCCCCCUUACCCUACCAUCCCACCACCCCCUCUCCCUCUUUGCUACUGUUGUAGUAGGAAACCUGGGUUUUAUAUACAUCCACCAACUUUUUCUUUUCUAAGCCUCAAAUAGCAGCUCUUGUAUAAAAAGAUUUAGUUAGAUCUGAAAUCGAUAUUUUGUAAAAGCAAUGCGUUUCUAAGAAUCUAUCUGAAAAAUAGUUUAUUUCCCCUUUGUCGUGCAAGAUAAUCAAAAAACACUAUUUUCAAGAUACAAUACCUAUCAUCUUGAGUUAGAACAAUGUGAUUGAACUCAAUUAUUACAACAAAUUAAAAUAAACCUAGAGAACACUCAAAAGUAAAGAAAGAAAUAUUUACUCGAAAUUGAUUAACUCAAUUCCACUAUCAAUUUUCAAUCGUUGUGGCUAUAUAUAGAAUAUCAAAAGGUACCUAUGUAUCUCUUUAAAAAGAGACAACCUUUUCCUUAAAAAGAUUUAUGAAUGAAUAGUUGCAUCCACUAAAAUAUAGACACUUCUAUUUAAUUUUAUAUCAUUUUUUCUUUCUUUCUUUUUCACAAUAUAUAUAUAUAUUAAUAUAUUUUAUUUGAAAAUACUUUAUAUAUAUUAUAUACAACAAUCUCUCACUUAUUUUCAAAUAAAACACAAAAUUUUCUUUGGAUAUCUAAGCGGCACAUAUUCAAAAGUUACCAAGGCUUGAACUUUUGAAUUGAAAGAAGACCACAAAGUCUUUCCAACUUCUACAUGAUAGGUAGUCGUAGGAUUGUAGCAGUCAUUCCACUUCUCUACUUGGAAAGCAAGCUCAUCGAGAGUAGGGGUGAGCAAAACUUGAUUCGAUUCGAAAAAAUCGAAAAGAAAUUCGAAUUUCGAGUUAAACGAAUCGAGUUAUUCGAAUUAACUCGAAUUUCUUUUUCGAAUUUCGAGUUCGAAUCGAGUUGAGUUUUCGAAUUCGAAUAACUCGAAUAAUUCGAAUAAUUCAAAUAUUAAACUAUAAUAUUUUACAUUUUUACCCUAAACUCCUAAACCUUUUUACUUUUCCCUCAAAACUUUUACUCUUUCCCACUUUUCCCCCAAAACUUUUACUCCCCUCCCCUCCCCUCCCAACCCCCCAAUCUACCCAAAAUCCAUUUCUCACCAAAAUUUUACUCUCCCAUUUACUUUUUCUCAAAAUUUUACUCCAAAAAACCCUCAAAACAUUUUAUUUUCCCCCACAAUUUUACUCCCCCUAUUUACUUUCCCUCAAACUUUUAUUCCCAAAAACUUUUUAUUUUCCCCCUAAACUUUUACUUCUCACCCUUUACUCUCAAAUAAAAAAUCAAAAUUAUCCAAAAAAAUCACUAAACAUAAAUAGUAAUAAUUUUAUUUAUAUCUACUAUUUAUAUUAUUAAAUUAAAUUUCACAUUUUAUAUUAUUUAUAUUAUUGAAUUGUUUAGUCAUAUUGAAUAUUUAUAUUAAAAUUGAAUUAUUAAUUAUGCCAUAAAAUAUUCGUGUUAAAAUUUUAUAUUGGUAUCGAUUUCACAUUUUAUUUUUAAAAUAACUUUUAUUAAAAAAUCAUAUUUUUACAUUUAAUAUAUUAUUUAAUUCCAAAAUACAUAGUGACAAGAAUCUAAAGAUAAUUGAAACAACUAAGUAAGCAAAGAAGCUAAUCGAUAUAUAAAAAAUUAAUAAAUAAAUUAUGAGGUGAUGAAAGUUAAUAAAAAAAUUGAUUAAGGUGGACAAAUUUUAUUACGAUGGGUGACAAUAGUUACAAGGACUCAAAAUUAUUUUUUAAAAUUUAACUCGAACAAAUAUAUUCGAUUCGAUUCGAUUCGAAUUCCAUCUCACUCGACUUGAUUCGAGAAAACUUCAAAUAAAGUUAGGAUAAUAAAAUGAGAUUCGAAAACUCGAUUAACUCGAAAAUUUUUUAUUCGAUUCGAUCGAAUGCUCACCCCUAAUCAAAAGUGUUCAGAACAAUCACUUUAUUACUUAUAUAUGAGUCUAGUUAAGGACUAUAAAUCCAACCUACUCGUGAAAUGGAGUGCAUCGACCAAGUAGACGACUUUAGUAGAAUAGCUCGCUGUCUCAGCUCAAACAUGCCAUAAGGUGCUCGCAAAGGGAGAUCACAGUCUCAGCUCGCAUAUGCCCAAGGGGGCCACGAAGCCCAACAGGCAGUCCAGAACAGUACACGUGUCCAGCAUGCAUAGAGUCUACUAAGAACGUCAAUUCCAUGAACAAUAACCAUGUACAUAAAUAUUCGAUUGUCCCCUUUAAUGAGACACGAUAGAAAAUUACUCAACAAUUUAUUUGAUUUAUUCGGUUCUUUCUCAUGUUAUGUACAAUAUAUGUUACAAAAUUUAGUCACUACUCUAUAUAAAAACAUUAUUCACGUAAUGUGAUUAAUUGCAUUAAACAAUUAUAAAACAUAUUAAUACAUGUUUAUUUAAUGAUCAUGAUUUAUUAGCAUGCAUAAGUGCAUCAUACUAAAUAAGAAGAUCAUAUAUCACAUGCGAAUAAAUAAUUUGUGAUGUUACUCGAAUAUAGAGUAAACGUCAUCAUACGCAAAUGAAUUUUCAGGUUCUUACGCUUGUAGUUGAGUACAUUGAAUUAUUUGAGUCUCUCUGCAUAGAUAAUUUGUGCCUUUGCAAUUUCAAGAUCCAUGAGAGAAAUUAUUAUUGAAUGUUGUAUAAAAAAUUUGAUUGGCUCCGAAAUCGAUAUUUAAAACAAAUUAACUAUCCUAGCCGCAAAUUAACUCGUUCGUCGGAAUUAAUCCUAAUCUAUUUAAUCUAGAUCUAAACCUUAAUUUUCUGUUCUAAGACAAAUCAAGAUUAUCAACUUAAUGCAAUUUAGUGAUCAGGUAAGCAGGUUAAAUAACCACAAAAUUGAAUAAAUAAUUAACAAAGAUCAAAACAAUUGAAGAGGAAAUAAAUUAAUUAACUAAGAAAUGAGAUUCAUCAUUGUUCUAAGAAAAUAGAGUUUAGUUCAUAAAAAGUUGAUAAAACCACGCAAAAAGAGAUUCAGAACAAACUUGCAUCAAUAAAAAAUAAAAAGAAUAAUCUAGAGAAAAAAAUAGUUAUAGAAUUUACGUGGAGCCCUCCAGAUAUCAUUUUCUUCUUGUCUUUACAAGCUUGGAGUUUUCCUUAAUGUAGGAGAUUUAUUCUUUAGCCUUCAAGUGAUUUCUCUCUCUUUUCAUCAUUUUUUUCUCUUAAAUCCAGUCACCGUUGUUUUUAGGGUUUUUAAUCGUGUUGCUCCAUCGCACGCAAAAAUUACUGUGGAGUAGACUGCUUGUUGCCAAAAUUUCUAAAUUUAAGAGCAUGCUCCACCGCACUUAAUUAAAUCUAGUGGAGCGUAAGACUUCUCUUCACUACUUAAAAUGAUUAACCCUAUCCCAUGUGUGUUUGUUAUAUGCCUAGCCCCUUUCCAUCUUACUUCAAUGGAAUCAUACCAGAUAUUUACCCCAUCAAGGCCUAUCACUUUGCUAUUGAUAGGAAUCCUACUAUGUAUUAUUUGUCACUUGUGAAGUAUACUAAUCCAUCAUCAUGCUAACUAAAAGGGCAUUAUGAAAGGAUAUGUGACUUAAGCACUGAAUCUUAACACGUGAAAAUAAGAUCCUAUGACUCAUUCCUCAAGUAUUGGCAGAAAAACACUUGUUCUGUAACACCCCCUAAUCCCAACCGUCGCCGGAACAGGGUUACGAGGCAUUACCGGACAUAUCAGAUAAUCUAUAAAUAAUUCAUAAACAAUUAACAAACAUAUACAAAAGAGUCAUAAAUUCAUAUAAAUUUUACUAAUUGACUUCAUUCAAUUUUUUUUAAAUUUCUUCUUUUAAAAAUAUAUAUAUUUUAAAAAUUUCGGCAGCACUUCGGCUUAUUUUUACAUACAACCCCAUGCAAUUAAAAUUCAUAACAUUUCCAAAUAUAACCAAAUCAACCAAUUCAUUUCACAUUCACAUUUUCUAUUCUAAAUACUUCUAAUCAAACUCAAUCUACAUAAUAUCAAUUUAAAUUUAACAAAGUAAUAAAUAAAUCAAAAUAGAUAAAUUUCUUUCAUUAUAAAUCUUAAACUUAUAAUAAUAACAUUUUAACCAUUUAUAUUAAAACAUAAUAAUCUUUAUACACAUCCUAUGUACAUGCCACCUUUACCAAAGGAAAAAUACAUCACCAAGUUUUGCUGAAGUCGGGAUUAAUCUGGAUGCUGAACCGGGACCUUUAACUUCUAUUGACCCAUAAUUCAAAUUAUAACAAUAAUAAACAUAUAAUGCAUAUAUCAUAUAUAUAAAUUUCAAUUUCAAUUUCAUAUUUCAAUAAUAAUAAUUCAUCAAUUAAUAUCAUACAUCCACAAUUUGGAAUUGGACAUAACAUGAAUUUUGGGUUCAUUUCUCAAUCUCAUGUCACAUUUCAAUUCACGAUUCAACUUUUUCAUUUCAUUUCAGUAGCACUUGAUCAACUCGUUCGAUUUGUCAUUUCAUUAAUUACCCUAUUAACAAAACUCGGACUUUGGCGAAUACACGGAUCCAACCAAACACACCAGAAUGGCACCCAGUGCCUCAUCGGAUAGUUCGAAGCAAUAGUUGACACCUAGUGUCUCAUCGGCAAAGCCGAAGAAAGUUGGUACCCAGUACCUCAUCGAAUCUAUCCAAAGAAAUAUAGUGACACCCAGUGUCUCAUCGACUCGAGGUCAAAGUAUCCUUGAACUCUUCCAAUCCUAUGGCAUGCCAACUAUAUCCGACUCAGCCCGACUAGUUAAUAGGGUAUUUAAAUCACAUAUAAUCCCAAUUCAAUCGCAAUUUCUCACAUUUUCAAUUCAAUCAUUUUUCCACCUUUCAAUCAAUAAUUAAUCCGCAAUUCACACAUUUUCACAAUUCAAUACAUUUCCAUUCAAUUUAAUAUCGGUCACUAUUCGAUUUAAAUUCACUUCCCACUUUNNNNNNNNNNNNNNNNNNNNNNNNNNNNNNNNNNNNNNNNNNNNNNNNNNNNNNNNNNNNNNNNNNNNNNNNNNNNNNNNNNNNNNNNNNNNNNNNNNNNNNNNNNNNNNNNNNNNNNNNNNNNNNNNNNNNNNNNNNAAUAUUAAUACUUACCUCACAUUUCAUUUACUAAACACAUAAAUUAAAAUUUAACAUUUAAAAAUAAAUAAUUUGAAUUAUAGUAAUACAAACCGUGAUUUUCUCGAGUUUACUCCUUGAUAAUCUUCUCCUUUCCCUUUGAUGCUGAUGCCUCGGGUUCUUUGUUAGCUACGAAAAUAAUAAUAAUUUAUACUAUUAAUUUCAGCACUAAUUAUGAUAAAUAAUUGAAUUUCUAUUCAAUUUCUUCCUUAUUCUCAAUUUAAUCCUAACUAAAUUCACUUACUUUCCUAACUCAAUUCACACUCUAUUUCUAUUCAAAUUCCAUCCAAACUCAAAUUUAACUAUCAAAAUUUCAACAUAUUUUCCUAAUUUCGGAUUUCCCUCAAUUUAGUCCCUAAAACAUAAAAUUUAUAGUUUCUUUUACAAUUUAAUCCCCUUAUCAAUUCCAAUCAAAAUUUCUAUCAAAUAAACCCUCAAUUCCAGCAUUUAUUCAACAUAAACCCUAUUUUCCCUAUUUUCUUCUUUUUUCUUCUUUCUCCCCUGUUUCUUCUCUGUUUCGUCCUUUCUAUUCUGUUUCUUUCUUUUCUUUUGCUUUGUUUUUAUUUCCUUUUAUUUCAUUUACUUUAUAUUAUAUUAAUAUAAUUUAUUAAUAAUCAUUUAAUUAAUUAAUAUCUUUUAACUAUAAUACAAGUGUAUAUACAUAUUUUAUUACAUUUGUACAACUUUAUUACCAUACAUUUGGCACCAUUUGAUUUAUUUCUUUUAUAUAAUAAUAAUAUAAUAUAAUAUAAUUAAUUUAUUAUAUACUUAUUUAUUAAGAAUAUAUAUAUAAUAUACAUAUUUUAACACAUAAAAAUCUCAGAUUUUUAUACUUAUGCCGCCUCAAAUUUAGCAAUUGGCAUAAUUGCCUAUUUAGUCCCUAUUAUUUUCUUUUAAUCUAUAAUUAAACUUUCACUUCUAUUGCAAUUUAAUCCUUUUUGCUAAUUACUCAUAAUUAAGCUAAAUUCACCUAUCUAAAACCUAAUUAAACACACAACUAGUCUAGUAAAUAUUUCUAAUAAUUAUUUCUGAACUCAAAUUACAAAGACGGAGGCCCGAUAUUAUACUUUUCCGAUGCCCGCGAAUUUUGGGUCAUUACAUGUUCAAGAAACAUGCGAUAUAUAUAUAUUCAUUCUAUACACAAUGAUUUAUUUUUGUCCCAUAUUCAUUCCCCUUCUUCUGUUCCCUUUAACCCUACAUCAACAAUACAUAUGCACACGCUUUCAAAACAUCAAUUUCUUCAAGAAAUCAAUCAUGGAAAUUUUCAAAAACUUUAAAAGUUUUUCAAAUUGAUACAUGGACUAGUUAAAUCAAGCUCACACGACCUCAAAAAUAUAAAAAUUACAAAAAAAAGAGAGCUUAAAUAGUUGACCAAUUUGAGUACUGAAAGUUUAAGCUCUCAAAAGGUUUUCUCUUUUCUUUCCUUAGCAAAUUUUGGUCAUGGAAGAUGAAAAGAUGAUAAAUUUCUCUUUCUUUCCACUAAUUUAACUAUAUAUAGAAGUUUUGAUCAUUAAUUAACUUAAUUAAUUAUUAAUCAAACCUUAGUGCACAAUCCAUCAUCAUAUGCUAACUCAAUAUGUAAAAUGAUUUGAUUUCCAUUUUAAACCUUUGGCUAAUUGCAAUUUAAGUUUCUAAGUCUUUGCCUAAUUAAAAAUCUAUAGCGAUUAAACUUUUACAAUUUGGUCCUUAUACCUUAAUUAACUACCAAUUUAACAAAAUUAUUAGACCAAAUUUUAAUAUAUUUUUAUAAUAGGUAAAUAUUAAAUAUUAAUACUUACUAGCCCGGUUUAUGAAAAUAGGAUUCCAAAAUCGUAUUUAUCGGCACCACUGAAAAUCAAGAUGUUACAACUCAAUUCUAAACUUAAAUCAAACAAGAAUCCAACUCAAAAACAUAAAGAAUCCUAGGAUCAAAGCUUUCUCACUCUAGUUUGAAAAUGGCUAAAAAUUGUAACAGCCCAAUUUCGAUCCUAAUCGGACGUAGUGAUUUCGGGACCACAAAUCUAAGUCUGAAAAACAUUUUAAUAUUAUUUUCUGUGUUUAUUAUGUGUGAAUUUACAUGUGUGAAAUUUUCGUGAAUUUAUUUUAUUGUUUGAGUGCCUAAUUUGAGAAUAGGGCCUAAUCGCGUAUAAUAAAAAUUAGUGGUUAAUUAUGAAAGAGCCUAAUUUUUGUUGUCUUUAUAAUUUGGAGGUUCUAUGAUGCAAUUAGCCCACUAUAUAAGUUAGUGGAUGGUAAUAGUCAAGAAUGACCUUAUAUUAUAUGUUAUAUAUGUAUAUUAGUAAAGGUUAACUUAGUAAAAUAAUAAUGUUAGUAUAAUGAUAAUAAAAUAAAACACAAAAUAAAAAGAGCCAUGCAAAUGUUCAUAAAAUAGCCGAAACUUCAAAAGAAAAGAAAGAAAAGAGGAAAGCUAGAUUCGGCACUUGUAUUCUUUGAUUUAGGUAUGUAUUUUGUUGGGUUUUUGAUAAUUUUUACGUUUUUGAGAUCGUUGCUUCGUGUUAUUCAAAACCCAUGUCUUAAUUUUGUGAAUUGUGGAUAAUUUUGAAAUGUGCCAUUGAUGAAUUUUUGAGUUUUAUGAUGCUAGUAGGUGAAAUAUGAAAUAUAUUUGUUAGAUUAACAUGUAUUGUUUUGAAUUUUUUGUGAAAUUGAGUAAUUAGGGUUAAUUUGUGAAAAUAAAUUUUUCAAGGGGAUAAAAUGCUAAAUAAAUGAAAAAUAUAGACUUGUAUGGACACUAGGAAUAUUCAGUCAUUAGGAGUGUAGUUAAAUUUUGUGUAUCUUGUGUUUUGAACAAAAAGGAUUAAAUUGUAAAAAGUGUGAAAUGUUAGGGGCAAAAUUGUAAUUUGCCCAUUCAUGUGUUUUUAGGCUAAAUUGAAUAGAAUGAUGUUUAAAUAAGCUUAAUUUGAAUAUGUUUAGAUCAAGAAUUAAAGAAAUCAGAUUUGGAUCGGGGAAAGACAAAAGUGGUCGAGUAGCCGAUUUAAUAAUCGACGACAUCCGAUGUAAGUUUAUAAGCAAUUAGAUGUUAAAAUUUCUGAAUAAAUGUUAGUUAUAUAUGCUGAAAUGGAAAUAUGCAAAAAUAUUUAGUUCGAAAAGUAGAAAUAGAUGUGAAUGUGAUUUAUCGAUAUUUAGCACUAAGUGUGCGAGUAUGGAAUAGCUACGGCUAUAUGAACGGCACUAAGUGUACGAAAUUAAAAUGAUGAUGUUGAAUAAUAGGCACUAAGUGUGCGAAAUUAAAAUGAUGAUGUUGAAUAACGGGCACUAAGUGUGCGAUAUCGAUAGCAAUUUGGUUAGAUGAGAAAGAGCACUAAUUGUGCAACUUCAUUAUGGCCUCGACCAAUUAUUUAGUACAUGAUAGUACAAGUAUGCAAUGGUUGAAUAAUACAUGAUAUAGGUAAGUUGAUUACUUCAAUUGUGAUAAGAAAAAUUUAUAUGAGGUAAAUGAAAGUAUAUAAGUAUAUGAAAGUCUAUAUUCGGCCAAAAAGGUAAGUAUAUGUGAUAUUGUAAUUGUGAAUUAUAUGAAUCUAUAUAUGAUUGAGUACAUUUGGUAAAGAGUGGGUAUAUGAUUUGAAAGUUAAAAAUAAGUACGCUUUUAUUUAUAAGUAUAUUCGGCCAAGUUGAAAUUGGUUCAUAGUUACAUAAUUGAUAUUUAAAUUUUGCAAGCUCGAAUAUGUACAUAUGAAUAUGUUUGCAUUAUUCGGUUUUGUUAUUGAAUUAUUAACGUCAUUAAAUUGUUUAAUUGCUUAUGACUUACUAAGCUGUGAUAGCUUAUUGUGUAUAUGUGUUUUUCUCGAUUUUAUAGAUUUUGGAAGUUAAUUACGGUCUCGGGGAUCGUCAGCGAAGUCAAUCACACUAUCGUUCGUUUAUCGGUAUCUAUAAAAGUUAAACUUUUGAACAUAUGGAAUGUAUAGGCUAGUACUUGUUUUGGUUGAAUUUUGAAACAUGGUUGGUAUAUGUAAUUUGAUUAAUGAUGCAUGUUUGAUUUUAAUUGGUUAUGUGCUUAUAUAUUUAUAUAUAUAUGAGAUGACUUAUCGAGCGAGUGAAUGAAUGCUAUUUGAAUUUGAUCGAAAUAAUAAUAAUAAUAAUGAAAUUUUGUGAUUGAAUUAGUCUAAUUUAUGAAUAAAUUAUAAAAUGAAAGACAGUUCUGAGUUGGGUUUUGAUCGGUAAUGCCUCGUAACUCUAAUCCAACGACGGACACAGGUUCGGGGUGUUACAAAAAAUGCAAGAAAAAUACAAACAUAGCAGCAAAACAGGCUUUUAGCGGCGUUUUUUUGGCUUAUAGCGGCGUUUAAAAGCACCGCUAAAACUAUUUGCGGCGUUUAUGUAAAAAAUGCGCUAUAGAACAUGAUCUUUAGCGGCGCUUUUAUCACAAACGCCGCUAAAAGUACUUUUCUUAUUGUAACAUUCAAUUUUCAUCCAUAUACAACCCUUCCUGUAGCAUGAAAUCCAACCAAAAACAGCAAAUCUAAAUGAUACUUCAAAUUCAACGAAAGAUAUAUGAUAUAAAUUGAUAAUUGAAGUGUAAUUCAAAAUAUUCUUACAAUAAUGUUAAAAGUUACAAUAUUAAAAAUAUUCUAGCAAUAAGAAAAGAAAUGUCUAAGAUGGCGAAUUUUGCAACUGCUAAAACAUCUUCAUCUUAUUAAUUUGUCCACAGAAUUUUGAUAACCACAAAUAACAGUAACUAGGAACCUCAAGGUCUUCAUCUCCAUGUCAGAUAUGGUCACCUGGUUGCAUGAAAUAGUAAUUCCAUUAAGUAUUGUAACUCACAAAUCAAUAUGAUGUCAAAAAUACAAUCAAAAUCUUGUUGGAUGAAACAUAUUUCGGCAGAUCUUUAUGGGAGAAAUGAAGGCAGUUUGUAACUCAUCAUUUUUCAGCAAGCCAGGCAGUUUGCCUUCAAUAAUGAAAUUUUUUAUCUAAAGUUUAAUUGAAGGUUGUGCAGUGGACACCUAGCUAAUUUCCAUUUAUGCAGCAAAUUAUAGUAGACUAAUACAUGCUUUAGCCCUAACAAACUUUUAAGAAGACGUUUAUAUAAUGCAUUAAACAUUUUUUUAAGAAGGCAUGGCCUUUAUUUUCAGAUAAGGUAUAUAUCCCACACAAGUAUGUUUUUACUUUCAAUUUUUUUCUACGUGUCAUUAUUUUUUUCUGAAGAAUUUAAAUAUUCAAUUAAAAAUAAAUUGUAUUUUAAUUAAUAUAAAUAAAAUAGUUAAAUAAUAAAUAGACAUAUAAAAUGUUUUUUUUGCGGCGUUGUUGAUAAAGCGUCGCUAAAGCUCAAUCUAUAGCGGCGUUUUACAAAAAGCGUCACUAAUGCCACUAAAGCUCAACACAAAACGACGGCGUCUUAUUGAAUUUUUUUGCGGCGUUUUUCAAAAAGCUUCGCUAAUGCUCGAUCUAUAGCGUCAUUUUCCAAGAAGCGUUGCUAAUGCUUGACCUAUAACGGCGUUUUUCAAAAAGCGUCGCUAAUGGUCGACCUAUAGCGGCGUUUUCCAAAAAGAGCCGCUAAUGCUCGAUCUAUAACGGCGUUUUUCAAAGAGCACCGCUAAUGCUCGAUCUAUAGCGGCGUUUUUCAAAAAUUGCCGCUAAUGCCACUAAAGCUCAACAUAAAACGACAACGUUGUGCUUAAUUUUUUUGCAGUUUUUGCGGCGUUUUUCAAAAAGCGGCGCUAAUGCUCAAUCUAUAGCGGCGUUUUUUAUCAAACGCCGCUAAAAACCUAUUUUGCUGUAAUGAAAGAAAACUAAAAAACAUGUUUCAAAGGUUUAAAAUAAUAGAUUAAAGUUAGAAAACAAUUUACUUUGUUGAAAAAACAAAGAUUUAUUCAAGAAAUCAAAAGUUCAUCUCCUUCUCCUUCCCACCAAAACCAACAUCAAAGAUAAAGAAAAAUGUUGAGUUCUUGAUUGAGAUACCUUGUUUAUUGAAAUUAUUUCAUGAAAAAUGAACUCACCAAUCUAUAAUCUUGUAAAGAAAAUCAAGAGUUGAUGAAAAGAUUUCAAAGAAAUUUGAGAGAAAUAUUGGUAUGGAAAAGAAAAUGAAAUCAUAAAAUAAACUAAUUCUUGCAAAUUCAAAGUGAUCAAUUUGCUAUCAUGGGCUUUGUUUAUUUACCAAUAAGGACUUUUCCUCAUCUAAAUCAUUUUUAUUAAUUUUCAUACAUUGGUCCCACUAAUUUUACUAGCCAUACAAUUUAGUCCAUAGGUUUUAAUUAGUAAACUCUCUAUAUUAAUCUAUUGAUAAUUCUAAUUAAUGCCUAAUUAAUAAAACUCUAAUCCACUUAUCCAUUCUCAAAAACCUCUUGGUUAAACUUCUCAAAAUAGCUUGAUUUAAGAAAUCUUACCCAAAAAUGAAAUUUUCUGACAUUAGUGAAAGUCAAAGUGUCUAGCUCUAACACAAAAUUAAAGUUCGUUGAGUUUGCCUAUCAAAUAUUUGUUCGGUUGCAACAAGACAUAGCAACUAGUAUAAGAAAAUAGUUCGAAAACUUCCUACAUGUAUAGUACCUUGCCAGAAAGUAAUCACUAUAACAAACAAGUACAAGUGGUUUAACUCUCUCACUAAGUUGUAACAUUACUCUUAUGCUUCGAACUAGAUUACUCUCCCUCUAAGACUAUUCUCUUGAAAACUUAGGUGUAAAUUGAAAAAACUCGUCAAUUUCCUUACAAUUAUGCACUCAAAGAAACAAUUCCUACUUGAACAAUUAAAGUGUUUUUCAAUUCAUACUUCUAACCUAAACAGGCCGUCUAAUAUAUAAGAAUAAAAGGCUUGUUGAAAUACAAUCAAUUACAAUCACUAGUUCCUCUAAAAUAACCAUUUAAAUAGGUCUUUAAUUGAAGUGUAUAGUCAAGAAAUCUUCUUGACAUCGAACUCCUUUGAAGGAUCAAAUCUUCUAUUUAAGGGAAUUUCGAUUGUUUGAAUUUCUAAAUCUAAUCCUCACUUAGUUUGAUUCUUCCACAUGAAGGCUUCACUAAUGAGCUGGUAACAGUUUACAAAAAUUAGCAAUUAACGAUCCAAACAAUUUUAGCCAAAAUAUGCGAAUCAAAUAAGGCAAGUCAUAAUGUUGUCCAACUUUUACUUAAGUUGCACCUUGCAUCGUAACCAGCGCUAACACAAUCACUAUGAAAAACACUAGAAAUCACUUAAAGAUGAAAGAUAGUUGCUGGGCACACAAGAAAUUUCUCAAUUCUGAUUAACCUUGAUAUCAUGCGCCGAGAGGAUUUCUUUGACCCCUUCUUGUUGACUCCAGCUUUUGACAUUUGAUGUUAGAAGAGGUGAUAUUUUGUAUAUACUAUAUCUUAAUCCAUACUACUUGGAUUCCAGAUUCAGAUAUAAGUGCUAGAUGUUCUUAUAUGUACUACACAAGUAUGUUCAGUCUUUUAAAGCUUGUCCAUGUAUUUGGAGAGUCGUUAGAUAGUAAUAUCAUCACACUCUUAUUUUAAUAAGUAAGAAAAAUGAAGAUUGUACUUUCAUUCAAAGAAUAGUAUACAAAAUUAGUGCUUCAAGAUUGUUUUAACAUUUGAAAAGAUUCGGUUGAACAGGCACUGGAAACCAACAGAUUGUUCAUAUUGGAUCAUCACGAUUCACUAAUGCCAUAUCUCAGAAGGAUAAACUCUACUUCGGUAAAGACUUACGUGUCUAGGACCGUGUUGCUUUUGAGUGAUGAUGGAACUUUGAAGCCAUUGGCGAUUGAAUUAAGUUUGCCACAUCCAAAGGGGGAUCAACAUGGUGCUGUGAGCAAGGUUCAUACACCUGCACAACAUGCAGUUGAAGGUUCCUUAUGGCAGCUAGCUAAAACUUACGUAGCUGUAAAUGAUUCUGGUGUUCAUCAGCUCAUAAGCCAUUGGUAUUGUAUACCCGCCACUGAAGGCCAAGUAUUAUACGUUGGUUAACUUUAAAUUUGAGAAGUGGGGGUUCAUGCAUAUGGCUUUAGUCUGAUUACAGGUUGAAAAACUCAUGUAGUAAUUGAGCCAUUUGUGAGUGCAACAAUCGGCAGCUCAGUGUGGUUCAUCCAAUUCAUAAGCUUCUCCACCCUCACUUCCGUGACACAAUGUAUAUCAAUGCAAUAGCCCGGGGCAUUCUGAUUGAUGCAGAUGGAUUUGUUGAGUGCUCAGUAUUCCCUGAAAAAUAUUGCAUGGAAUUAACGUCAUUAACUUAUAAGGAUUGGAAUUUGGUUGACCAGGCCCUCCACAGUGAUCUCAAGAAAAGGUAAAUCUAAUAAAUUCUGAUAAAUCCAUUGGAUAUUGAAAUGAUAUUCUUCCAUUUUGCUUUAUUCAGAAGGGUUGCAGUCGAUGACAAGGAUUCACCAAAUGAUCUGCGACUAGUUAUAAAAGACUAUCCAUAUGCUGUUGAUGGAUUGGAGAUUUGGUUUGCAAUUGAAAAAUGGGUAAGAGAUUACUGUUCAUUUUACUACAAGACCGAUGAAGUGGUUCAACAAGACCCUGAACUCCAAGCCUAGUGGAAGUAAGUCCAAAACGAGGGUCACGGUGACAAAAAACAAGAUCCAUGGUGACCUCAAAUGCAGACACGCGAAUAGAUUCAUGCACCAUUAUCAUAUGGAUGGCUUCAGCUCUCCAUGUAGCUAUUGACUACGGCCAAUAUGCUUAUGCAGGAUACCCCCCUAACCAUCCUACCAUAACCCGCAGGUUCAUGCCUGAGAAGGGCACUCCCGAAUACAACAAACUCAAGCCAAAUCCUGACAAGGUUUACCUUCAAAGAAUCACUGCUCAAGCGAAGACAGUGAUCGCGACUUCUCUGAUUUAACUUCUGUCAAGGCAUUCAUCGGAUGAGGUUUAUCUAGGACAAAGCGGCGCACCUGAAUGGACAUCUGAUGGAACACCGUUAGCAGCUUUUAAGGAACUCGGAAACAAGCUUUUGGAGAUUGAGGAAAGAAUUGUGCAGAUGAACAAUGACAAGAAAAAUAAGAAUUGCAUCGGUCCUGUUAAUGUGCUCUACACGUUGCUCUAUCCUACCAGUGAAGCUGGAAUUACAGUCAAGGGAAUUCCAAACAAUGUCACAAUCUAAUGAUUUACAUGCAACCAAUUAGUUCUAUUUUAAGGUGUUUGAUACUUGUGACAGCUAUCUAUAUACUAGUUUGUAUUGCACGUGAAUUUAUCAAAUCAUUAUACCGUAAAUUGUCAUGUGAAACAGAGGAUCUACUACCACAAAAGAUGCAACCUGCCUGCAACAAUAUGCCAUGCAUAGAGCUUUGAAGAGAUUAAGAAAUGAAUUCAAAAACAUCCCAAAAUACUCGGGAAUAAAGCACCGACCUACAUAAAAAUGAAGCCUAGAACUUGAAGAAGUUGAAAGUGGAUAUACAUAGACAUGAUAUCUAUCGAAUGAACUCAAAACAUUAAUUGUAAUAACAUCCAUACUUGAUCAAAACCAUUAAGUAACAAGCUUAGCAUCAAAUCCUUAAACUUACAAGAAAACUCAACUCAUCUUGAAGCACAAAGACAAAAAAAAAAAAAGAUUAACCAUGUUCAGACCAAUAUCACAAAGACAAACAAAAGAACCCAUAUUCAGAGCAAUUGUGUAGCAAAUCAGUCACCCUUCUUCCUGAAAGAGCAUCCCUCAGUGAGUCUAGCUCGACCUCCAGUCGGCUGGCAAAGGACAGUCUGACAGUUACCACAUACCACCACAGUUUGAGAGUGGCUAAACACAGUUGUUCUGUCGAAAAACAAGAAUGUAAUGUAAUGUAAUGAAUUCCAUCUAUGUUAAUGUACUCUCGUUCCAAAACAUGUGCUCCAUACAUAUUCGGACAUAAGUACAUAAAUAUGAUACACUAAAUAUAUAAUAAAAAAAUUAUAAACAAUUCUCAUUUCCAAUACUCAACAGACUAAAUAUUGUUACAUGAAUAAAGAAGAUUCAAAUUAUACAAGGACUUACAUGUUAAAGCAGCCUUGGCAUUUGACAUCCUUCGCAGAGAGUGAAAGAACAAAGUUAACCCCCCCGACAUAACAUAUUUAUAUGAAAAGAUAAAGACAUAGAUCACAAAGAAAAAGGUUUUAACAAAUUACCAUGAAGAAAGAAUUGGGGGACUGAACGAGACGCUUGAGCUUGUGCUUCUUCUUCUCAAGUUCUACUGGAGGAUUCAACAAAUCGAUAUCGUUUUGGAGAACCUAAUAAUUUCAAACAUCCGCGAAUCAGGUUCUAUUAUAAAAACAACAAAACAAUAUAGUCAGAAGAAACUAAGCAAGAGCUUUAACAGACCAUUUUCGCUUGGCUUGCUAGAUGUUACAAGUGCAACGUGUAAACCCUCGAAGCUUGCUAGGCGGCAGAGGUGAAGAAGGAGGCAACCAAGUGCCUAUGUGAUGAUUUAUAUGUAUAUUGGUUGACCUAAGUCGGUUAAGACAGAAAACCCAGUAAAACCCCGGGUUUAAAACAUUAGCCCAAAUUUUUUCCAACACUAAUUUCGGAUUUAUGUUUCAGCCCAGUCUUGUUCUAGCAAUUGGGUUUUCGGCCUUGGGGAACUCUGAGAGAUGGAUUGGAUUCAUCAUCUUAAUUAUGAUCAUGUUUAUUUUUUGGUAAAUAAUUCUUAAUUCUUUGUUAAUUUUGAAAUUAAGAAAUUAGACCUAUUAAAAAAUAAAGAGUAGUUUAGUCUAGCAAUUAAUUACGUUAACAAUUUUCUUUUAAAUUUAUCCUAAUUUGACAAUAAAAAUUUUAAAUUUAAAUAGCGUGUCAACUAUUUAGAUAAUAUUUUUUCGCUUAAUUACUAUCUAAGGAAAAGGGAAAAAAACUCGAGUUCAUUUGAAUUAAAAUCUAGGAAAAAUAUCAUCCAUAUCCUUCCAUAGUAGAAGUAAUUAAAAAAGACAUGUGUUUCAUAUGUAGAUAUGUCUAAAAACAAUUAAUGCAGUGGUUAGUCUAGUAGUAAUUGGUUAGACCACUUAAGAUAGUUGUAUCAAUUAAUAGAACAUGAGGCGACCUAUCAAUGACCCUCUAUUGGGAACAACCCAUAAGCAAUCUUUCGUUAGAUACCCUUUGUAGUGAUCCCUCCCAGAAUCAUCUUGGGUUAACCUUCCGAGUAUCCUACUUGAUCCACUUUAGAUCUAGUAAGGAGAAUGUCAAAGUAGGACUGUAUACUACCACAUAUGGCAACAACUAACCUAUAACAACCUUGCCCAUAGAGGCAAGCCUACCCUUCGUAUUGUCAGUUGCGUGGCACUACCAAACAGGAGGACACUCUCCUAUAUAUACCCCAAAGUAGGGCCAAGUCAAGUCUAAAUACUGUCAAACUCGAGCUUGAGCUAGACUCGAAAUUCAGAGCUCAAUACUUAACUCGAGCUCAAUUGAAUGUUUAUUUUUAAGCUCGAGCUUAACUCAAGAUAUAAUCGAGCUACUCAAGCUCGAGCUCGAUUAACCUCAUUUACCAAUAUUUGCACUCAAGCUUGAUCUUGAGCUCAACUUAAUAAUUAAGGUUAGGAUUAAUAAUAUAUAUUAAGGGCAAUAACAUAAUUUAGUAAUAUAAAAUAUGAAAAGUUGAUAAGACUUGCAAUCAAUUCGAGUCAAGUAUUACUAGGCUCAAAUUCCACUUGAUUAGGAGCUCGAGCUCCUCGAGCUUGAGCUCAGCUCAAUAAUUACUGAAUUGAGUUCGAAUGUUUUUUGAAUCGAACUCAAGCAGCUUAAGAGCACCAAUGUCUCAUUUACACCCCUACCCAGAGCACAAAAGACAAAUGAUCUCUUUCCUCUCAAGAAAACCUAAGUAUCUUACCUCAUUGCUUAUUGUAUUCUCCUUUUCUCCUCAUCUACAGCCUCUUAUUCUAGCUCUUUGCCUAUCCUAGGUGAAUUGGCCACCCUAUCUCCACCAUCAUCUUCUUAUUGUAAACUCUUUUGUUGAAAUCUUGUAUCAACAAUUGGUGAUAUGAGUGUGAACCAAACCACCAUUGCCUAUUCUUCCAUUGUUGUCCUUGAAAAUGUUGCAAACCAAAACCCAAGCACAAACUUAACAGCCUCCCCAAGUCACUCAACAACCACUUCUUAACCUUAACUAGCAACAAAGUACGCAACACUAAUUCCACCUUCAUCGGGCACCUCCUCCACUAUCUCUCGUGAUAACCCACACUUAUCCUUUAUAUUACCAAUUCCCACUUCCACCCGAGUGGUAUGCCCAACCUCCUCAAGGCAACACUAGUGUCCCUUCCAAUGAGGAAACCUCCCAAAACCCCAACUUCAACUCUCAAUAGUUCACUAAGACGCAAGAGAAAAUAAGCUUUCUUGAAAUUCAAUUUUUAGAGCAGCAACAACUCUAUAAAAAACAAUAAGAGCUUCAACACCUGUUGAGCCAAAAGAAUGCAAGAAAUGAACAGAUUAUAAAAAAAGCUCAAAGCUAGUAGAGACCCUUCUAGAACCAACCACCCAACCUAGGAGGAGGAAACCACCAGUCCUUCCUCUAAAGGCAUAGAAACCAACGCCUACCAAACAACCCUCAAUGUCAACCUCAAGGUAACCUCCACCUAGCAGAUUCUCAAAGCGAGGCCCCUCAUAACCAAAAUGUUUCCUAGGAGGAGCAAAUGCUAGCACUAAGAAGAAAGUUAUUAUAGGAAUUUUGAGGUGUCAAAUCUAAUGAAACCUCUUAGAGUUAUGCCAAUGAACCCCUUUCAACGGAAGUCUUAACCCACAACUUAUCCUCAACCUUCAAGUUCCCCAAAGCUUCUUAUGGGGUCAGAGAGACCUUGAGGACCACUCGACUCACUACAAUAACCAUAUGAACAUUUUAAGGGCCUUAGAUACAAUCAAGUGUAGGGUGUUCUCUAUGACACCCACCCAUACAGCCCUAACUUGGUAUUUGUCUUUACCGAAGGGUACCAUUCACACAUUUGACCAACUAACCAAUCUAUUCAUGAGUAGAUUUUUAGCCAACAAGUCCCUUCAACAAUCCCUAGAAAACUUUAUCUUGAUCUGCUAGAUAGUUAAGUUUUUAUUGAAUAUUGCUAUCAAUUUUAAUUUAAAAUAAUUUAAAGACAAAUAAUAAAUAUAAUUUUAUAUUCUACUUUAACAUUUAACAAGAAUAAGUUAUUUAAUAUAAUAUUAAAAUUAAAUAACAAUGGUUAUGUUAUAAAAGUAAACUUUUUUAUGAUAAAUCUAUUUUUAUUUUUCAAGUUUUUAAAAUUUUAAUUAAAUUUAUUAAUUUUUUAUAUUAUAAAUUAAAUUAUUGUUAAUUAUUAAAAUAAAAUAUUUAAAUUUUUUUAAUUAAACUAUGUUUUUCAAAUCAUCAAAAUUAAUACCAAUAAACUAGGAAUAUGCAGUCUGAGGCCACAGCUGCUGGUGGUGUUAUGAGCAUACGGGCACUUGGUUGGUUAGCUGAUUUUCUGCGAAAUAUGCACUUGUUCGAUCCUUACGGCUGAGGUAUGGGGGGCGCAUGAUGGGCUUCUGCAGGCGUGGGAGUUGGGGGAUAGGAGAGUUACUCUAGUGAUGGACUGCAAAGCAACAGUUCAGUUGCUGCAAGAACUGACAGCGGAAAAAUCGUGUUUCGCCACUGUCCGAGGGCUCAACGGUUGUUGCGAUGACAAUGGGAGGUAAAGAUUCAACAUGUCUAUAGGGAGGGAAACAGGACAGCGGCUGCUUUGGCUGCACAUGCACUUCAUUGCCCACUUGAUUUCUGUAAUUGGAUACAACCGUCAGCUAAGAUUUUUAUCUUUUUUACAUGGCGACUUGGAUGGUAUACGGCAUUCACGUUUGGUUGCUGUGUGAAUUGUAUUGUUUUUCUCUCUAUUAUAAAUAAAUAAAUAAUAAUAAUAAUAUUGAAUUAUAAAUUUUUUAAUAUAUAAUGAAAAAAUAAAGUGAGAAAUUUCACAAGCGUACAACAAGCACAGAAAAAAGGAAGCAAAACUCUACAGUAUUCGGACUAGCUGAUGAUACUACCUCAUCCUGAUGCUUUUUCUUUUCUUAUUCGUUCUUCUUUGGGAGGAUUGUUUUUCUUCAGCCUUAAUGGCUUAAACCCAGAAACCUCUCUAAUUAUUUCUUCCACUGGAACUUCAAUGCCGAGCUUCCUUUCCUAAAGCUUCUCAAUUCCUCUCCAUUCUCUUCAAAACCCACUUAAGGUAAGUCCCUCCACGAAACCCCAAACCCCUUUCUUCAAAAUUCUCUCCCUCAAACUGUUGUUGUGAUCAGCUAAAUAAUUCUAGAAGAGUAUUCUUUUAUUAAGAUCACAUUUUAAUAUUUUUAUUUCUCUUGUGGGUUGGAUAUUUGAUUUCUUCUUCAACUUUUAUUCAGGGUAGAUAUGCAAAUAAAUCAGCUUCCUCUAGCCUUCCAGGCCUCGCAACCACCAAAACAGGUUACUUUUUUUCCCUACUUAUCUUUCUUUUUGUGUAAUUCUCAGCCAUUUUUGUUAGAGUAAACUAGUAGUAAAAACAAGUUAAAAUUAAGUGAAUUAAAUGUUGGGUUUUAGGCUAGAAUUUAGUUACCAUUGAAAUGGAUGGAUUGUCAACUGUGGUUUUCCUUUGAAUGUUGAAUUGUUGCUGAUUGAUGAAAUUCUUUCUUUUUGAAUUCAUAAAAGUGGAAAUCUUUGUUCCGAUGACAACUUUAAUUAUGUACCCUUGUUUAUGAAAUUGAAACUUUCAAACUAGCUUUUAGAAUCAAAGGUACAGUAAUAAUAUUCAUCAAGCAGUAAGUUACUCUCUUCUUCUCAUCAUCAUCAGCCCGUUUUAAAAUGGAUGCUACAAGUUAACAAGCCUUUCCUUUUGGGAGUUUCAAUGUAAGCCGUUAGGUUGCCAAGAGAAUUUCAGGAAUAUGAUUAAAGGGUAAUCUGGGAAGGUGAAAAUGCAACCUUUAUCCAUAAGGUAGAUGAGAAUGUGUCCAAGUGAUUGACAUUUUUGAACAGAUAGUUGCAUUACCACUUUGACUUGCAAGAACAACUGAAUCAAGCUAUGUUACUCAGAUUUUGAUGUGAGUGUCCAGUUUAGGCAUGUGUUCAACAUUUGUAUUGUAUGUUCAUUUUGUCUAAGUUCUUCAAUGUGUUUGGAGGGUCAUAUCCCCAUAAAUACCUCAUAAAGAUGUUUGGAUACAGAACCUGGACACGGGUAUUGCCAUAAAAUUGAAGAGUCAAAGCAACAUAGGUGUCAAGAACAACACAAAACUUGGUAAAAGCCAAAGAUUAACACUGUGAACAGAUUCUCUUUUUGCUAUGUUCAAAAUCAAAAUACAAAAUAGUAUAUUUGGUUAUAUGGUUGGUGUUUGUUUUGGUCAUUCCCUUGCCAGUGUGUGCUUUUGUAAGCUGAUAUUGUAAGUUCCUACAUGCAGCAUCAGCUCCCUGCAUCUCAAAUAAAGGCAUAUGUUCUGUCAAUGGUGAACAUCAUCUGAAUAGCCCAACAAAGCAUUCUGAAGAUAUUGAUUCAUGUAGUUUGAAUGUAAGUCCUUGUACUUCCAAUUGUAAUAAUGGGUUAUUGGGUAGGACCAGAUAUCGAUGAUGGUUGGGGAUUGUAGAAGCUUGUGUCUACCAAAGUAGGUGAUUCUUUUUAAAAUUGCAUCAAUGGUUUUUUGCAUGCUCCUUCUGGUAGCUGGAAUAUUAAGGAUAAAAAGUAUAAGUUAUCCAUUGUCAGUAUAUGAAUCUGGUAAUUUCCGAAUGGUUCUCUAAUGAAACUUUAUUUUGUAUAGAGAAAUUUCUUUACCCUUGGAAGACGUAGUUAGUGAAAAUUACAUAUGAUUCUGAUUUUCCGGUCUUUUUAUGUCUAUAGUCAUUAGCAUAUCUAAUGCAGGGAAAAAUUGUUGUGGAAGGUUAUCUUAUCCAGGGUCUUUAUUUUCCUUAAAACACUCUUGUCAAAUUACAUAUUUGGGCAUGAGUACGGAGUACGAUCCUCAAAAAUAUAUAGAUAAAAAGUUAGAAAAAAUUGAGCAUACUCUUAUUAGAUGCAUAUUUGUGUCCGUACUCACCUCUAAUCUAGGUACCAUUAAUUGAAGGGAUGGGUGAAUGCAUGAUUUAGAAAACAAAAAAUAGUAAAGAAAUGUUUGUUCUCCUCUAUGGAGUUUCCUUCUGUUCUCAUUUCGGUUUCCUUCUAUGCAUGUCACCAUGCAUAUAAGAUGGUGGCCAAACUCUUAAAACUAUAAUUUGUUAGAUUGUGGCCAGAGGUUUACCUGCUCCCCGGUACUAACUUCUAAAUAGAUAAUCACCAUGGUUCUUGGCUUCUGAAAGGGAAACAAGCUCACAGGAACUAGUUCCUGGGAUCUUACUACGUUCUUUUUAGGUCAGCUGGCGCUCACCUUGACCCAAUCCUCAGUUAAUAAAACUUGGGUUUUCAGCUCUCUAGUUCUUUUUUUGGGGUCAUUCAAGUUCUCCAGUUCAAUGGUUUAUUUUAGGUUGAGUAACCAUUUUUCCUUUUGGACAAUGGUUUAGUUAGAUGGGUUGCAGUCACUUUUGGGUUUGGGCUCACAACAAUUGAUAAAUCUUCAAUAGAAAGUUUAUAUUUUAUAACUUUUUAUGUGUAUAUACCUAAUGAUUACAUUAAUUACAACCCAAAUUGUUACAUCUUAUAUCAGAAAAUUUUAAAAUACUUAAAAAAUAAAUAACCUUAUAGUAAAUAUUUAAUUUUAAGGGUGUUUUAAGUUUUAAUUGGCAAAAUGAUUGCGUAUAUAUCGUUUAUAAACGUAUAGUUCAUCAAAUAUAAAUCAAAUAGAUCGGAUUAAAUUAUCACUAAAAAAUUCGACAAAUCAUAAUAAUUUAUCCUUAUUUUUGUAUGACAUGUCAAAUCAAAAUUAAAAAAUAAUGCCUAAAACAAAAAUUAAUAGGAAAACGAAAUUGCAAUAUAUUCUAACAUUAGACAUCAAUAUUUCAGGAAAAAUAAAAAUAAAGGAAAGAAACACUUAUUGUUGAACCAAAUGAGCGAAAUAUUAUCAGAAAAGGGUGAUUGCUGUUUCUUAUACUUCUUGUAUGUUUGGAUUUAGCUGGUUUAGAUAAUUCUUUCAAUGGUGGUUGAAUAUUUACUCUUAUCUAGACCUUUGUCUUCAUUACCUUUAAGUUAAUAAACAAUCAUAUCUUCAGGAACUAGGACUAACUAGUUAAACUAGCAAGGUAAACAUUUGCUUGUCAUUGGCUGUUGAAUGAAAUUUAUACAGUUUUCUGUUGAUUCAAAUGCUAUGGUAGAUAUUUGAGGUAUGUGAAAGUUAUAUUGAUAAAAUUCAAAGUAUUGAUAUAAUUAAAAAUAAGCAUUGGUUUCCUAGUAUCCAUGAUAUGCAUGGAGCAAAUGAACAUCUAUGUAUGCAUAUUCUUAGACCAUUGUAAUGUCAUUACAUGCAUCAACUUUGUUGUGGACCAUCAGCAUUUCUCAUUGAUCAUAUAUUAUAUCAAACUUUUAAUACGAUAUGCAUCUCUUGCUAUGCAUCUGAAGGCACAUUGCAAUUUGCAACAAUGUUGCACUUGCCUACUCUGAGUUGCUGAAGCUCACAUGGACUAUUCAUGAGCCUCCUGCUUUCUGUCCUGAAAAAUGGGCGCACUGAAUGCAAUUACAACACCAGAUUGCUUUAAUUUAUUGACAUUCACCAUUGCCAAAGUUCCAGACAGCACUCACAGACAAGGGAUGCAGGCCCUGCAGGAGUUCAGGUUAUGGAGCUCAAUACCGCAAUUCCGUGGUCGGAGCCAGCGGCAACAACAUUUAUCCUUAAAUCAUUAUAUCAAGAAAACUUCACAUAAUACCACAUUGAUAUAGUUGGUCCGUGAGUUUUGAGGUUUUCAAAAUCAUCCUGUACUCAAGAAUACUGCUGCAGAUUAGUACAUUGGUAUAGUUAGACUCAAAGCUUUGAGGCUUUCAAAAUCACUAUGUAAAGAAACCAUCACACAAAAUGCUGCAAUGGUUAUGGUUUGAUGCAAAAAGUUUGGGAUUUAAUCAGCUUUUGUCUCCUGUACUACCUCAUUUAUGUAUUAUUCUUCUCCUUUUGAAAGGGGAAACAUUUUGAGUUGGAGUUUCUUUCACCCCUUUUGGAUGGAAAGAGAGUGGCAACAUACCAUAGUUGAGAAGUGGUCCCAAGAGCUUAUAGAAGCCCUAGGAUUGAUGCCCUAAGGCCUUGACAGAUAUUCUGGAUUUAUUAAUUAGGGUUCAAGCAAUCAUCUUUUAUGGGAAAACAGCCUGAACCAAUUGUAUAUAUGGUAAAAAAAACAAACAAACAAGCAUGCCUGAAGAUUUAAAUUGCAAUUUUCACGAUUACUCAUGUAAUGUGAAGCUACAGUUUCAGUGGUCCCCGUUUCUAGGGUUUAGGGAACCCUUAACCUAGUAUAUUUUAGCCUGUUUUUGACUAUUCUUUUGCUGGAGAUCUAUGUGGAACAUGGCAACAGUGCUUGCCAAUGCUAACACACACAUCCAGAAAGGGUAUUCAUUGUUUCAAGUCUGGAUUUACUGAAAAUUUUACGUUUGGACUUUGGAAAAGAAAUGGGAAAAUGUGCUUGGGCUCUUGUUUUCACUAAGACUACUAGAGAAAUGAUGUCAAUAGUGAAGAAAUGUGAUUUGCACCUUUGUUUCACUUGUUUAUUUUUAAUUUUUCUCUUGCUUUUUCUUUUAUUGGAUAUCUUUUUUCUUCCUUACAAAGGGGGCCAGGGAAUGGAUUAGCUGCAGAUGGGAUCUAAGUUAAGGGUGCCAACUAGGAGAAGCCUUUCUUUUCCUUUUCCCCCGUUUUUCUUGUUUUAUAUUUCCCUCUUUUGGAAGGGAUAAGAAGAUUAGCAAAACAAAAAAAGCGAUAAGGAUUGAAAUCUUAGAACCCCCCCCCCCACCCCCCCAAUUAAUUAAAGAACUGAUAUGACUUAUCAUGUAGUUUGAUUUCGGAUUGUUGAAGAUCAAUGGUCCUUUUUCUAUAUAUCUAUGGCCACAUUCUCCACCUAAAGAGCCUUGGAUAGGUUAGUGAAGCAUACAGCUGAAUACUGCUACUACUAUAAAUGGUGCCAUACACAGUACAAUCAAUAUUCAACUUUAUUUUUCAGAUGGUGCUUUGAUAGCAGACCCUAAACCUAAGUGGAAAUCAACUACUGUACAUGAUGAUUUAUAAUUGUAUAACUCAAUGAUAAUUACACCUCAUGACAUGUUCUGAACUAAUCAUUUGAUGCAUCAUCAAGGAAAUAUGCAGGAAAAACAGCUUUCUUAUUAGAGUUACAAUUGUAAGAAAACAGUUAAUCUGACAAAUUCUAAUCUCAUUUCUCCAAAAUUGUAUCUUCAGGUUCUAAAAUUACAAAGAGAUUAAGAUUCUAAUUAUCAAUUCAAAGAAAUCUAAUUUCUCCCUUUGAUGUAUCUAACAUGUUUAUGCAUAAAAUCCACUGACUAAUUAAUAUUCGGCAGUCUUCUCUAAGCACUCAGCUCAAACUUGAGCUGCAUCAAACUCAAGUAUAGAUAAAGCAAAAUAUCAAUAAAUUCCAUUGAAGUCUCAUUUCUAGCUAAGAUAAAAAGAAACAAGCAAAAUACGGAUCAUUCAUUUCAUAAUUAACUUACACAGAAGUUUCCCUUUGCCGCAAAAUGUAGGGAACCAGAGAGAGAAGAGAGAAGGAAAGAGUAUGUAAAGGAGCAUAAAUCAAGGAAAUUAAGCUACAAAUUAACCUUAUAGUGUAGUAAAAAAAAAGCUAGAGAAGAUCGAAAUCAAUUGAUUACAACCUGUCGUCCUUGAUCUUGCUCAUUCAUAUCCCACCAUUAAUUCACCAUACACACACACACACACACGCAUACAUACUAUAUAUGUUUGUUCAGGCCUUUUGUCUCAAUUCUCAACUCUAAACUCUUGUGCUUGGAGCUUCAGCCUGUUGAUGAGGUGGUUGGUUACUUCUAUCUUCUGAUGAUUCUUCAUCUUUGUCUUGAGAGCUUAUGCAGGUAGCUUUGUUUUGGGUAGCUUUGUCUCUUUCAAUCUCCCUAUAUUUAUGUAAAUACCUUACUAUAGCAUCAGCAUAGUUGUCAAACCCUAGAGCACCCAAAGCCCAACAGAUGUCAUCUCCAUUGACAGUCUUACGAUUCUCUUUGCGACACUUGUCAGAUGCCUCGCCAGUGACAAAGCUUAUAAACUCUGUUGCACAUUCUUGCAGUGUUUGUUUAGCCUCUUUUGAAACCUUGGCAUUUGGUGGCAGGAUUUGUUUCAUAAUCCUGCCCACGUUGGCAAUUGGCAGCAAUCUCUCUUGUUCAUCUACCAUGCUUGCAACUCAAAAAUCUGAUGAUGAACUUGAUGUUCUCAAGCUUAGACACGUAGCUCUUUCUGAUCCGUAGCCUUUCUUAUAUUAUAUAUAAAUGAGGAUCUGCACGUUUAUGUAUGUAUACAUGCAUGUGUAUAUGUACUAUGAGCUAGGAUGCAACAUCAUCAUUUGAUGACAUCCUGGUUUCACAAUCAUCACAUUCACUCCGUUGUAUUCAAAUCACUCUUAAUCUUCUAUGUGCGUAUAUGUAUCUUAUACAUAAAAGGUAAUUAAAAGGUCUUGAAACAGCCUCAGGUACUUACCUAUUCUAAAUAUUCUUUUAAAAGUUGAGAGUUCGAGUGAAUUUAAAGGCGAUCUGAAUAUUAAUUAUUAGUCAAAUAUUUUGAGGGUAUAGGUUAGAUAAUGAAGCAAAAAAAAUCUUCCAAAGACAAACUUUUUUAUACUUCAAAUCUGCUAUGCGAAUGAGAUUAAGGAUAUUCGUUCUUACUUAUUUACUUCAGAUUUUCUUUUUGUCUAUUGAGCAAAUACUAACUCAAGCAUCAAAACACUUACCUAAUCAAAGAUGUGAAAAUUUUGAACACACUAGCAAAUCCAAAUCAAUUUUAAACAUGAAAUACUGUCCCAAUAUCAUGCCAUUAAGACCUUCAUUCAGGUGGUUUUAUCAGAUCACAUCUCAAGAAACCUUCAAACUUUCACCUUAAGUAGCAUCUUAAUUAGGUAAAAUGAACACAACUUAGGUAUAAAACAAUGCCAAGUGGAAGUUUUUAUGUCAACUUUACUAACUAAUGGUCAGUAUUAUCCUUAAUCCAAAUCAAGCUAGAUUAUGCAACUAAUGCAAAAUUCUUAAAGUUCUAAACUAUUUAAGCUAUCACUGACCAAUCAAAGUUCAAGCAAAAGUGAUCAAGAGGGCUUUUUCUACAUAGAAAAUCUUGAUAUAUCUACAGACCAUUUGCAGCAGGUUCUCCACAAAAAAAAAACCUCAAACCCUAAAAAGACUUAACUAUGGUCCCCCCAUUUCAUUCCCCCCACUAUCACCUUAAACGGCUUCAACUCUACCCUCAUAAACUGCAACUUUUUUAUCCAUUUUGCUCUCUAAAUAUCUCCAUCUUUAGCUUAAAAUAUUAUUUAUAGACAAUAUAUUCAAAAUAAGCAGAGGAUAUUUUCGCAUGUUUUAGUAUUUAUUAUACUUUUUAUCAUAUAACAGCACACCUAAAAAGAAUUUGAUUCAUGCCGAUUGAGUAUUAAUUCAUUAUACUUAUGAUAUUGCAAAAUCUUAAAAAUUGUGGGUUCAGGUAGACUUAAAAUUGUAAUGUCCAUUUCAAGUAAACACAAUUAGUUAAGGGUUCGGAGGGUAAGAAUAGAUUAGAAUAUAUAUCACCAAAAAAAAUUGAUUUAUAAACUUAAGGUGGGUUUGGAUGGGCGAUUGGGUGUGGUGCGGUGCGUUUAGUUUACUUUUUGUCUCACGCUACAAUAUCGCUACGGUGUCUAAUCUCACCGCCACCGCUGUUUUUACACUAACCGCAGGUAAACGCACCGCCCAUCCAAACUCACCCUUAGUGUUUGAAAUCCUCAUAUUAGCUCAUAAAUUAUAGAUUAAAUUCAGAUUUUGUCACUAUUUGGCUGCAACGAAAUCCUUUUUUUCAUAAAAUUAGUUUUGUUAGGUUUUGGUCAACUUUAGAUAAUAACUCUUAGUGUAGAAGUUAACAUAUGAGGCCAUACUCCAUAUUGAGUACUUUUUGGCAGAUAUUUACAUUUAAAAAGACUAGUUAUCUCAUUGUGGGAAUUCUUGUGGGGUUCUACAUGCAUCAAUCUUAUAGCUGGCUCCACUAACAAUUCCCACUAAGCUUGAAAAAGUUAUCUGCAACCAUUAUACAUACUAUAUAUUACGGAAUUUUGCAGCAGGUUUUUCAUUUGGCUAGUAGUUCACAUUAUAAUUUAGUGUCACUUAGGCAUAAUAUUGUUCAAGAUCAUAACCAGUCUUAGUCUUUAGAGUUUGAUUUUCAGUAGAUAUCAGUGCUUCCACUACCUCUUAACCUUUCCCACUCAACAAAAGGUCACUUCUAUGUUAAGCUUCUCCAUUUUCUUAUGCAUUUAAAACAAAACACUGUUAAAGAGGCAUGACUAACUAAAAUCAUUUCAAUUUGCCUCAACAAUUUAUUGGAUUUAGUUAAUGAAUUGUACUUACUACUUAAAGCUUCAAGAGUAAUAUUGCAAGCAAGUCUCAGACCGAGAUUUAAGUCCAAUUGAUUCAAGUAGUCACCUAAAAGGAUUAAUAUAUCUAAAUCCUAAACUGAAAAUAUACAGCUUUAAAUUAAAGACUGUAAAACAGCACAAUCAGAUUCCAUCUUUUUGAAAGCAAGAAACAUCCUCAUAUGCCAUAUAACACACAUUUGACAUUAAAAAUUAAUCAUAUAUAGUUUAAUAUAUUAAUUGAGCUAAAGGACAUUUUCUUAUCAAGCUAGUUGCCUGUUACAGCAAAAGAUGCUUAGAAUAAUAUAAAUGCAAAAGCUGCCCAAACCUUUCACCCAGUCACUUGCAUCAAGGGUUUUCAAACAUUAUUAUUAUAAUCUAGCUGGGGUUCCAUCCAUAAGGGAUUAAACAAAAGGGCAUUAACAGUAUAACCAUGGAAAAGGGGGAAAACCCUAGAAUGUUGGAACUUUUUUUAGGUCUUUAAUUGCGGUAAUAAUAAAAUAUACAAUAUUUUUCCUGGUUUCAUCUUGUUAAUUAGGCCAUAACCUAACUUUGGUAUGAAUUCCUUUCACUGUGUCUGCAAUGCACUCAAUAAUCUAGAAUCUGAUUUGAUUUAAUCUAGUUUUGUCUGAAAAUGACAUGUUUAAUUAAUAUAUAAAAGAAGAAGUGUAUAAUUAACUUUCUAGAGUUAGGGUUUAUAGCCUUGGUUAAUAGGAUAGCUCGGAACUUGAUGCUUUUCUUGUUGUUGAAGAAGGUCAAUUUUUGUAGCUUUAUUAUCUGAUUACCCAUUGGUUAUUUGUGCAGAAACUUUUCUGGAAAUUCAUGUCACAUUGGUUAACCUGUUUUCUUGAAAACACAUUAAAUGCUUCUUCUUUUUUGCUAAACCAAAAGGUUACAAAACUAAGAAAGGCAACAGAAAAAACCCAACACACCAAAAGGACUAAAAUAUACUUAAAAAGACACCUGAAAACUCAAAUAUAUACAUUACAAGAACCUUAGAGAAAUCACCUAAAACAUGGAUACACAUCACCUAACAAACACUUACACUCACUAAAACCAAAUGUCAAACACUUAACAUUGUAUACAUAAAGCUCUUGCAAAUUAAACCAGUCAAUGCCAAUCUCACCUGGUCCGUUGCUUGUAAUUGCAUAAUUCCUUCCAUCACAACAGCACAGUUAUUAGCUAGCAAUCAAAACCAAGAAGGAAACGCAUAAUCAUCAACUCCUGGAGUGAUUAAAUGCUAAAGUUACAUAUUUUAUGUAAUUAAUUUGGUUAAUUUAUGAGAAUGCACCACUAAUUUUGCCAUAUUUAUUGAAUUUUGUGCAGGAAUGUAAUUUGGGGCUAAAUAGAAGAAAAAGGAAACAAUUGGGGCAAAUUGAAGAAAGAAGCAAAGAAGGAGGGCCAAAGUAGAAUUUUUCCAAUAUUAAUUAGCUGAAAAUUGUGUUGACUUAGGGGGAGAUUAUUUUGGGAUUUAUUUUAUUAUGGGAUAUUUUUCCUUAACUUCCUAUGACUAGUUGGCUCCUAAUUUAGUAAACUCCCUAGUAUAAAUAGAGCUUGUAUUGUUCAUUAAUUCAUCAAUCAAAAAACAUUUAGCUUUUAUCUUUCAAAUUCUCUCCUUUCUCACGUAGCCUUUGUUAUUUCUUUGUUUGUUUUCCUUCAAUUUAUUAGUUCCAGUAGCCUACCAUCCAUUUCACAUUUAUUUUCAACUUUUCACAAAUUUAUUUAUUGUCUUUAGUUUCUUUAACUUUCAAUUCCUAAAACUUCCAGCUUGUUACUACUUACCAUUUACAACUCCUUUUUCAAAAUCCCUUUUUCAACCACCCCACUUUAAUAUAUUCCAACCCCCAUAUUCAAUCACAUCACCCACCUUUUCACCCAUUUACCUUAAUUAAUUUAUCAAAUAUCAACAUGUCCCAAACCUUAGCCAACUAAACCCUUUUUCAGCUUUAGGCCGAAAUUAGUCUCGUCAAAACCCGUGAGUUACGAACCCAAGCCAUUUAACUCUUAAAAUUUCAGUACUUAUUACUUUUCCGGAUUAAGAGUAUGAUUUUGUCAGCUCAUAAAGUCAGAUCAACACUAAGUCAAAAAAGACGUUGUCUAAUUUAGUGUGGUUAGACGUACAGUGGAAUUCCGAAAGGAACGUUUCUAAUCGGUUUUCUGUGAACACAUUGGCGUGCCAAGUGGAGAUUGCUGUUUGGUUCCGUCAAGGGAACUAGUAACCGGAUUUAAAUGUCCCACGCGGUUGAGGGCAUUGGUUCGAGCUAGGCUCUUCUAGAACGCAAAGCUGCUGGAGUUCUAAAUCACGAACGUUUCGUGGUUGUUCGAUCGGUAAGAAUUAGUUAUUGGACGUUCCAUAACUAAUUUACACAAGGAAGAGUUGGUGUCCGAGGCGUCCUUGGUAGCUAUAACUAGCUUUUUGGAAAAGAGGAGUUCAUCCAAUUUCGAGGAUCGGUUCAAAGACGAGAAAAAUUCGUGUCUAAAGCUAAGCUCAUUCUAAUUAAUUUUUCUUAAUAUUUAUUUCACGGUUUUUAUUAUUUUGUUUUCAACUUUUACUUUUGACGUUAUUUUUCUGUUUAUUUCAGGUUUUCAAAUUUUUAUCCCCCUGAACGUCUUGGGCACGGCAGAUGCCCCGACAUAAAUCUGGUCAAGCGAGCAACAAUUUACAGUAAACCCAGUCUCUGAGGGAUCGACCCUACUCCCUAUACUGCUUAAAUCGCAAAUUAGGCGUAGGUUUAUAUUAGUGGAUUCGACACCCAUCAUGGAGUUAGUAGGAAACCAAAUGGUCUCCACCAGUAUUCAACUUUUAUAGAGUAAUUGGCACCAACUCCUAUAAUCCACCCCUGCAAAUCACCAUUGAUUGAACUUUAACACCCAUAUCACCACAUGGAUCAAUUCAUCACCAAGACACAAAGCUUAAUUAGGAGUAAUUAAGUACAGUGAUUAUGUAAUAUGGUUAGCAAGCUGUUGUAAAGCGAUUUGGACAUGUAUAGAAUCAAAAGUACUUCAACAAAAUUGAUGAGUGUCAAACGGUUUGGUUAGUUCUAUGACUUUUGGUCUAGGUUACAUACAUGAAAAACUUGAAAAGAACUGAAACUUGAUAUACGCAUAUACAUUUACAACUCUGACGCCCGAAUCUGAAUUUUAUAGCUUUUCUACCUCUUCCUUUUCUUGAAUGAAUAGAAGCCAUUGAACAUAGCAUACAAUUUAUAUGGCAAAUUAGCUAAGAUUGCAAUGCUGUUUAACAGAUCGAGAGUAACACAAUUUUUUUUAGAAUGUUCAUUUUCUUAAUAUCACUAACAGUGUAUUAACAUACAUGCAUAUAUUAUAUAUUUGAAGUCCAAACAUGAAUAAAAUCUAAUACACAAGUUCAAGCUUCUCUCACCUUCCACUAGGCUUUCUUUGUUUUGAGAAGAUAUAAAGAUGUCAACAAGAGAGAUUUAGCCAGUUUCAUCUACUCACCAAUGGGCUUCUCACUUAAAAGAGCCCGUAACUUUUGCUUUUGAACCGUAAGUCAUGGCCCAUGGGCCUUAUGGCAUCUUCUAUUUAUUUAUUUUGGGUUAAAAUAUAUUUCCAAUCUGGUACGCUUUGUAGAUCUGAAUUUUGUCUCUUUAUUUUUAUUUCAAAUAAUUAAAUUAUUUUAUUUUUUGAAUUUAAAGAUAUAAGUUUAAUUGUUAAUACGGUUAAAAUUAUUUUAUUAAAUUUAAAUUCAUUAUAAUGUCAAUUUUUUUUUACUAAUUGAAUUUUUUUUAUUUUAAAAUCUAUAUCAUUAUUUAAGCUUCUAACUGAGUUGGUGCCAUGAGUCGACCGGGCAACCACUCGGUUAGAUAAAUUACAUAAAUGUCUUUUUGUAAUUAAAAUAAGUUAUAUUAUUCGAUGGUAUUUUAGUCUUUUUUAUUUUAACAAAAACUAAUAAAAUUAUACAUAUAGUGAAAUUUGGACGCACACUAAUUAAAUUAAUAGAAUCUUAAUUUUACCACUCAAUCAAAGUUUUAUUUUGAUAUGUUUUAUACAUUUUUAUUUUAAUAUGCACGAUUUAUUAUCUCCACUAGUUGUAUAUAUAUAUAUAUAUUGAUAAUGUUGUUCAUUGAGUUGAUGUCGACAUUAACUCACAAUUGACGAUAAAACCAUGAUAAAUAUUUCUAGUGCAUUUAGUAUUGUUUAUCUAAUCUAUUUAUGCGUUUAAAUUAAUUUUUACUCAUAAUUUAAUCUAAUUUUUUAUUUGAAUAUUAUACAUAUUUCGUGUGUUAUUAUGAUUAAUUAAUUUCAAACUAUACAUUUCAUUAUAUAUCAUCUUUAAAGACACAUUUGUGUUCUAAAUCCACAAUUUUUAAAUGUAUACGUGUGUGAUAAGGUUUUUACUGUUAUAAUUUUUUUUGUCAACAAAUGAAUUUGUUGAAAAUAAAAAGUAAAAGGCAUACUAACUUUUUUGGCUCUCUAUUUAAAAAAAAAUUAUUUUAGCCAUUCAUUUAAUUUUUCGUCAAUUUUAACCUUUAAAUUUACAUUUUUUGGUUAAAUUAUCUCAAUAUAGAUGAAAAAAUUAAUGUUUUUUAAUUUUACUUACGCGACAUACACGUAGGUUGCCUCAUAAAUAACAUGUAAACAUUUAAUAUUUUAAAAAAUUAAUUAAAUGUAAUUCACGUUCGUGCCACAUCAGAGUUAACAAAUUUUUCCUUUCACAAAAAUUAAAUAUAUAUAUGGUAAGUUGGAAGGAAAAAAAUAAUUAUGCUAAAGUAAAAAGGGAAUAACAAAGAUUACGUAACUUGAAGACAAGGCGCAAGUGCCAACCCAAACAAAGCUAACAUAUCCGAACACCUCCCAAUAAAACUCCGUUACAUUUUUAAACAUUUCGUCGCUAAAAAGUAUUUCUCAAGUCUUAAAACUGGUACGUAUAUAAAUCUCGGGUCAAAUUCAAAUCUCCGAGACGAACACAGAGGAAAGUCAAUAAAAAAUUGGCGACGAUGGCGAGGGCAAGCUCUGGCCUCGCGUACCCGGAACGAUUCUAUGCGGCGGCUGCUUACGUUGGCUUCGACGGAUCUCCCAAUUCCAACGACAAGGACAUUGGCUCCAGGUUCUCCACUGACGUCGCUUUGAUCCUGUACGCCUUAUACCAGCAGGUAAUUUCACCGUUCUCAAUUCCUUCUCUCUUAUUUCAUUGGAUGCCGCCUUCUUCAAUACGAAAGCGACUUGUUUUUGCUAAUUUCCGGCAAUGUGAUGUUUAUCUUAUUUCGGAUAAGGAUUUCGUGUAUUAGGAUUGCUUUUGUAUAUAAUAUUUUUGGAGCAUUUGAAGUGUAAUUAUUGUAGAUCUGGCUUUAUACUCUGAAUUCAAGACAAUUCGGAUGUUGAUCUAUCGAAUAAUUGAAUGAAUAUUUAUUUAGUACUUGAAUAUGAAGCUCGUGUUUUGUUAGGUUACUAAUUUUCCGAAUUGCUAUGUGAUUACAGGCUACUGUAGGCCCUUGUAAUGUUCCAAAACCGAGUUUGUGGAAUCCUGUCGAACAAGGCAAAUGGAAAAGGUCUGCAAGCUCAUUUACUUCUAUUUGUAAUUUUACAUUUCUAGUCUUGUUGUUGUUGUGUUGUAACGGUCAUUUUAAUUUUGUUAUGGUUAUUCCUAGGGUGAUACUGUUUUGAUCCAUUUACUCAAAGUGGUGCUGAUGAUAGCAAUGUUUAUUCAGAGAGAUGUGAAUGGAUAGUCACUUAUAUGUGGGAUGGAUUUUUUUGGUUGUUUCAACAUUUGGUGGCAUUGUGGCAUGGUGCAUAGUUUUUAUUGCGUGCUUCUACUGGAAAAAGCAUGGAGAUGUACUUCUGUGUUAUUUAUAUUUAUCAGAUCUAGAUUGUUCCAAUUUUCUCUCUGCCAUAUGCUUGUUUUUUAUGUUUGUUUAUUAUGUAACUCGAGAAUUAGAUGAUAGAAAGCAAUUUAUUAUAUGUCAGAUGGAUGUUGUCCAUGAUUUUUUUUCCUUCUUUCUUUUUGAUAAUCGUUCUUCUGGUAAAGCUUUUUUUUAUUUAUACAGCUGGAAGCAGCUUGGAAAUAUGGUGUCUGCAGAAGCUAUGCGUCUCUUUGUGAAAAUAUUGGAGGUACAGGCCAUAACUUUUUUGAUAUUUUGCGUUUAUAUGAAUCAUUUUAGUUUGACUUAAUUGUUUUCUAUUUUGUUCCUUAUUCUUUGACUCAUUGUUCAGGAAGAAGAACCAGGAUGGUAUUCACGGGCAUCUAACUCUGUUUUGGAGCCUGUUACAGAUGUUCAAAUGAAUGUGAGUAAUCUGUUAUUUUCUCAGUUUUGGUUUUCUGAUUUUAACAUUUCCCAUUGUCUCUUAUUUUCACAAUUUAGGUUGGGCAUGUACCUCUGUUACAGGUCUUGUUCUCAACUUUUAGAGAAGUCUGAGUUUGCAUAAUUGCUCUGUUCAGUCAGUAGUUAAAAUUUGAAUGAGAGAAGCGAAGUUGCUUAUUGGGAGGUGCUUUUAGUUGGGGCCUGUGGUUCUCUUUACUUACUUUCACCUUCUCAACUUGUAUGCAUGUUCACAGCAUAAUGCGAUUGUUGAGCCUAUCAUCAAAAACCGGAAUUCUUUUGCUGAGACAAAGACCAUUUCUGCUGAAAAUGGAGGCCUGAUAGAAACUCAGGAUAUAGAUGUUGUAUCAGAAGGCCUUGGCUCAGUUGUUGUAUAUGAUCAGUGGACUUCACUUCCAAUAACUGGUCAACGUCCCAAAGGCCGAUAUGAGGUAUUGACAUCUCUAUCAUUUAGAAACAAGUCCUUUCUUCUUCUUCUUGCCUUCUUCCUCAUCUAAAGAAUGUUUACUCUUACUUGUCAGCAUGCAGCAGCAGUUGUCGAGGACAAGAUGUAUAUAUAUGGUGGAAAUCACAAUGGUCGUUACCUUAGUGAUCUUCAUGUAAGUCAUUCAUUUACCUUAACAUGCAAUACACAUGUAUUUUUGUAACAUCCAAUUUUUUACACAUGUAUUUUUGUAACAUCCAAUUUUUUCUAGUACAAUUCAGUUUACUGUAUAGUUUUGGUAUUGGAAUGAAGUAUUACCAAAUUAUAAUUCUCACUUUCCAGGCCAUUGCUUGAAAAUUCUAUUUUAAUAUGUAGUCUUGCUAAGCUUUAAUUUAUUGUUUGUAGACUAUAACUACACAUGACAGUUUUCACCAUAAUGUAAGGUUUGAUGCAGGUUUUAGAUUUGAGAAGUUGUACUUGGUCAAAGAUUGAAGCUAAGGUUGAAUCUAAGUCGGUGGAAACGCCAUCUCCUAUAAAUAUAACCCCAUCUGCUGGUCAUUCAUUGGUUAGUAGAGAACUGAGUUUCUUUAUAUUUUCCUUUGGUUUCUUAAAAGCAAUGUUCUCUAAGUAAAUAUGCACAUUUCUUUGGAAUCUGUUGGCUAAAAAUUCUUGUAUCCAUGCUUAACUCUCUGUCCCUUCUAGUGUUUCCCCUAGGCACCUACGGAGAAUCAGUUUCUUUAAUUUCUGGUCAUAUAGAACUGAUCAACUUCUUUCUUUUUCUUUUUUUUCUUUUACCUUUUAUUUCUCAAAAGCAAAGUUUUCUAAUGGAAAAACCCACAAUUCUUUAGAAUCUGUUCGCUAAAAGUUCUUGUAUUAAUGCUAAUUGUCUUUCUGCAGUCAUAUCAUUUGACUCUCUCCCCUCUCCUAUUUUUUCCCCAUAGAUACCUUGGGAGAACAAGCUUCUUUCAAUUGCUGGCCAUACAAAGGAUCCUUCUGAAACCUUCCAGGGUACUUGUUUUAUCCCCUUAUUAACAAAUUAAAAAAUUUGAGGACUAUUUUUCUUCUCCGUCUUUCUCUUAUUAUCUUAUUCUGUACUGUAUUCUUAUGGCAGUGAAGGCCUUUGAUCUACAAAUUGGCACAUGGUCAAUGUUGAAUACUUAUGGAAAACCACCGGUAUUCAUAUUUUCUUCAUGUUAACUCUCUUUCUGCUGUACCAACUUGAAAAUUAUAGCACUAUAUUUAGAAAUUUUAGCAGGUUCAUGAUUGUUGUACCAUGCACAAAUAAUUAGACCAGCCUUUGGUUUUUCUUAAUGACUUUGAGAUGGUGAUCACUGGUAGAAUUAACCUUUCUUUCUUAAUUGAAUAUGGUAUUUAAGAAACUUAAAACUAGAUCAUUGUAUGUUGAUUUCUGGCUAUAUUUAGCUGAAAGUUUAUUAGCAUAUAGGUAUGCUUGAACAUAGGCUGAAGUUAAACCUUGGAAAAUAAAAAAUGUAUUGAAUACGUGUGCUUAUACGUUCUUGUGCCCCUUUAUUUUCCUCAUGGUGGAUUCUUUGAUUUUUUUUUUUCUGAAAAUUUCAUUUCGAACUGUUAACACUUCCUUUCCUAAUUUGAGUGCCUUACAGGUCUCUCGUGGAGGUCAGUCUGUGACCCUUGUUGGAACAACCUUAGUGAUAUUUGGCGGACAGGAUGCAAAGCAAACACUCUUGAAUGAUUUACAUAUACUUGACCUAGAAACCUUGACCUGGGAUGAAAUUGAUGCUGUGUAAGAUUACUUUUGGCAAUCUUAUUCCUGCACUAUCCCUCCACAGUGCACAAUGUUAAUGGAUUUCUGAAUUCUUUUGUUAAAUAUGUGCUACUGGUACUUCUAUAGCCUUUAACAUGGAAAAUGUAAAUGAAUUUUCACUUGCCAGCUUCCACUUAUCAAGGGCUGACUUGAACAAGGGUCUGGCUGCAUAGUGCAAGCAGCCUGGUCCAUUGUUGGUUUUGACCUAAUAAGAAUCUGACGUUUGAAUUUCAAUCCGGUUCCUAAGACUAGCUUGCGACUGAAAUUGUAUUCAUAAUUAGGUCUGUUCGUUCUGGUAAAGAACUUAAUAUUUAAAUUUCCAAAACUGUUAUAUAAAACUGAUACUGAGGUCGUGGUCCAAGAUUACUUCACAUGCUUAAAUUCUUCUUUUGCUUUUGGUGUAUUGACAUUUUGACAUGCAUCAUACUUGAAUUCAAAUUCUACUUUUCUAGUACUAUAUCUGAGCUUCAUUUCUACAACAUUAAAAUAGAAUCUAACCUGUUUACCAAUGUACAUUUUAUGUAACAGCAUGAUAUAAUCCUUUUUUUGCACUUCUAUUUUGGGUAAUCCCUUGUACCCAAUUAGUUUAUAGAUUUGAAGUGUCAUUUGAAUUUUAUAUUCCUUGGUAACUCUUAAUAUUUGUUUAUUCUCAUUGUCAUGCAGGGGGGUGCCUCCCUCACCGCGGUCUGGUCAUGCUGCUGCAGUGCAUGCAGAGCGUUACCUUCUUAUUUUUGGUGGGGGUUCACAUGCUACUUGCUUCAAUGAUUUGCAUGUCCUUGACUUGCAAACUGUAAGAUGAUUACUCUUUUGUGUUUUUGCAUGGGCUAUUGAGGAAUUAGUAUAUCUAUCUUUAUGUAUUUGGAUUUGUAGAUGGAAUGGUCAAGACCCACACAGCAAGGUGAGAUACCAGUUCCUAGGGCUGGUCAUGCAGGUGUGACUGUUGGGGAGAACUGGUUUAUUGUUGGUGGUGGAGACAAUAAAAGUGGUAAAUGUCUCACUCCAAAAUCUAAUAGAAGAUUGCUAUUGCAGAUUGUUCCUUGGAUGACUUUCUCACUCCAUGCUUAGUUUUAGUAUUGUUAUAGUUAUACCAUCAAGUGUCUCCAUUUCAUAUGAAGAUAAGAAAGAGCUUUGGUAGGAUAUGUUGAUUGCGUGAAAAUGUUUACUUUUUUAUUACUGCUCCCUAGUCUUCAUUGCUUGUCCUAUUCUUGUCUUCCAGGGGCAUCAGAAACUGUUGUCCUUAACAUGUCAACCCUCGCUUGGUCAGUUGUGACAUCAGUUGAAGGGCGCGUUCCUCUUGCUAGUGAGGUAUUUUACAUUUUAAAAAUGCUUGUUACCUGUAAAAUGCUUACAGGUGGGAUGUGGAAAAUCUUUGUUUGGAUUACUGCAUCUUAUAUAUAUUGGUUUAAUUGUAACUGCUAAAUGUGGAUCAACAAGGAAUGGUAGAGAUGAUGCAUAGACUCUCUGCAUUUGAUGUCGUGCUUCUCUGUAAUUACUAUGACGAUUUUACUGGAUUUCUUUAGUAACAUGUUCAUCAUUUUCAUUGUCAUCAAUUAAUAUCAUUGGCGUUUAGACUUAAGAAACAAUUAUUCCAUGAAAAUGAUGGGAACUUUGGAAGCUGUGCUUCUGCAAGAGUAAUGUAAUAUUUUAAUAGGUCAUGAGAAGAGUUUCUUUCUCAGUUGUAUGUAAUGCAUGUGUUAACGUUGAACGGUACAUAUAGUUGUGGUAUGUUGGUCUUUAUAUAGGAGAUAACUUCCAGUGUCAGUGAUCUAAGAUGCAAAGUUUCUAUUUAAUUGUCUAUUAUUGUAGGGUUUAAGUCUGGUUGUGGGCUCGCUUAAUGGGGAAGAUAUACUUAUAUCUUUUGGAGGAUAUAAUGGACACUACAACAGUGAGGUAUAGGUGGUUUUGAUCUCUUUGUAUAUGACUUUGUCUUUUUGUUACUAUACAAUCAUUUAUGGUUCCCCAUCAGGUUAAUGUUCUUAAGCCUAGUCACAAGUCAACCUUGCAAUCAAAGAUAAUGGAGGGUCCUCUUCCUGACAGUGUCUCUGCUGUGCAUAAUGCUACAAAUCCUACCAGAGAUUUAGAAUCCGAGUUUGAAGUUGGUCAAGAAGGAAAGAUACGAGAAACUGCUAUAGAUAAUUUUGAGCCCAUGGUAUGUGAUAUUUUGAGAGACAAUAUAACCAUUUUACCUUCAUUUGAAACCUGCUGUUUGAAAUCUUCUGAUACAAAUAAACAUUCUAGCUCCAUUUAUGUGUUGCUGCCUCUGUUGCAAACAUAUGAUUUUGUGGUUCUAGUUUACAUCAUAACAUUCAUACACAACAUCAAAAGUUUUAUAACAGUAAAACCAGUCCAUACAAUACUGUAGUUUUAAGGUGUUCAGAAUGUCUUAUUUAAUUUAUCAUCAAUUCUAUUUCUUUCACUUAAAUUUAGAGUACCCGCAGAAAUCCAAAGGUGGGGAGACUAGUGAGCACAUUCUAGCAAUGCUCAAGGCGGAGAAGGAAGAACUAGAAUCAUCAUUCAAUAAUGAGAAAUUGCUGUCUCUCCAGCUAAAGCAAGAACUAGCAGAUGCUGAGGCUCGAAACACAGACCUAUACAAGGUAGUUUUUUACGUGUAUAAUAGCAGGUCAUGUAGUUCUUCAUUGUUCCAGUUGCAUAAGUUCGGAAAACAGUGGUGUUUAUUAGCUUAAACAUUUUUCUCACCAAGUUUCAUUUACAUCUUAGGAGCUCCAAUCUGUACGUGGUCAACUUGCGUCCGAGCAGUCAAGAUGUUUCAAAUUAGAGGUAUUUUUGAAUCAAGAGAACCAUGCCAUGGCAUAUUAUGUACUUGAUCUGUUUUCUCCAUAUUGAAUGGGCAUCCAAACUAUGAUUUCCUUUAAUACUACUGUUACCUCACACUUCACAACAAGAAUUUAAAAUCAGGCUCACAAAUACGGAGCAUACCAAAUGAAUUUGAAAUAUUUCUCAACUUUGCUAUUUGCAUGAAAUUUACUUGGAAAGUGGGGUUAUUAUGGUUUGCUUUGCGACCUUCAUUGCUGACCGUUUUAGCUACUAUACUAAUUAAAAUUUGGUUUAUACGAGGACGCAUAUACCUCCAAAGUACAGAACUCUAUUUGUUGAAGGGAAAAAAGCCUCUAAUUGUCUUUUUAUACUCUUGAAUCAACAGGUUGAUGUAGCAGAACUACGACAGAAGCUACAGACAAUGGAAACACUACAAAGGGAACUUGAACUCUUGCAGCGACAAAAAGCCACAUCUGAACAAGUUGCCAUAAAUGCAAAGCAGCGGCAGGGCCCAGGUGGCGUAUGGGGUUGGCUUGCAGGAAGCACUCCACAAAAUGCUGAUGAUGCUUGAAAACCUAAUUAAAUAGUGCUUGCAAGAAAGUCAUACCCGGUGCAAUGUUCUAUCCACUUGAUCAAGAGUUCAAACCAUGGAUACAGCCUCUUCUUGCAAAGCAGGGGGGAGGUUGCGGACAUCAGGACCUUCUGCAAAUCCUUGUUUUAGUAGGAACCUAACGCAUUGGGUACUCUUUUUGACAAAAUUUUGGGUAAAAAUAUACAUAUAUUUCCUGUUCUACUUAAACCAGGUCUUUCUAUGAUCAGAAUAAGAAAUCUAGUUAACUCAAAUGAAUGCCUUCGAGAUUUUUGGUUGAAUACAUGCCUCGAUGGAUAAUUGUUUCAGUUUUAUUUAGUUACAUAUGGCUCUGGACGCAAGGUAUACGUAACCUGAUGCGUGAAAAUAUAGGUUUCAAACCGUUUACCAUUAAAGUUUUUUAGAAUGGUUUUGUAUGUAUUAAUUUGGUAACCCUUUAUUAGAAGGCAAUGUUGUUUCACGAACAUUUUAGCUUCUCGGAAUUCAUGACAAACUUAAUUUUAAGGCAGUGUUCAAAUUUGGCCUUUUUCCCAACAAAAAUAGUUUAGGACAGCCCUCAUCUUCAACCGAUGUUUUGAACCUUGACAUUUCCUCCGAAUACAAGAUUUAAUGCAAAAUUAAUAAGCCAACAAAAAGAUAAUAUAUGAGGUUCAAUGCAAGCAAAUUAGGUACGAAACAUCAUCAGAUCAAAUUCAACAUAAUCCAUUUUAAAAAACCAAGCUAGAACUUAAAGGUCACUGAUUAAAAAAAAAAAACACAUUUUCCCUCCAAAAUUCAGAGACCAAGCAAUUAGUAAAAAGCAAUCCACCUCCCACUACUGCUGUCGGACUUCAGCUUUCUUCUUCUGCCAAAGCCUGUCAAGUGCACUGUCAGCAUCACCCUGCAAACAUGAACAAAUCAAUCAGCACUUGACGUAUGACACAACUCAACAUCCUCACAGACCUAAAGUUUGUCUUUAAACAAUCACCUAGAAACACCAAAAAUUCCCGAAUUCUGAUCUAACACGAUUACAAGGAUAUAAUAUUUCAAAUAUAUGGAAGAAUUUCCAAGUUCCGCGUAUACCACAGAAAUAUGAUCCAACACUAAAACGGCACGAAAAUAAUAAUUAAGACCUACGAAAACCAAUAUAACCAAUUUGGUAAUAGAGAUCCAACACGGACCUGGGCACGGACAAAGCCACAAAGAGCAAAAGUGGAGAAAGUUCCAGUGUAUCUGCCAAGCUCAUCCAAAUGCCCAACAUUAAUCUGGACAGAAGCAUGAUCCUUCGAGGUGAUCAGCCUAUUAGUGGCCGAACUGCAACAACAAAAAAACAUACACACCACAGGUAAGCUUCCAACAUAAACAACGUGGUGAAAGGGAAAGAAACUAACAUUAUGAAACAUAGGCUAAGUAAAAUUAAAUACCAUUUUCUGGGGAUGUAAAGAUCCAUGUUUUGACCCUCUUCGUUCUGCAUCUUGGCGAAUUGCUUAACCCAACACAAACACGAAGCUCAAAUCACCUAAUACAAUACCAGAUUCAUUAAUUUAAAAAAAAAGCUAACCCGAAUUCAACUUCAAUACUCUGUAGAUCACAUUCUAAUUCGAAUACCAUGAAUAAUAAAACAAUAUUUUGGAGAAAACCCAAAUCCAAAUUUAACUAUUGCUAUUUAGGAAAACAUUAACAGUUACGUUAAUAUAAGAAAUAAGAGUGAAUGAAUGCUUAUUAGAACAUCCAAAUAACAUAAAAUUUAGAUAAAUUUAAAACUACGAAACAUGAAUAUGAAAUCCAGAUAGAGAGAGUGGCGUACAAGAUGCGAAAGAGAGGCUGCUGCUGCAAAUGAGAUUUAUGGCUCUCGUUUGCUGAAUUUAUAUGCGAAGAAGAAGAAGAAAAAAACCCUAAUUUCCUUCCAGAUUGACCAGGGCAAAAAUGCCCACCUGUGACGUGGUUUACUCCCAAUCUGAGCCCGUUUUGUUCUUGAAAUAUGGCUCAGUCCAUUGAGCCCAGUUGAAGCCCACAGUUUAAAAGGAUAAAAGUCAAAACCCCAAAUCAUGUUCAUUUUUAUAAUUAAAAUCUAAAUUUCAAAUAUUUAUUAGCUUUCAAAAAAAGAAAGAAAAAAAAAACCUUGGUUUCGAUAUUGACUAAUGACAGUGGACCAUCUUCCUACCUCUGGUCGAACUCUCAUAAAUUGAAACCUGGUUAUUUUGUUGACUGUUGAGGUUAAUAAGGACAGCUACUUGUUAUUUAAUAUUAGAUUUUCGGAUUGCAUUUUACCCUUCUAUUCAAAAAUAAAUAAAUUAGUCCCUGUAACAAAUUAAUCUUUUUUAUUAAAAUUUUCAUUAAUUUUUACUAUUAAAAAUUGACAUAACUAACAAAAUAAUCAGAUUGUGACACGUGGCGUGCAACAUAUACCUCAUACUAACAUAAAGAGACUAGUUUUUAAUAGUAGAAAUAAGUGAAAUUUUAACAAAAAAGACCAAUUUACUUUUUGGUUAACAUAUAGGGACUGAUUUACCAUUUUUUUAGUAGAGGGGGAAAAUGCAAUCCAACGCUUAGUAUAAGGCUCUCCAUGGUACUUUUACCAUAUUUUGUGGCAAGUAUAUUUUAUUUCUGGUAAAAUUACCUCGAAGGUCACUAAACUAUUAGUAAAUUUACACUUUAGUCAUUCAACCUUAUAAAAUUACAAAAUGAUUUAAUUAAAAAAAUUUAAAUAGUUUAGACUUUUUGAAGUUAAGUAAUUAAAGUGUAGACUUUCAAUAAUUUAAUAAUUAUUUCAUAACUUUUUAAAGUUAUCAAAGCAUAAAUUUGCUAGUAAUUCAAUAAUUUUACGUAUAAUUUACUUCUUCUUUUUUUACGUAUUCAAAAGGCACUACUCUACCAUCUACACCGGGACAUAUAGUUUUUGUGUGGUCUGUUUGAUAAAAAUAUAAGUGAUCUUAUUCUUAUGUUCAUGCGCACACAUAUAAAUACAAGGAUGAAUAACAAGGAAGCUAACUUUAUAUGUCAAGGGGGUAGGGUAGUAAACUAGCUAAAAUAAAUAGCCUUUUAACAGUGAGGUAACUUGUCUGGGGUAAAUUUCGAUGACAUCAAUAGAUUCUUCUUAAUUCCUUCUUUUAUUCUUACUUGAGUUUUGUAACCGCAACUGGUUUCAGAGUCAGAACACAACUCUGGUGUUGUGCGCUUUGCUUUUGCCGCAAUUCCCACAUUUCUUGUCCUCAUUUGGGUCCCACCAUAUCUAAGUUCUAACCCUUUUCUUUUUAAGGGUAAACUGUAAAAUCUUGUUUCACCCAGAUUACAUUUUAGUUAUUUAAAUUAACAUUUUAGUCACUGAGCCAUUAAUUUCCAUUAACGGUGUAACAGUAAGUUGAUGUGGCAUGUUCAAUCAUCAUUUCAAAUAAAAAUUUUAGGUUAAGUUAUACAAUUGGUCCCCAUAUUUUUUCAUUUUGAGCAAUUUAUUUUUUUCUUUCAUGUUCUUUUAACUUUCCUUUUUUUUUUAUUCUCUUCUUCUCCGUCUAUUUUCCUCCCUUCUCCAUCUCUUUUAAUGUAAAAGAAAAAAAUUAAAUUACUCAAAACGAAAAAUAUAUAGGAACUAAUUGUAUAAUUUAACUUAAAAUUUUGGUUUGAAAUGAUGAUUUAAUGUGCUACGCCAGCUUACCGUUAUGCCGUUAAUGGCAAUUAACACUUAAUGACUAAAAUGUUACAACAGCAUAAUAUAAGUGACUAAAAUGUAACAUGAGGAAAACAAAAGUGACUAUUUUGGUAGUUUACCCGUAUCUUUUAAUUAUUAAACUCAUAUUGACUUUUUCUUUUUCACUAGAAAACUAUUCACCAGGAGGAGCAAUCAAGAAAUCACCGUCACAAACGGUCUAACAACAUAAUCGUAACUUCUUCAAGUUUACGGGAAAAGAUCUGAAGGAAAUCUUGUAAACUCUUUUCAUAUUAUUUAUAAUUACCAUUAAUGAGAAAAAUUCAUUUAAAUAUAAAAGUAAACAAAAAAUCUCAAAGUUUUUUCCUAAAAAUAUGAUGUUUAAUAAAAUAAAAUUAAAUUUAGAAUAGCAGUUGGUGAAAGAGGAAGGGUUGAUGUGGUUAUGAUUUUCAUACCAGAAAGAAAGAUAUGCUUUUACUAUGAAACAGCGUCCAAAAAUGAAUACAGAAGCCGUGCAAGCAAAGCAUCCUAUUCUCCACUUAGGUUACGUACAAUUUAUAUAUUUCUGAACUGGGAAAAAUGGAGGAAGGUGGAAGAGUAAUCAAACAUCAUUCCAUUCCAUAAUUAUGAUUAUUGAGAUUUUAAAUCUUGUAUUAUUUUAUUAUUGAUGGUAACAUGGAAAUGUUUUUGUGGGUGGUGGCUUUUCGGGAUAGCAUGAGAAUUAGAUUUCAGGAAAAUGCACAGUUUUUUAGGUUCGACUAUAAUUCGUGAGCAUUAGUUAAAAUAAUAAAAUGGGGUUCUAGGUUUCUUAAAAAUUAGAGAAAAAUUUGUUUAGGUCUCUUACAAGUUGAUAUAUAAAAGAAUUUUUUAGAUCCUUAAAAGUUAAUUUUUUUUGGGGCCCUUAAAACUUGAAAAACAAUAUUUUAGAUCCCUUUCAACCUUGGGCCUUGGGCGGCCGCACCUCUAGACGACCUCCAAGGGCCGGGCUUAUUAUAAGGCAUUUUAGAUGGAUUUCUCGUGUUGCUUAGUCAAUGCUUCAAAAAAGCCACAAUUCAGACUGAUAAUAUAUAGAGGUGAUCAAAGCCUUAUAAGACAAUAUAAUGACCGAUUUAGGAAUCACAGUGCUUAGAAUGGCCUAGCGAAUUUCAAAAGCUGAAGGACAGUAGUGGAUACAAUAAGUCCCUAGAAAAGGUAAUCUUGUUGUUGACUGUUUAAUUAAAAUUGAGUUUAGUAUGGAGGACAAAGCUACAUAUUUUUGAUGAUGCACUCAAUGAAAUUUAAGAUAUUACAACAAGACAAAGCUAAGGAAAAUUUGAUGUAAAGUUUAGUUAUAAGGGCUUAGAUAUUUAAAAGUCAACUCGUCAUUUCAUUUAAAUUAAUAUGGCGGCUGGUAGUUUUGUGUUCCUACACCAUCCCAUUCAAAUAUUAAUUUGAAAUCAACCAAUUUAUGCUUUAUAUUGCUUUUAAAUCUAUAUUUUAUUUUAGAUUUUGAUUUUUCUAAUUUAAUCCUAAAGUUAUGUUUUUUUUAAGGGGAAUAGUAAAAUAUUAAAAACUUUUUUUUUCUUUAUAAAGGUAGAUAUUGUUUUUGUUGGAAAAAUAUGAUUGCAAAAUAAAAUCGUUAGUAUUGAUUGGAAAAUAAAUCAAGCGUAAACAAAAGAAAGAAUCGAUGUACCGUGGAAGAACCACUGCCUUAAAAACAAAAUCGUUCUGGUUGGUGUAAUCGUGUAGUGGACGUUACUCUCAAGGUUAACACGCAACUUCAAUAUCCGUACACCCUUAUAAGGAAAAUGGAACGCAAUUGGUAUUACUCUUCUUUGAGGAAUCGGGGAAUAAUAUAAAAAUAAAGUUUUAAAUCUAGUUGGAAAAACUUAGCCAAAAAAAUCACAUUAGAUUCAAUUCCCAUGAAAGGUCGGGGGAGUCAUAAAUAGUCCUAAACAGAAUUUCCUCUAAUGUAAUUGUAGUAAGAUGCCAAAGUUUUAGGGAAAAGACUCAUUUUUGUUACUUGUAAAAAUGAGGAGAAAUUCCUCCUAUUUAUAGGAUUCUCAAAGGGGCAAAGUGGCACAAAAAAUUCAAGAACCAUAUCGCAACGGCCAUAUUGAGAUGAUCAGAUUCCAACGGUCAUUUUAUAAUGGUAAGAUCUUUUACAUGUUUAAUUUCAUAUUUAUUUAAAAAAAUGUUAUUUAAAAUUUUCACUUAUCAUAAUCUCGUAUUAUUUUAUGAAAUUAAUUUACUUACAUCCAUUUAAACUUGAGGCACAUUAAUUCACAGGUUUUAACAUAAAUUUUCUAUAAAUAUACCUUUACAUAAAUUGUUUUUUUUUCUUUAUUUACAACUUGAGUAUGGCAUAAAACUAGUAUUUAUUUUAAAGUAGUAGUUAUAUAUAAUAUUUUUGUUAGUCAGAAAUCAAAUUUUUAUUAAAAUAUGGAAAGAAUAUCUUCCAAAUUUGUAUAAAGCAUGUUUAUUGAGAUUGUUGACAGUAUUGAAUGCAAAGAUAAAGCAUUAGUCAAGAAUAGAGAAUUCUUCAUAUCCAUCCUUUCAACCAACAUAAAUUAAUGCUUGUUAGAAUGAUUUUUUAAAGGGAAAAGAACAAAAUAAAUUGCAAGGAACAGCAUUAUUAUUGUUUUUAUUUUUUUAUUCUUUUUAUAAUAACUUAAAACAUAUCAAAACAAAAGGAAAGGUUCCCACCAGCACUGGGCUUGAAUCCAAAAAAUAAAACCAACCAAAUCGAAAGCAAAAAGUCGGAACCAAAACCAAACAGGAGUGGCCCAUGAGAAAACAAAUUUUAAAAAAAGAAAUCAAAAUCAAUAGCUGGACACCACAUCACCAUCUCAGCUUUUGAUGAUUACAGAUUUCAAAAAAUCUAUCUUCUGCUAUCGAUUUACCAUGAAGGUCUUCCUUAUUCAUAUCAGUCUGGUUGUCUCGGCCGCCAUUUCUCCUGUUCGCGACGAACAUAGUCUGGAACACCACCCAACAGGUAAUGUCCUUCUCCCUUUUCCAAUGCUUCAUGCGCAAGAAUAUGGGCAUAUCCAUUCUCUGUUCUAGGGAUAAUAUGAAAACCAAUCUCCUAAAAAUGAACCUUUUUGUUGUGAAUAUCUCUGAUGAGUGCCCCAAUAACCGAUUUGUCGGGAUCUGUAGUUUGGCAUUUCUUUAUUACUAUUCUUGAGUCCCCCAUUAUUUCCAGAGUGCUAAUACCCAUUGAAAUUCCUAACUGAAUGGCUUGUAACCCUGCAUGUGCUUCCACCGCAAACGGAGAUGGUAUUUCGGUAUGAAUAACUGUCUUUGAUACCAAGAUCUCGCCCCCCACAUCCCGAACUACUAGUCCUGACGCAGAUCUGGAAGAAUGCUUGUCAAAGGCUGCGUCAAAAUAAAUUGUCACCCUCGUUCUCCUUUCAGUCUGUUUGUGGCCUCUGUCUAUUUUUAGGGCGAGUUUCUUAUCCUCUAAGACGUUCAACUCAGAAAUAUAGCUGUAGAUUUGUUUCAAAAUAUCCCUACCUGUCUUACUUUUUCUUUCAUAGAUUAAUUGAUUUCUAUGUGUCCAGAUUGACCAUAGUCCAUAGCAAAAAAGACGACACUGUUCACUAGUCCCCCGACUAAAAACCCAGGUGAACCACUCCCACAUACUUUGAAUGACGUUAUUAAAAACCUAGGAAAUAUUUAAGUUCUUCCAUACUUCAAUUGUUGUAGGGCAAUGCUGGAAAAUGUGAUUACUGUCUUCCUCAGAGUUACGACAUCGGGGACAAUAAAUUUCCACAGCCACUUUUUUAUGCUUGAGAUUAGUUAAAGUAGGGAUGUAAUUCCAAGAGAUUCUCCAUACUGUAAUUUUAACUUUUUAAGGAAUAUGUAAAUUCCAUAGUUUCCUGUGAAAAUCUUUAAUCUCGGUCUGUAUAAGAUUAUUCCUAGGACCCGAAUUAGCCUCAUGUAAUAGUUUAUAGGCACUUCUGACUGAGAAAUCGCUUGAAGGUUCUCCUCUCCACACUUGGAAGUUGUCGUGUACUAUCUCUGCCAAAGGGAUCUAUAGAAUAUUCUUUGCAGUAUCCGCAUUAAAGGUAUUAAUAAUUAUAUAUGUUUUCCAAGAUCUAUUAGUGGCAUCAAUCAAAUCCAAUACUAACUUGAUCUUUACAUUGUUGGCAUUAUUCUGUAAUCUUUCUGCAUCAACUCCCCAUAUCCAUAAAUCACCCCAAACAGAAAUUCAAUCCCCCAUGCCAACCCUCUAACAUAGACCUUUCUCCAAGAGUCCCUUUGCUGCCCAGACACUCUUCCAGGUAAGCGAAGGUAAAUUCCCUAACUAAGCACUAAUAAAAUUCAAAUUCGGAUAGUAUUUUGCUUUCAAAACUCGGGCUAGCAAAAAAUUUGGAAAAUUAACAAGACGUCAUCCUUGUUUAGCUAGUUUCUAAACCACCAUUUUCUUUUAAGGAACAUAAAUCCUUCCAAGCACACCAGUGAAUACCUUUUUUACCUUGACUUUUUUUCCACCAGAAUUUAGCAAUAAUACUCUCCAAUUCAGCGCAUAAAGACUUAGAGAGUAAAAAAAAAAACCAUAGUGAAGGCUAGAAUGGGUUGAAGAAUAGCCUUUAUGAACACAUCUUUUCCUCUUUGAGAGAUAUACCUUACACUCCAAUUAUCUAUCCGUUGCUUAAAUUUAUCCUUUAAAAUUUGAAAAGACAAUUUCUUCGUUCUGCCCACUAUAUUGGGAAGACCAAGAUAGUGUUCUGGGUCAUUUGAGCUAUGCACACCAAUGACUUUGAAAAUUAUUGUUCCGUCCCCCUCUUGCGUAUUAGUAUUAAAAAAUACGGUAGACUUAUCAUAGUUAACACACUGACUGGAGUAAUUCUCAUAUUCGUGCAAAAUCUGUUUCAAUAAAUAAGCUCUUUUUUCUGUAGCCUCUCCAAAUAAAAUACAAUCGUCUGCAAAUAAUAAAUAUGAGACCUGCAGACCAUUUCUACUUGCCUUAACCCCUUUAAGUAUGUUUCCCUUCAUUGCAAGCCGCAUAAGACUAGAAAGGCCUUCACUACCAAUUAAAAAUAUGAAUGGGCUCAAAUGAUCACCCUGUCUAAGUCUUCUAGUAGGGUGAAAAUUUUCUCCAAUAUAGUCAUUAAAGACUACUGAAUAUGAAACUGUAGAUACGCAUUUCAUUAAAGAAUCAACCUAGCCUGCAUCAAAACCCAUUUGCUUCAUCAUCUUUUUCACGAAAUUCCAUUCAACCCUAUCAUACACUUUACUCAUGUCUAAUUUCACCGCCAUAAACCCUUUUUCGCCCCACAUCCUUAUGUUUUAAGGUAUGUAAAAUUUCAUAAGCCAGCAAAAUAUUAUCCGAAAUCAACCUCCCCGGUACAAAAGCACUCUGUGCUAGAUCAAUGCAUUUAUCUAACACUUCCCGAAGAUGAUUUGCAAUGGCCUUAGCCAUCAAUUUAUAAAGCACGUUACAUAAGCUAAUGGGUUGAAAAUAAGUAAUAUUUGAAGGGUUUGAAAUUUUUGGUAUUAACACAAUAUUAGUUUUAUUGAUCGGACUAAUAUCCAUACAUUUAUUCAAUAGUUGUAGACAAAAGGAUGUAACAUCUUCCCUAAUAAUUGGCCAACAUUUCUGAUAGAAUAAGGCCGAAAAACCAUCCUCCCCUGGCACUUUUGUAGGACCCAAUUCGAAUAAUGCCACUCGGAUCUCCUCCUUAGUAUAUCUCGCUGUUUGUCGAGAAUUGUCCUCAUCAAACACAUAACGAUCAAUUCUUGACAAAAUAUGUUCAUGAUUCCCCUCUCCCCAGCUGAAAACAGAUUCUGAAAAUAAGAUCUAGCAAUUACUUCCAUUUCCCGAACCUCCUCCAUUUCCCUACCAUCAUCAAAUUGCAUUUUGCGAAUAAAAUUCCUUCUUCGUCGUUGUGUCGCUUGUUUAUGGAAAAACGCAGUAUUUCUAUCCUCAAAUUUCAACCAAUUCACUCGCGCCCUCUGUUAUCAAUAGCGUUCAUCCUUCUCAAUCUCAAAAUUAAGUUGAAUUUUUGUGUCAAUAAGUUCUACCAAAUUUUCAUCAUCCCUUUCGGAUUCCAUCAACUCUACCAGUCUAGAAGUUAACAGGUCUUUUUUCUCUUUUUGACUUCUACGAAUUCGAUUAGCCCAUCUCUCCAAACCUUACACUUUCUAGCUUUUGUAACAAAUCUCAUGUUGAAGUACCCCAGAUACGUCGAACCUCAUCAGUGAACGAAUCCUCCAAAACCCUCCAAGCUUCGAACUUGAAACUUCUUUUAGGCCACCAUUUGUCUUCUCGUUUCGUAAUGAUAAGCAUUGGCAAUGAUCUGAAAAAGAAUGCGAAAGAUAUCGACAUCCAUUCCUCUGUAGCCACUCAUUUAUCUAAACAUUCUUGAAUAUUCGUUUCUGACAAAUUUCCUCUUUCCUGUGUAAACCAGUUUCCAGAAUAACCCACAUCCAAUAGAUGACAAUCUUCCAACCAUGGAAGCUCCUCAGCACUAUGCAGAUUUUUAUCCCACGACUCAUCUUUAUCCUGUGUAUAAAGAGUGCCAUAAAAACCAGUAUAUCUCUACUUGUUACCUUCGUCAUUGUCUUCGAUUACCACAUCAAUGUGUCUUUUUGAAAAAAGUUGAAGCGUAAUAUUAACAUUCCCACGCCACGCCAAACAUAACCCUCCUCUAAAACCAAUCGAGUCAACAUCAAUACCAUUAGGAAAACCAUAACUUCUUCGGAAUCUUUCCAUCUUAUUCCUAUUAAUUUUUGUCUUCAUAAAAAAUACCAUUUGGGGAUUAUAUAUCUUCAGCGAAUGCUGAAGCCGUCGCACAGUCCGUGGAUUCUCCAAACUACGGACAUUCCAACUUAAGAUUUUCAUUGCUCUCGGUCGGCUUACCUUUUGGCAGCCGCUGAUAAUAAAAGAUUAUUGUUCACCAUCCUCCUAUUCUUUGAGGCCAAAUUAUUGGACUCUUCGCCAACUAUCAACCCUUCAGUCUCUCCUCUUUGUAUCUUUUUCCCCUCCUCUACUAUUAAAACACCUUCUUCAACAUCAUGGUCCAUUGCAAAUUAAUUUUCCUCUUUUGAUUGAUUUCUCCCUUUUAAAAUAGGAAGGCGAAUUCCCUUCCAGAUUAAAUCCUAAUAUGGGAUCAAUAUAGAUCCACAACCAGAGUUAUUUAUCGCACCUCAUAUUCUACUUUCAGUUGCCUGAUUUCCAUCAAGAUUUCCUCCCCUUGCUCCCUCUUCUCCCUCACGUAACCAAACACUACUUUGUGCUCGAGCUCUUUUAGAUUGUGCUCGUAUUGAAAUAUCCCAGCCCAUCUCAGUAAUCUCCACACCUAAACGCAUUUUCGCCUCACAGAAUGAGUCACUAUGUCCUAAACGACCACAAUAGAAACAAAAAAGUGUUAACCUUUCAUAUUUGAACUUGACAUAUGACCGAUUUUCAUAAAACAUAACCGACUUUUUCCUCUUUAAAGGGUAUUGUACAUCUAAUUGGAUCCUAACUCGUAAAAAAUUUUGAUAUCCCUUCCUCAUAUUAGCUCCAUCAUAUUCCAAGAACGUGCCUAUGAAAUCACCUAAUCGCUUUGCCAAAGCCUAAAAAAAAACCUGUAGGAAAAUCGUGAAUCUGAACCAAAAAAGGUGUCAAAAUUAAAUAGACUCUUAAAGGGUCUUCCCUCCACUGCAGCGUAUGUAAUAACAACAGAUGAUUAUUAAAAGUCCAUGGUGAACCCUUUAAAACCCUCUCCAUAUCCAUAAUAUGAAAAAACUGAAAUAAAAACAUUCUUUCCCCUAGAUCCAGAAUUUGGACACCUCUGAUUGGAUGCCAUAGAUUUGCCAUGGUGCUUUUCAUAGCCGAAAAGUGAAUAACGCUAGCUGUUAGAAAGCAUCCCACCAGGAGAAAACCCCCUUCUUCCUUUUCUGGGAUUGAAAAAUGUUGUAUUUGUAAAAUCGCUUCUUCUUCAUUAAAUGUUAAACCAGCAAAUUUAACUUCCAUGAAGGCUGAUUAAAUUUCAAACGUUGAAGACAAUAAUCGAAAAAAAAAUUCAAGAAAACAACUGUCGCCACAGAUUUUAUUUCUCUUUUUUAAGUCAUGAAAUAUUAGUAGAAAUUAACCUCAGUUUGGUUUUAGGAAACAAAAAUUAACUUUGUUUUCAUUUUUUUUUUAUAAAUGUUAAUAGAGAAUGUGAUUAAUUGAAAAUUUUAAAAAUUAUUUUUUAGAAAAUAAAAUAUGUGAAAAUUUAAAAAAAUAAAAAAAAAAUUGAUUUUUCACUACUACUUUGUAGGUUUGAAUUUUUUUUUAAAAAAAUGGUUUUUAAUUUUGGGUAAACUACAAAAAUAGUCACUUUUGUUUACUUCAGAUUAUAUUUUAGUCACUUAUGUUUGAAAUGUUACGUUUUAGUUAUUUACAUUAUCAUUUUGUUAUGAAGUGAUCACUCUACUAUUAAACUCCGUUACCUCCCUACAGUCCUAUGUGACAGUCCAAAUGGAUUUUAAAUGUUAACUUAGAUGUCUUACGUGGCAAUCCAAAUUAAAUUUAUUUAAUUAAAAACCUAUUUCCAUUCCAACAACGAGAUAUCUAAGUUGACAUUUAAAACCCAUUUGGAUUACCAUAUAGGAUUAUCGUUAGAGAGGUAACGGAGUUUAAUGGUAAAAUGAUAACUUCAUAACAAAAUGAUAACGUAACAUUUUCAAUAUAAGUGACUAAAAUGUAAUUUGAGGCAAAUAAAAGUGACUAUUUUUAUAGUUUACCCUUUAAUUUUAAAUAAUUUGACUUUAUAAAUUCAAACCCGAAGCUUUACAUGGUGUUUCUAUUUGCAGGGAUAGCCCAAGUAUUUCUCAUCUCUUUUUUUUUUUUUUUCUAGAUGGUAUUUUUCUAUACUGGAUGAGUGUAAUAUAGUGAAGUAGAUUCUAGCUAAUUAUGAAGCGACAUUUGAUCAGGUAGUUAAUUUUAGAAAUCGGGCAUCGUGUUUGGUUUUAACACAAAACGUUCUAAAAAACAGUAGGUUUGCUCUACCUUGAAUGUGUGGUUAUCUCUUAAUGAUGGGAGAUAUUUAGGGUUUCCUUCUCUUAUCGGAAGAAACAAAAAACAUAUUUUUUUUUCUUUUAUUAAAGAAAGAUUGGCGAAGAGGCUAUUUAGCUGGAAUAACAGAUCGUUGUCAAAGCCAGGUAAAGAUGCAGUCUUGAAGACCAUUGCUCAAGUUAUUCAUGUUUACUGUAUAAGUGUAUUUAUGUGGUCAUUGAAUAAUUUAGUGGGGUUCUAACAGUGACGUUUCUCAAAAAUUGCACUGGGCUUCGUGGGAGGUAUCAGGCAGUAAGAAUGAUAUUCAGGUGUUCGAUGAUAUGUUUGAGUUAAGCACAACAUAGCUUACUCGCAAGGUGUUUGUGCUGGUUCAUUUUCUAGUUUAGCAUUUCUGUUAAUGAUUGAUCCUGGCUUAUGAAUUAAGUCUGUUAUGAUUGGUACAGCUGUAACUUGUUUGUUAUUUUUGUUAUCGAAUUAUCUAGAACACCUGAACUGCUAUAAGUAGCCUAGGUGCUACUCUUCAUUCUAAUGCUUAAAAUGAUGAUUAAAAAAUAGAGUGUUACACUCACAAGAUCUCUCUCUCUUGUUUCUCAUAUUUCUUUUUCCUAUGAUUUUUUAUCUGUUAUUUUCUUCUACUUCAUAAAUGUUUUUGAUUUCAUUAUCUUUUAUGCUUUGCUUUCAGAAUACAUCACUGUUAUUUUUUCAUACUGUAAGCAGCUUUUCGACAUGGUAUCCGAGCCACAAAAUUGAUGAUAGUUAGCUGCUGUUUGCGUCUGCCGUAUGUUUGAUUAAAUGUCUCUGUAAGCUGAAUCUUUUGUUCUUCAGCUCUUCUUUGUUCGUGAGUGAUCUUUGGCUGCAAUGUCUGUCAAUAAUUCAGAACAAAAUGAAUCAGUGAAUAAUGAAACCGUGAAUCCUGCUUUUGAAGUUAGAUCUGAUGCUAGUAAAGCGUUUACUGCCAUUUUAACCAAGAAAAUAUCUUUGUUGAUUGAUGAAAGCAAUUUUCUGUGAUGGAAACAGCAUGUUUACCUAACUUUGAAAACGCAUAGGUUACAAAGGUAUAUAAAGGGAACUAUAGCUAUUCAUCCUAGGGUGAUUAGUACUGAUUCGGGGUUACAAAUAGAAAAUCCUGCUUUUAUUUCUUAUGAUUAACAAGGUUCUGCUCUUGCGUCAUGGUUGAUGUCCUCAGUCAGUCCCUCUCUGUAUACGUAUCUGGUUGGCCUACACUCUGCUUUUGAAAUAUGGAAUAAGCUGAAUCAAAUAUUUGCUCUUCACUCACGAACUAAGAGAAUGCAUUAUAGAUGCAUGUUGCAUAAUGUUAAGAAGCAAGAUAAGACAAUGAGAGAAUAUCUAGCUGAAAUUAAGUAGAUCUUUGAUGUGUUGUCUGGAUGUGGUCAAAAUAUUCAUGAAGAGGAACAACAAUCUGCUAUUCUUAAUGGUUUACCUAUCGAAUAUGAGAAUAUUGUUUCAAUUAUCACUUCCAGCUAGCAUCUUUAUGACCUUCAGGGAGUUGUUUUAGCUUUGUUGGAUGCAGAGGCGAGGAUAAAACUUCAGGGAAAUGUCAUGAGUAUAACUGCUAAUGUAGCCGUGCAGCAGCAACUCUCAACAAACAGUAGUGGUAACACUAAGUCGAAUGACCAGACUCUUAGUUCUAGCUCUGAAGGUAUGAAUGUACAGACCAGACCAUAUUAUCAAGGUCAUACUAAGGGCGGGUUUAGGCCACGUGGUAGUGGAAUGUACUCAAAUAAUUCGAGAUUUCAAUGUCAAUUAUGUGGUAAGACAAGUCAUUUGGUCUCUAAAUGUUUUCAUCGAUUCGGUGCUUCAUUCACUGGUAUCUCUGACUCUAUUGCUACUAAUUCUCAGUCUUCAAACUAUGUUAAGACUUCUGAAGGUGUGAAUGGUUUUUAUUGUUAUCCUGGUCCCACUACUGGUUUUACUAUGUUUAGUUCUCAAGUUGGUCAUCCUGGUUUUACUGGGUUGAACACUCAAGGUAAUUUUACUAGUUCUGGAGGACUUAAUGUGUCUGCACAUAUACCUUCUACUGGAAUGCCUCCUGCUCAUGCUGGUACUUCACAUAUUGCUGCAUAUAACUGCAGCAUGCCGGUUGUCAGUAAUCUUAAUCCUGCAAAUCCUUAUGUCAUGUCUUAUAACAAUGGUAAUCCAUUUGCUAGUGGUGCUAGCUCAUUAUGUCCAGGUUCUACUCAAGCUGUUUCAGAAGGUAACCGGAUCUCUCAGUGUGUGCAAGCUACACUGGCAGUGGUUACAGAUCCGGCUUGGUACCCAGAUACUGGUGCAACUGGGCAUCUCACACAUGAUUCCACCUUUUUGCAGCACUCUAACCCUACUACAGGUAUAGUUCAAGUCGGUAAUGGUUCUUGUAUCCCUAUUGUAAAUACUGGUACUGUAAUUUUUUCAACUGAUCAAAAAGAACUGCACUUAAACAAGUUUUAUGUUACUGAUAUUACCAAAAAUUUAAUUUCAGUCUCACAAUUCACCAAAGACAAUAAUGUAUCAUUUGAAUUUUUUCCUAAAUACUGUGUUAUUAAAGAUCUGACUACACAGGCUGUUCUGGCACAAUGAGUUGAAGUCGAUGGUCUUUACAAAUUGGAUGUAAAUCAGAAAUUCAGUGCUCUUCCGUAUCUCUCGUCUGAUCUUUCAUGCUUUACCACUAGUGUUAGUUCAAAUAAUAAUGAUUGUGUGAAAUGUGAAAGUUUAACUUCUCAUGAGUUGUGGCAUCGUAGGCUAGGACACACUUCGACACACAAUCUUUCACAUCUAGCUUCCACAUCUGCUCUUCCUGUCAAAAUUCUUAAGGAUUUUCCUUUAUGUGUUGCUUGUCAAUAUGGAAAAAGUCAUAAACUACCUUUUAUAUCGUCAACCACUAAGCAUACUUCUCUUUUACAACUUAUUCAAUGUGAUGUUUGGGGACCAGCUCCAUGUGUGUCUUCUGGGUAUAAAUACUAUAAUUCGUUUAUUGAUGCAUAUUCAAGAUAUGUUUGGAUUUUUCAUUUGAAACAAAAGUCUGAGGCUCUGUCUGCAUUUCUUGUGUUCAAAAAGCAAGUUGAAACAAUGUUUGAUAAAAAGAUUAACGCAUUGCAAACUGAUAGUGGCGGAGAGUUUAGAUCAUUUGCAUCUUACAUGUAAUCUUUUGGCAUACAACAUAGAUUAACCUGCCCUCAUACAUCUGAACAAAAUGGUUUAAUUGAACGAAGACAUAGACAAAUUGUAGAAAUAGGUCUUACUUUACUUGCACAAAGUUCCAUGCCUCUAAUAUACUGGUCUGAUGCAUUUACUUAUGCUGUUAAUAUAAUAAAUAUCUUACCUUCCAAGGUUAUAGAUAAUAAAACUCCUUUUGAAAAAUUGUAUCAAAUUAAGCCUGAUUACUUUCUUAUUCGUGUUUUUGGAUGUCAUUGUUUUCCCUUGUUGACACCUUAUAAUCACAACAAACUGCAGUUUCGAUCUAUAUCUCGUAUUUUUUUGGGCACUGUUGAUAAUCAUAAGGGAUAUAAGUGUCUUGCACCUGAUGGUCAAAUUUAUAUAUCUCGACAUGUUAAGUUUCAGGAAGAUAUUUUUCCUUUUUCAAUAAAGAAUGAAAUGCCCACUUCUUCACUUUCUUCAUUCACUCUAUUUACUACAGUACAUUUACCUAUUGUUUCAUUACCUGAUUUAACUAUUAAUACUAAUUUUUGUUCUUCCUUGCAGCAAUCUAAGUUGCAAUCACCAAUAUCUACUGCUCACCCAUCUCAUUCUCCAAAUUCUAGUUUUAAUCCGUUCAACUCUCAGAUCACUCAACUACUUCCUCACACGAUGAGCACCAGUCUCAAAAUUCUCAAAAUUCUGCAUCUGUACCAUCAUUUGAGUUACUGCCUAAAGAUAUGCCAAACCAGUCCCAGCUUAAUAGUCACCCCAUGAUCACAAGGGGCAAGUCAGGUAUUGUAAAACCGAAAAUCAUCUCUUAUCAAGUUACUAAUAUACCUUUUUCCCCUGCAGAUAUUCAUGAAGCCAUGAGGUUUCCUCAAUGGCAACAAGCCGUUCAUGAUGAGCUUGAUGCUCUGGUGAGAAAUCAAACGUGGGACUUAGUUCCCUUACCACCAAGCCGACAUGCUGUGGGAUGCAAAUGGCUGUUCAAGGUAAAGAAACAAGCUGAUGGUACUGUGGAUCGCUUCAAAGCCCGGUUGGUUGCCAAGGGAUAUGCUCAGAAAAUAGGCUUUGAUUUUCAUGACACGUUCAGUCCGGUAGCAAAAGCAAAUACUGUUCACACUCUCCUCUCAUUGGCAGUUACUCAUGGUUGGGAAUUGAGGCAAGUAGAUGUAAACAAUGCCUUCCUCAAUGAAGAUCUUGUUGAGGAAGUGUAUAUGCAACAACCUCCCGGUUUUGAGCAGCGAAAUGACGAAGGUCAACCUCUUGUUUGCAAACUACGAAAGGCCCUUUAUGGUCUCAAACAAGCACCGAGAAUUUGGUUUCAAAAGCUCAAAGAUUUUUUGUGUUCCAAUCUACAUUUUCAAGCUUCAUGUGCUGACCCUUCUUUAUUCACACGCCAAAACGAAGGAACUAGGGUGUGGUGCUUGGUAUAUGUUGAUGACAUUAAUCUUAUUGGUAGCAAUUCGAAGGAAUUAAGUGAUGUUAUCCAUCAGUUAAACACAACAUUUUCUCUUAAGGAUUUGGGAACUCUGCAUUAUUUCUUGGAGUAGAAAUGCAUAGACAUAAUGGAACUCUACAUCUAUCGCAGAAAAAGUAUAUUCGUGAGUUAAUCAACCGUGCUGAGAUGACUUCUGCUACCUCGGUACCCACUCCAAUGGUCGUGUCUCCUACUCUUACUUCAACUGAUGGUCAAUUCUUACCUACAUCCAAGGCUGUUUUAUAUAGAAGCGUUGUGGGUGGACUUCAAUAUGCAUGUCUUACUCGACCCGAUAUAGCCUUUGCUGUAAACAAACUCAGUCAGUUCAUGCACUAUCCAACUGACAAGCAUUGGGUGGCAGUCAAACGAGUGCUACGAUACCUCCAAGAAACUAUCGAGUUUGGCCUGUAUUACACUCCAACGGAGCAGGUUGAUGUUACAGACUUUUCAGACUCGGAUUGGGGCAGCUCUCUCGAAGAUAGGAGGUCUACUUCUGGUUUCUGCAUUUACAUAGGUGGCAAACUCAUUGGUUGGUCAUCCAAGAAGCAGCAUGUUGUGGCACGUUCCACAUCUGAGGCAGAAUUCAGAAGUGUCGCCAAUACUGUGGCUGAUAUCACUUGGUUCAUUCAUCUUCAGACUGAUCUUGGAGAACAGUAUUGUGGGAUUCUAACUAUAUGGUGUGAUAAUUCUGGAGCAGUCCAGAUAUCAACAAAUCCUGUUCUCCAUUCAAAGAUGAAACAUGUUGAACUUGAUCUUCAAUUUGUCCGGGAAAAAGUAGUAAAAGGGUGAUCUUCAAAUCAAUCAUAUUGCUGCACACAAUCAAGUUGCAGAUCUAUUCACUAAACCUUUAAGUGAAUCUCAAUUUGUUGCACUGCGAUCAAAGCUUGGAUUAUGUCAACUCUGCUCAGUACCCACUACUUUUGUUUUCUCAGAUGAGGAGAAAACAUGGGGAAUAUCAGGCAGUAAGAAUGAUAUUCAGGUGUUCGAUGAUAUGUUUGAGUUAAGCACAACAUAGCUUACUCGCAAGGUGUUAAUGCUGGUUCAUUUUCUGGUUUAGCAUUUCUGUUAAUGAUUGAUCCUGGCUUAUGAAUUAAGUCUGUUAUGAUUGGUACAGCUGUAACUUGUUUGUUAUUUUUGUUAUCGAAUUAUCUAGAACACCUGAACUGAUAUAAGUAGCCUAGGUGCUACUAUUCAUUCUAAUGCUUAAAAUGAUGAUUAAAAAAAUAGAGUGUUACACUCA